CAUCGCAUCAAAUUGAUAGGGAAGCGCAGAAACCAUGAUGUAGAUGAUGGUGAUCCUUUGCACCCACGACAAGAUAGUUCUUUAAGAUUCUUCAUAAGAAAAAUCGAUGAUGGAGGUUGCCUUAUAGCUGUACCACUUAUAUCAAGUUUUUCCAAACUUUCUACUUGCCCAAGCGUCUCAGGCACAUUUUCAAGUUUGAAGCAGCCUGAGAGAUUCAAAGUUUUGAGGGAUUUCAAACCAUUUAUAUUGCUAUGAAGUCUCACGAGACUUCUGCAGUCAUUCAAAUUUAACAAUUCAAGUCUGGUCAAAAGCUCAAUAGAUAAAGGUAGUUCUUUGAUAUCAAUUCCAUCCAAACGAAGUUCCUGCAGACACUCCAUACCUCCUAUAAUGUCUGGAAAUUUCUUUAAUUUCAAGCAACCAGAUAGAAUAAGCGUUUUAAGAGAUUCCAUAAAAAUCUUGCCUGGAAGAGUUGUAAGACUUGUACAGCCUUUCAAAUUCAACAAGAUCAGCUCCUUGUGAAGCAGCAAAGACGGGUGAAUUUCACGUAACCUUGUACAUCCUUCAAGAUCCAACACCUCUAAGUUUGGGACCUUUGUGAAGUCUGGUGUCUUAAUCAGAUUCUCCGAAUGGCUGAGUUUCAUGACUCUCAACAUGUUUAAAGGCUGUUGAAAAUAAAAAGGAGCUAAAAUGAUAUUUCUUAAUUCAUGUACUACUAUAAUAAUAAAAUUGUUAUCAACAAUUAUUCACUGAAAAAUAUAAAUUAGUGACCAAAAAAAAAAAAAUUGAUCUUACUUUGAUUCCCUUCCAUAAUUCUUCAAUGCGGCUGUAGCACAUUUUAAAUUCAACAGUUUUAUCCAAUUGCAAAUUUGAUGGCAAAGAUUUCAAAGGAUACCGAUGCCAAUCAAGUAAUCGCAACCUGUUCGAGAGGUAUUCUAGGCCUUCAGGAAGUUGCACAUUACUGAUUUUGAGCAAUCUUAGGUUGGUCAUCAGUGAAAAUGCUUUAGCACUUAAAUGCACAUCAUUUCCACGAAGGAAAUAAUCAUCAACCAUUAUUCCUUCAACUACUUCACUUCCCUGAAAAUUAUAAACAAAUUUGUUCGUUAGAGAUUUAACUAGCUAAAAGAAGUGAGCUGAGCUGGAAAAUAAAUACUUUUAGAUCCCCUUUAUUAUCACUUACUGUAUUUUGUGACAACACAUGGUGUACAUCUGCUUCCUUCCACAAUCUACUGCGUUUUCCAGGCUCGUCGGGGGAUUGUCUCCUAACAAUUUGGUGACCCAUUUCUUGUAUCAAAUCAUGCAUCCACAAUCUGUUAUUCUCAUGUACUGUUAAUAAAGAUUUUUCUAUGAGAACUUCUAUUCCAAUGACUGGGGAAAAACCACAUCCUUCUAGAAUUUUCGAUACAUAAUCUCUAGUCUUCCAUUUAAAGAAACAUGCAAUAUCGAGAAAUAUUUUCUUCUCUAAUUCUUGUAGUCCGUCAAAACUUAUUUGAAGUAUACUCAUAAUCUUAUUGGGAGGCUCUAUUUGUAGCCUUUCCAAGGUGCUUUUCCAUUGAUCCACGGAUCUACCAUUCAAAAAGGAACCCAAAACUUCGAGAGCUAACGGAAGACCACCGGCAUACCGUAGAACACGUUCAGACAGCUGCACACAUUCUUCAAGAGGCUUUUGGAUUUUAAAAGCUUUCAUGUUGAAAAGUUGAAGAGCAUCAUGGUAAUUUAGUUCAUUAGGCUUAUAUACUUCAUCCAUUCCAUGUGUCCUUAAUAGAUGUUCAUCUCGCGAUGUUACGAUGAUCCUACUGCCUGAACCAAACCACUCACGCUUUCCAGCUAAAUACUCUAAUUGCUUUAUGUCAACCACAUCAUCGAUAACAAGAAGAACCUUUUUGUUUUGCAGCCUGCUUCCUAAAAUGUUGAUGCCAUCACCGACAUUCCAUAUGCUAUCUUUUUCAAGCUUCAAUAUUUCGUAAAGGAGUUGCCUUUGAAAAGAGAUUACACUGCCUUCGUUUUCAAAUUUUUCUCUAACAUCGGCAAGAAAACUACUCCCUUCAAAUUCAUGAGAGAUCAAGUCAUAAACAACUCUUGCAAGAGUCGUCUUACCUAAACCUCCCAUACCACAAAUGCCUAUCAUACGAACAUCAUCAUUAGGCCCUUCAUCCAUAAGAGACCUCAAUUCUUCCAAGCGUGAAUCUAUUCCCACUAGCUUCUUAAGAGUCUCUGAUUUUACAGGAAUUUUACUUGAUAUCGCCUUGACAAUAUCCCAAAUAAAUUCUGACUCAUUCCUACAGUUAAAGAACAAAGAAAGAUCAGUAUGGUUAAAUUACAGUGAGUUUGAAUGCGGUAUUAAAUAAAUUUAGUAAUAGAAAAAGCCCAAAAUAUGCAAUAUUCGUUGGACAAAAUUGAAGUAAUGUAAGAUGUUGUUACAUAUGGCUAAUCUUUAGGUGCGUUCGUGUAAAUAUCUGCAUCCAUUGGUACCACUUUUGUUCGUAAAUAUUCUUAUAUGGAGCUAUUAUUCAAUUAGUACACAUCAUAUCAUGCACAUAUUGAAUAAAAGUUGUUUAAUUGACAACAGUAUGCUGAUUAAAGCUAUUUAAAAUGAUAUACAAAAUAAUAAGAAUGGCUACCUGUACUCUUUCAAUUCCCAGCCAGAAAUAUUAGCCACCUCUUUCAAAGCGUCUCUCCAAUUUUUCACCUUUUCUAGAUUCUCCCUAAAAGCUUCUUCAUGUUUCGAAAAAGCUUCUCGAAAACUUCCGGUUUGUUUCCUUACCACAGUGGGUUCAACAUCAUAGAAAAUUGGAAAAACCAUUUGUUGAUGAUCGUUUUUGUUCUUGCAUUGAACAAUCUUAACAAGUUCAUCCAAGCACCAAGUGGAGGAAGCAUAGUUUUGGGAGAAAACAAUAAUUGAAAUUCUAGAAUCUUCAAUUGCAUUAAGAAGUCCAGGUGAAAUGGAUGUUCCUCUCUCGAGUUCUUUGUCAUCCUUGAAUACAUAAAUUCCUUUUCCAUUCAAAGCAGCAUAGAGAUGACUUAUGAAGCUUUUACGGGUGUCUGCUCCUCUAAAGCUUAAAAAGGCAUCAUAUGGCCAAUGAGGCAUAUUUUGUAUGCUCGAGGAAGCCAUUACAAUAUUAAUUUGUUCUGAAAAUUUUUUUUUAAAAAAGAAAUGAUUGCCUAGGAACAAUACUAUGUAAACAACAACAUUUAUCUAGAGUUAUGGAUUAUCUCAAAGUGUCAAAGUCGUAUCCACUAGCUUAGGGAGUGUUUGGUGCACUACAUUAUGUCGCAGUACUAUGUUUUAGUGUAGUAUGUACAAUAGUGUUUAUUUAAAUAUUUUAUACUAAUAUUAUUAUCAAAUUUUAUUAUUUGACUAAUAAAAUUUAAAAAUUUAUUAAUAAAUAAUACUUAAUUAUAUUGCUUGAGCCUUAUUGCGUAGCAAUAUUACAUUAACCUUUAAAACAGUGCCAUAUUUAUUGCGGUAUAUGCAUGAUCUUGUUUAUCUAAAUUUUUUUAUAAUAUUAUUUUAUUAAAUUUAUUGGUUAAAUUCAUUAUUAAAAUAAACACUUCAUUAAUGAAGUACUUCUAUUUCUAUUUAAGUAAAUUAUAAAUCUCUCUAAAAAAAGUAAAUUAUAAAUGUGUUAAGUAAUAAAAUAAUUGAUUAAAAUUAUUUUUACAUAAUAAAAGUAAAAUAAUAAAAAUGAUUUUAUAAAAUAAAAGUAAAAAAAAGUGUGUAAUUAUUUAUAUUAAAUUCAUAUUAUUUGGAUUUAUUUAUAUUUAAUUAUAUUAUUUGAUUUAAAUAUCUUAUUUAAAUUUAGGUAAAAUGACACUUACACCCCAAGAUUUGGGAAAAAAUGGUUCUGUAGACACCAUAUUUUCAAUAAGAAACACUAAAAUCCUCUUUUAACUAUGAUACCAUUUAGCUCUAAUAACUCAAAAAAAUUAAUUUCAAUGUUUUAUAAUUAAUAUAAAUAUGAUAUUAAAUAAAUGGAACAAUAUCUAUUAAAAAAUAUUUGUAAUAAAUAGAAUUAUAAUAUUAAGAUAAAUAUAUAAAAAUAAUUUUAAUAUUAUUAAUACAUGAAAUCAUUUUUUUUAAUUGUAAAAUCUAUUUAACCUAAUGAUGUAUUUAAAUUUUUAAUAAUAAAUACAAAUAUAUUAGUAAAAUAUAAUAAUUUACAUUUUUUAAAAUUAUUUUAUUUUUAAAAUAUUCUAAUAUUAUUGGUCUAUUAGAAAAAUUAAAAUAUUAAAUUAUAUAUGUAUUUAUUAAAAAUUGUUAAAGUCAAUGUUUUUAGUUACUAUCUACAAAAGUAGUAUAGCUGAAAAAAGAUUUUGGCGUCCUUUAUUAAAAAUUUGAGACUUUACAUAACUAUUUCCUUAAAUUUCUAACUAGAUUAUAACUUAUUAUUUUAAUAAAUAGUUAAAUGCUAAAAUACAAUUUUUGAAGUAAUUUUUAAAUAAUAAUAUUCAAUGUCAGAUUGAAUUAAAAUUCUCUUAUGAUUUAAUAUGUGAUUGGUGGUUAAUAUAUAAUGAAAAUAAAGAAGUUCAAUAGGUACCUCUUUGUAUGUUGUUUUAUAAAAGAUUUAUCUACAAUAACUUAAAAGAAAUCAGAGUUACAUAUUUAUCACCAAAAAAAUAAAAACAAAAAUAUUAAGGCAAUAACUAAUCAUCGAAACUAUAUAUAAGCAAAGAGAUUUUGAGAGAGAAACUGAAACUUUUUCAUUUCCUUUCAACAACCCGAUAAAAAUGGACAAAUAUAUAAUAAUUGUAUUCUUUUUUUCAGACCUCGACGGGGAGGGUGAAUUUGAUUAAAAAUAAUUGACAAUAAAUUGGCCCAAAUAUUUUUAAAGUAAAAAUUUAUUGAAAUAAAAAGUUAUUAAACUUGACAAUGGUUCUGAAUUCAAAUUAAUGAUCUUAUUCUCAAACAAACUAAACAGAUAAUCCAUCAGCUUCUCAAUUACUCUCUUUACCAAAAAGAAAAUUAAAAUUAUACAUAAUAAAUCCCAAAAUGUAAAGUAUUUGUUUUUCAAGUGCCGAUUUGAGAGUGUGUACACCGAUCUCUACUUGAGCAAAUCUUGAUUAAAGCCUCUUAGAGGAGUUUGUACAAAAUUAACAUUAAAGAAUUUCUUUCAAUUUUAUCAUUAUUUAUUUGUUUUUAAACAUUAAGAUAUACAAAUUAAUUCUGAAAAUAAAAGAGAGAGAGAUGUAUAAGAUCGAACUUACGGCUUUUGAGUGUAUUGUAGGACGCUAGUUAAAUGAACUCCGAUGCAGUAUUUGAUUCAAAGAAUUUAAUCAUGCAAAUAUAUUCUUUUGGCGAAAAAUAAAGCAAUCAGCAAAUAUGUAUGUAUUUCCAAAAGCAAGUCUUCGUCAAAAAGUGACUUUCUUAAUAAUUAAUAGACAUUUGUCACUGUUUACUCACAUGAUGGAGUUACCAUCAAACUUGCUGGAAGCUUCAAGGAAUCUAAGCGAAGAUUAUCUGGCUUUUCAAUUGAUGAUGCAUCCACGCCACUCUGCCCAUUACCCAUGUUGAAACCAUUGGAUUCCAUUAAAAUGGAAUGGAAUCCAACGGUUGAUAUUAAUAAUUAAUUAAAAAUAGUUAAAACUACUGGCAACCCAUAGGAAUGGUAAAUCUUUAUUAGUUAAAUUUCAGUUGGAUCCCUAAAAGAUGUUGGAUUCUUUUGGUAACAUUGUAGUUUUUUUAAACUAAUUAUUGUUAAUUGAAUUAUAGAAAUAAUCAACUAUAAAGAUAAUCAAUCAAACAUUCGAUAUGAAUUUCAAAAAUUUUAUAAGUUUUAAAAACAGUCGUAUGUACUUGAUAAAUCUUAUUAUUAAACUAUCAUAAGAUUGUAAAUGACAAGAAUGUAAAUGAUUAAGCUAGACAUAAUUUUGAAUAAAAUUUAUUUACAUAUUUAUAAAUAUGUAUAUAAAAUAAUUUUUCGUGUGUAUAUAUAAUAUUUGAUGACUAAAGUAAAUAUUUUAUAUUAUCAAUUUUAUUUUUUAUUUUGUUAUCUCAAUAUAAUUGAUGAUAAUAAUAGUAAUCUCUUUAAAAUUAAUGAUUUUAUUUCCUAAUUAAUAAAGAUAAUUCAAUAUAAACACUAUCAAUAAAUUUAAAAAAUCAAUUUAUGGUAAUGAAAAUAAAUAUGCAAAAUAAUGAACAUCCACAACACGAAGAUUUUUUUACGAGGGAACCUUUGAUCCUCACGAUUUAAGACAAAAAUCUUGAUAUAUUAUUAUGUCCACUUGUAGACAAAACAAUUUACUAUGAAAAUAAUGUGAGUUUACAAUGGAUCAAGAACACAUACAAAGCUUCGCAAUCCUAAACAUCUCAAGUCUAAAUCCUAUUGUGCCAACCCUCACAGACUAAAACACAUUAUCUAAAAUACGUUUGAACAUUUUCCAAGUGGAUUUAGGUGGAUAGCCUUACCAAGACUUAGGUCUUGGGUUUGAGUCUCAUGUAGUAUAGUCUUAUAGACUUUAAUUCGGUGCUCUAAGGAAUCUCCUAUUGUUCCUAUCUAAGUUUCUUUGCCGUAUUCACCAGUGCAUUUUAUUCAUUGCAAAGAUGCCUUAUUUUCUAUUGCUAAUGCUAUUGGUAAGCCUCUGUGAGUAGACCAUGCUACUAUUGCUGUUAAUCGACCCUCGGUCGCUAGAGUUCUAAUUGAGUUGGAUGUUUCGUGGCCGUUGUUGCCCAAACUUUGGAUUGAAGGUGAUGGCGGUUUCUAGUAGAAUGUCAUUUUUAAGCAUGUUCCUUUAUAUUGUGCCUCGUGUAAACAUCUUGGGCACUCUACUAAUACUUGUUUUGUUGCCAAUCCUGGGCUCUGGGAACCUUGGCAGCCUAUUAGUCAGGUGCAGGAUACUGUUGUUCAUGAUAAAAGCAAGAUGUUGAUGUCUGAUGCUGCUGUGCAUCCAAAGGGGAUGGCGAAGAGGUUCAGCCAUUGGGGCCUAAUGGUAGUGAGGGUGCUCCUCUAGAUGCUCAAUUACUUAUUUAUUAGGAUACUGCAGAAGAUGGGUUUGAUCUGAUUUCUAUGAAAAGAAUUCAAACUGAUGAUGGUUUGAAGGAUCCUACUACUUUAGGAGAUGCUGUUGGAUGCACUGAGGUCUCUAACCCUCCUUUUUUAGAUGAUCCGAGUGUUCAGAGGGCUUCCACUGAUGCUACUUUUUUUUGAGUUGCUGAAGAGGAUAUUCGCUCCAUGAUCGUGGGCUUCAAACCCCAUUCUACAGACAUCCUUUUUCAGUUUGAUGAGAAUUUUAGCUUUGAUGGGAAUCCUGUGACUAAUGAAUAUUUUGCAUAUGAGCCUGAGGGUACUAGAGGGCAUGAUCUUGAUGACUUUCGUGUUGCCGGGCCACAUGCCUCUGUUCUAAGAAAGGUUUCACAUUAGUUACUAGCCGCAAGAAUUGGAAGCGAUUCUCUAGGCGGUUGCAUUAAUUAGUCCUAUCUUCCAUUGCUUUUGUUAUUUUUCCUGUUAUUGGAUGUAUUUGUUCCCAUACUUCGAGGUUUUGGCAUAUGUCUCUCUCCAUAUGAAUUUUAUUUUAUUUUAUUAAUUUACUAGUGAAGGGUCCCGCCUAACCCCACACCCCACCUUAAGGUGGUUUUUAAUUUUUAAAAAAAUCCUUAUAGUUCUCACAAUUUUUUUUCUAUGUGAAUCAAGCAUCAAAAUCUGCUCACAAGAAUAAUCUAAGAGUAAAUUGAUAUUGGAUGUGAGAGAAUCCGUCUUGGAUUUAACACCUUCAAUCUCAAAGACCUUGCAUCAACAAACUUGAUGAAGCUAAAGACAAGAGAAUAAAAUAAAUGCUAAUUUAAUUCCUGAUGUCUGACAAUAACAUAGUUUGCACUCAUUAAAAUUCCAAUUUAAAACAUUUGCUUCUAACCCUUAAGAAAAGUAUUUCUCCAAAAUCUAGGGUUUAAAAAUAAAUUUUAAGGACAUAAAAAUAAGAAGUCACUAAAUUCUUCUCCAAGAUAAAAUUUUUUGGCCUCAGCACUUGUACGCUCGCUCGAAAUCGACGGCCGGUGGAGCUUAAAAUGAUGCUUUUACAUUUCAAAGAGAUGAGGGAAUUGCUAUUGGAUCCACCAAAUUGGAUUAAAUCAAUGGGUUGAAGUAGUGGAGUACGUGGCAGCUUCAGAACCCUUGGACGGCGUUCCAUGAUCAAAUGAUGGUCCGGAUACAAAGUCAGCCACCCAGUAACCUAACACACGCGGAUCAGCGGCCAACAGGACACGUCACAUACAUCCUGCGGUCCAACCAAACGCGGGUUGAUAUCGGGUCAAACACGUAUUCAGCGGACGGACCUACGUGAGGUCGCAUUCAGAAUCAGAGGUCAAUCAAGUUGAGUCAACAGAAAAGUCGAUAAAGAUGCAUCAUAACUCCGUACAGCAAAAGUACACAAGAUUCCAAUCUCCCUCAAAAUCUGUCGGGGGACUCCAAAUGGAUAAAAUAAUAAUUUUUCUCCUAAUGAUUUUUAGCAUAAAGUUUUCACAAAUUUUAAUACAUUGGACAUUUUAAUUUUAUUUGAAAUGAAAUGCUAUCAGUAAAUGGCUCUUAAAUAAUCAUAAUCAGCACACAACCAGCAAAUUGAAGGAGCAGAAAACCAAGAGAACAAACUUUCCUCUUAAAAUUCAUUCAAUUGAAUUUUAUAUGUGAAAAAAAAAUAAUACAUAAAUAUGUAAGACAAAUAUUCUUGCAAAGCAAACGCUGAGAUAUGAGUAAAAUUAAAAAUGUAAGAAAAUUAACUGGCAUUUUUGAGCUUAUUGGAAGCAAUAAAGAUCGUAAAUUUUUACUUGAACUUCUAAUUAAGGUUUUAUUUAAAAUUGAGGUUGGGAAGCUGUAAUUUUUAAACUACAACACUAAAGUGUUUAAUAAAUAUUAAUUAUUAUAUCCUGAAAAUUAAGUUGUAUGAUGAAAAAUUUAUUAUAUUUUUAUUAAUUUUGUAAAAAUUAUUAUUUAAAAGUUAUAUUCAUUAUAUAUUAUUAAUUUUUAUCUUAUAAUUACAAAUUUUUUAAUAAUUUAAAACUAAAAAAUUACAGUAUCUCGAUAUGAAAGAAGACUUAACUUUCUUUCAAAGAAAUCAAUGAAAGGAAUGUUUUGUGUUCUAAUUAAUUUCUCAAAAACAAAAAGUGUAAUCAAAAGUGUAUGCCGAAAGCAAUUACGAAGAAUGAUCAUGAUCUUCUUUAGUGGUGCAUGAAAUCAACAAUAUGGUGGACAUGAUGUUGAGGAAAGCAAUGAUUUCGUUUAGUAUUUUAUCAAGGGCGGCUUCAAUGUAAUUGUAUUUUAUAAGCCAUACCAAUGCAUAAUUUUUAGGCAUAAUUUUAGCAACAGGUGAGAGACAGUGUAAGAAACUAACAUGAGGCCAUUUACUACAGUACUUGUCCGACAGUGACAUAUUCUGCAACCCCACGGAAAAAAAAAGUGAGUAAAUAAACAAAAUAAAAAGACAUAACAUCUAUUGCAUAAGUUUUAGGCAUAAUGUUAGCACAGGUGAGAGUGAGAGACUGACCUCAGAAUUUUUAAUGUUGCCAAAUCAUAGUUGCCAGUCAAUUUCAAGCAAUCCACACACUCAAGGCUUAACAAUGGGAGUCGAUGCUCGUUUAAUUUUAAUACAUCUGAUAAUGUCUCCAACGACACACAACCAUCUAACAAAAUCCAUUGUAUACUGGCUGGAAGUCGAGGAAGAGUUUGAAGCAUUUUGCAUUCCUCUAAUUCAAUCUCCUGAAGAUUAGAAAGACGGUAGAUGCUUGCCGGUAGCGAAACAAAACUGUUUCUACUCAAACAUAACUUUUCUAAUGAGCAUAAGUCGCCAAUACUACUUGGGAUUGCUCCUUCCCCUAGGUCACAGUCACUGAUAUCCAAUUUCGUUAAACUACACAAACCUGACAGAGAAGACGGCAAACUCAAAGCCACCGGAUCUGAACUCCAUUGCAUCAAAUUGAUAGGAGAGCGCAGAAACCAUGAUGCAGAUGAUGGUGAUCCUUUGCACCCACGACAAGAUAGUUCUUUAAGAUUCUUCAUAAGAAAAAUCGACGAUAGAGGUUGCCUUAUAGCUGUACCACUUAUAUCAAGUUCUUCCAGACUUUCUACUUGCCCAAGCGUCUCAGGCACAUUUUCAAGUUUGAAGCAGCCUGAGAGAUUCAAAGUUUUGAGGGAUUUCAAACCAUUUAUACUGCUAGGAAGUCUCACGAGACUUCUACAAUCAUUCAAAUUCAACCAUUGAAGUUUGGUCAAAAGCUCUAUAGAUGAUGGCACUUCUGUGAUAGAAGUUCCAUCUAAAAAGAGCUCUGACAGAUCUACCACACUUAUCACAGUCUCUAGAAAUUUCACUAUUUUCGAGCAACUAGAUAGCACGAGCGUUUGUAGACAUUCUAAACUGCCUAUUGUAAUUGGAAGACUCGCGAGAUUUCUCCAAUCUUUCAAAUUCAAUGAAACAAGGCCAGACAUAAGUUCAAUUGACACUGGCAGUUCUUUGUGUUGGGGAAAAAUUAGAUUUUUAAAUUUUUAUAAAACCUUUUGAAGAUCGCUCUCAUAUAAUAUAUAAGAAUUUGUAUUCUAGAAAUCGUACCUUGAAAAUUCGAGUUGGCUUUUUCCGCUGAAGUGAUUUAGGCUCCCAGAUCACGAUCCGCCAUCACCACUCCUGUUAGAUCACGAUCCGUCACCACCACGCUUGUUAGAUCACGAACUGUCACCAAUGAUCUUCCAGGUUAUGACUCAGGUUCGAUUUGCACUUGACGUGUGGGCGCCUUUAUCACUACCAAAGCAACUAGCACGAGAAAAUUUUUCUCUCAACAAUAGAGAGAAAAAUCUUAUUCUCUGAUCUGUAUAAAGUGGCUGCUCCUUUUUCUUUAGAGAAAAUAAGCCUUUUAUAUCACCCUUUAGUGAAAACCCUAGGCUCCAAAUAAUCAAAAAAUAAAACCCACGUUAUUUUCUUUUUCAAUAGGGGACCCACCUUGUAAAAUAACAUAAGGCCCCUUACACAAAAGCUAAUUAAAUGGAGCCUCCCACUAAAUGAUAUAUUUAGGCUUUUGACCCAAAUAGCUAGUUAUCUUACUUAUUAGUCCAGUAGUGGUGCAGUCAAUUAAAUGAGCUAAUCCGGGGAUCAUUUGGGAACAUACAAUACUGGCUACAAUAAUUAGGCCUGUAAUUAAACUAGCCCAAUUAUUUAAUUCCAAAUCUACUCCACUAAAAGAUUGGAACUGACUUCCAUAAUUGUAUACUCAAAUAAUAAUUCGUCCCAAGCCACAUUGAUUUCUUUACUGCACAAUCCUUUGUACCACAUCGUUAAUUAAAUUGAUAUCUCAACUGUCCAAUCAAUUUAAUAACAUCUUAUUCCUUGAUCAUUACUGGUUUUCUCUAAUGAUCAUUUUCAACAUACUAAAUAGUUGACACACUCUGGCUAGAGAAUUCUAUGAUCAAGUACCGAAAACCUAUCAAGAGAUGUGUUGUACAAAUUCUAUAUUGUUAAUCCAUAACUCCAAUACUCAUAAUUGCUCCCACCAAUAUACCGGGUAAUCUUGACCACAAGGAUGUGUCGUGCCCAUUGGUAACUCAAAUGAAAUAACAAUUACAAUCAUGAAAUCAUAAUUAACUCAAGAUUAAGAUUACAGUAAAAUCAACGCCUAUGAGAUUUAGUAAGUCUGACAGUUAUUACAAAGUUAAUUAAAUCUCAUAUGUGAUCUUGUUCAAUGUAGUCGUACUACAUCAAUAAAUUCAUACAUGAUUAAGACUAAUCAUUCAAUGAAUUUAUUACAGUCUAUACCUAAAUAAAGUGCCUAACUUUAUUUAUCAACUGCGAACUAAAUUUAUUUAAUCAUAAGAUAACUUGUAUUUAUGUCUUCUGUGAAUCCACAUGGUGAUCACAUAAAUACAUAUAAUAUGAUUAAAUGGACUUUAAUACAAAUAUUAAUGCAAUUAAGAUAUUUGAAUAAAAUACCUCAUUAAUUUUAGUAAUAAAAAAAAUAUUUAUUACAAUUAAAUAAACACAUAUGCUUUUAAAGAGCAUAUUUUCUCAACAAUCUCCCACUAGCUCUCAAAGCAUAUCUAGCAUAUUGCUCAUGCUCUAGGGCUCUAAGUGCAGGUUAUAAAGGUUUCCCACUAAUGGCCAUUGUAAUAAGAUCUGUCAUUUAGCAUCUAAUGCCAUUUGGGGUACUGUCAUAUAACCUUUCUACACUAUUCCCUUAUAAGAUGAUACUUCUUGUCAAUAUGUUUUGUUUCUUGUAGUUCCUUGGUUCCUUAGAUUGAGCUACCGCACCACCAUUAUCACAAAAUAGUUUAAGGGGUGCAGUUACAACAGGUACCACCUCAAGAUUACGUAGGAACUUACGGAGCCAUAUAACUUCUUUUGCAGCUUCAGAUGUAGCCACAUAUUCAGCUUUAGUUAUUAAGUCUGUGAUACAAGAUUGUUUCACACUCAUCCAACUAAUAGCUCCACUUCCUAAUAUAAACACAUAGUCGGAAGUUGAUUUUCUGGAAUCCUUAUCUAACAUAAAGUCAGAAUCAGUAUAACCCACUGGAAUGAGUUCAUCACCGGAAUACCCAAGCAUGUAAUUUUUAGUUCUUUUCAGAUACUUCAUUAUAUGCUUGACUGCAGUCCAGUAUUGAGGUCCAGGAUUAAAUUGAUAUCUGCUAACCAUCCCUACCACAAAACAGAUGUCUGGCAGUGCAAAGCAUGGCAUACAUGAGACUUCCCACAACUUCUGCACAGGGAACUCGUCUCAUUCUCUCUAUCUCUUCAGAUGUUUUAGGUGAUUGAUCCUUAGAGAAUGUAAUUCCAUGUCUGAAUGGUAAUAAACCAGUCUUGGAAUUUUCCAUGCUAAAUCUAGCCAAUAUCUUAUCGAUAUAGACCGCUUGAGACAAGGCUGAAGUUUUAUUCUUCCGGUCUCGUAGUAACUUGAUACCAAGAACAUAACUUAUCUCUCCCAGGUCUUUCAUAUUAAAUUGUUUUGCUAACCAAAUCUUUAUUGUAGUCAAUACUUUUAUAUCAUUUCCAAUCAGAAGAAUAUUGUCUACACAAAGAACUAGGAAGGCUACAAAAUUUCCCUGAAUUUUCUUGUACACACAUGGUUCAUCAAUGUUCUGAAUGAAUCCAAGCGAUUUAAUUGCUUGAUCAAAUCUGAUGUUCCAUGACCGGGAUGCUUGCUUCAAUCCAUAAAUGGAUCUCUACAACUUACAUACCAUGUGUUCUUGGCCUUUUUUGUAUAAAUCUAUCUGGUUGCUGCAUGUAGAUGUUUUCUUCAAGAUGCCUGUUAAGAAAGGCAGUCUUGACAUCCAUUUGCCAAAUUUCAUAAUCUAGCACUGCAGCAAUGGAGAGCAGAAUCCUGAUGGAUUUAAGCAUAGCAACCGGAGAAAAUGUUUCCUCAUAAUUGAUUCCUUCUUUCUGAGUAAACCCUUCGGCUACUAAUCUUGCUUUAAAUGUUUCCAACCUUUUGUCUACUCCUUUUUUUCUCUUAUAGAUCCACUUGCACCCUAUAGGUUUUACCCCAUUUGAUGCCUCUACAAGUUCCCAGACUUUAUUGGAAUACAUAGAUUCCAUUUUUUUAUUCAUGGCCUUUUUCAAAAAAUUCAACAUCUCUAUCUAUUAGAGCUUCGUUGUAACUAGUGGGAUCUUGUACAUGUUCAUCUGAGAUAGCUGUAUAGGUUUCUCCCAAAAGCAUGUAUCUCGCAGGUAACCUAGUUACCCUCCCACUACGACGAGGUUCUAAAAGUGAUGGUUGUUCAAGGAUAAUCCUGUGCUGAUCAGCUGGUUGUUGCUGUUCUUCCUGUUCUAUAACAGGUGUUGAAAGCUUAGCAUCAACCUGAUCUCUUUUAUUUCUCUAGUUUUACCUUAUUCUUAGGUUAUAAGUAAUUAUAUAGUCUUCCUCAAAGAAAGUAAAGAAUAUUUCUAUAAAUACAUUCCUAUCUUGAGGACUAUAAUUCAGACUUUUCCUUAUUCCUUUAAGAUACCUAAAACACGCAAGCUUCUGAACACGAAUCCAUCUUCUCUAUCUCUGGUUCUAGUAGAAAUACUAGUAAACUCCAAAUACGAAUGUGUCUCAAACCAUGUUUGUGACUUUUUCAUAAUUUCUUGGAGUAGUAGACACCAAGAUAGAUGAAACUAAGUUCAACAAAACUUUGUAGUUUCAAAUACUAGUAUCUGGAAUAAAAAAGGUAAAUGAUAAACCACUUAGUAUAUAUGUUGUCUUAUCCAAAAGAAUCUUGUUUCUCCAUUUAAUUAUACUAUUGUAUCAUAGUGUUCAUUGACAACCAAAUAGUGCUUGAAUUCUCCAUAGAGAUAUUCUUUGUUUCGAUCAUAUCGAAGUUCUUUUAUGUUCCUGUCUAAUUGCUUCUGUCUUAUCCACGUACUCUUUUGAAUUUCAAAAGCAAUGGAAUGAUGACGCAUUUAGACAAACAUAAAUAAAAUGAAUAUUCAUCAACAAGAUUGAUAGAAUACUCAUAACCUCUUAUAACAUGUAAACUGAUUAGUCCGUAUACAUUUGUAUGCGCUAAAUCAUCAAAUACAAUGUUAUGCUUUUAGCUCAAAAAGAGCAUCCUUGUCAUAUUACUUUUCUAAAUAAGAUUUAUAGAGUUACAAUGAUCAAUCUUAAUAGGCCAACAAGUCUAUCAUUAAUCAUUUUCUUAAAAUCUUAUUAUAGUUUAUAUGACUUAAGCAUAAAUAUCAGAGGUAAUUUUGGUUUGAAGAAACAUUUCUUUUCUUAGAUAAAUGCAUAUACUCUUUAUCAUUAUAUCUUACUUUGAAUAGAUCAAUGGACUUAUAUGAUAUAAAUUGUCUUUAUAAAUAAUCAAAAUAAAUAAUAAACAGAGGAUAAAAAAAUAACAGUGUACUCCUGUUUAUUAAAACAAGUCACCGAAAUUAAUAUUCCUCUAAUAAUUGAAAAAAUAAAGACAAAUAUCAAAACUUUAAGUCUUGUAAAAUUGAUCUAGCCUUUCAAUUGAUAUAAACUAGCAUGUCCUCAACUGCUAUUUGAAGCUUUAUUCACUUAAUCUCUUGGUUUCCUGAAAACCAAAUAAAUGAAUUACAAAUAAGAUUAGUUAUCUCAGAAUUCAUUAUUGUAUGAAUCAAUAGAAAUCUGAACUAAUUAGGAAGCUUAAAGAUUUCCUAUACUUGAUUUUAACAAUCUUAGGACAAUCUUUCUUCCAAUGACCCUUCUGUCCACAUUUGUAACACUUGCCUUUUGGCUUGCCACUUCUUUUAGUGGACAGUUUGCCGAUCCUAACUCUUGCUUGCUCAUUCUUGUCUUUCGACUUAAGCCUUGAAGAGAAUCAUUUUUCAGGAAGUUUUUUGCUAUGAUAAAAUUCUUCUAUAGCAUGUAGUUCGUGCAUUAAUUCAAUUAAGGUCAUAUCUUUAUUGUUUAAGAUAUAGCUGACCUUAAACUCUUUGAAUGUAUCAGGUAAAGAUUCAAUCACCAUGUUAAUCUUUGAUUUAUCAUUGAUUUGAACACCAUGAAUCUCUACCUCAUUCAAAUAGUCCAUCAUUUUGAGGACAUGAUCACAAACUUUUGUGCCCUCUUCCAUCUUAGUAUCCGUAAUACGUUUUAAUGUUGCUUCUCUGGCAAAAUGGGUAUUUUGCCCAAACAUCUGAUGAAGACUAGCCAUUAUUUCAGUGGCUGUUUCCAUGCUCUGAUGUUUCUUAUGCAGUUCCACAGAAAUCGAAGCCAAUAUAUAGCGCUUAGCCAUUUUGUUAGCUUCGCACCAUUUCUUAUAAGGCUCCCUCUGAUUUCUAUAAUCGUAUAACGAUGGUUCAGGAGGGCAAGGCUGGGUCAACACAUAUUUGCUUCCUUUAGCAGUGAGAAUAUUAAAUAGAUUGCGUUUCCAAUCUAAAUAAUUUUCGCCAGUGAGUUCAUUUUUAACAAGGAUAAUUAAUAAUGGGUUGAUGGAAGACAUUUUUUGAAAAAAAUAAAAUAAACAUGCAUAAAUACUUUGAAACAAUAUUCACAAUAAAUGACAAAAAUGCAAAAAACCAUAAAUGCAUUUUAAUUUAUUGUAACGAUAAUCUAGUACCGCUUUGACAAGCUAUCCGUUGGGGAAGUCAUGUCUACACUUACUAGACCCAAUUAUCCAUUAGAUUAUUUACUUUCAUGUAGAGACAUGAUAAAUAAUUAUCGUUAUCCCUCUGGGCCUAAAUUUGUUAACAGACAUUCGUUGGGAAGGUUAAUAACAAACUUUAGUUGAGUGUAUAACCAUUGUUUCAAUCUACGUAUUUUUCAUAUCAAUAGUCACCGUUGGGGUGAACAAUCGAUUGAAAAAUAUUUUGAUUUUAUCUUUGAAGAAGUUCAUCAAAUAAAAUAUCUAAUAUAUAUACCCUCCGAAGGGAGCAUCACCGUAUCAUGAAGUCGAGGUAUAUAUAUAAUUUUAUUAUUGAACUAACAAUGGAGCCCGUGGGAAAAUUAUCUUGAAUUUUCCCUCUCCCACUCAAUAUUUUAAAAUUGGUUUUUCCUUUUAAAACAUACAUAUUGUUAAUUGCAUGCUUCCUAUAAUAUUAUCUAGAUGAUAUCCAAUAUUAUUAAGCAUAGGCAAAUUUCAAACAAUAUAAUGAAAUUCAUAAUUAAUGAAUGACAUGUAUCAUUAUGCAUAGAGUGGCACUAUCUAUCCUAUAUGACAUGUUAUCAUGGCAUGUUAUCAUCCAAAACAUAACAUAUAGAAAAAACAAUUAAAUAAUCUUAAUUCAUGGCUUUCCUAAUAAUGAAAAAAUACAUUAACCCUAAGCCUAAUCUUCAUUGGGCUUCUUGUAAAUGUCCAUCUUCCAUAAUCUUGUUUUUGUUAAUGGACUAGGAGAAAUUAGGCUUUUAAAUUUAUAAUUGGUCCAAUUUUAAUUUGGAAAGAAAAUAAAUAAAUAAUUAAAAUAAAAAUUUAUUAAAAUAAAACUUUUAGACCAAAAAUAAAUUUAAUGUAUUCAAUUUUAUCUAUGCAUUUUAAUCCAUUAAACCCAAUUGAAAUUGGGCCUAAAACUAGGAUUCAUUAAGCCCAAAACUAUGUUUGAACUUAAAUGCAAAAAAUUAAAAUUUUUCUGCCAAAAUGAAAACUUAUGGAACCAUAGGGACCUCCAUAAUAAAAACCAUGAAACCCUAAAUCCAUAUUUUUCUUUCUUCUUUCCCCAACCGCCAUCUCCAAAAACCUCCAGCCACUGUUCACUAUUGCCACCGAUCUCCGACGCCGACGCCAAACCAACCGCUGCCGCCUGGCCGGAAAACGUGCCAAAACAUAUUGAAUGCAGAGUGGUUGUUGAUUCAAGUCUGGUUCAGCUAACUCUCUAAGAGUUCUUUCUACAGGUGCAGGUCUGUCCAUCACUUGUUUUUCUGAAUCGCUAGAUGAUUCAACUAAAUCAGGCAUUGUAUCUGUUUCAGAAAGCAAAGGCGACGAGGAUCGUUGCUUAGCUCGCUUCGUCUGCUGUCUCAGCUAGCGAGCUGUCUUCUCAAUUUCAGGAUCAAACGAAAGUGUACCUGUACGAGAAGAACGAACCAUACACCAAGUAAAACGUAAAAAGGAUUAAAUAAAUGACACCAAUCCCCGGCAACGGCGCCAAAAUUUGAUGGUUGCUGAAGCUAACAAAAAUAAAUUCCUACUCUAAAUAAAUUGUGUAUAGUGAUUGAGUAGGGUAGUGUCCACAGUGAUUGGUAAUUAUUUAAAUCCUUUUGAAACGUAAAACGUAAAAUGGGGGAAUUGUUGACAAUAAUAAAAAUCAAAUUAAAAUAACAAGAAUGCAAAUUAAAGUUGUAAUUCAAAUUAGAGAAAGCUCUGGUUGAAGGAAUUAACUCAGCUUGAUUCGACUACUGAUCAUUGAUUCAAAUAUAGAUUAUUAUUACUUAUGAAUAGACCGGUUAUAGCUACUGAGACCCUCUAAUAGCCAAUCUCUCCUUAACUAGUCGAUAACCAAGGUACAACCAUUGGUUAUUUCCCUAAUCAAUCGACAACCCUAGAUACGAUCAUAAGAUUUAAUCAAUUGACAGCCUGAAAAACCAGAGAGACCCAAAUCCUAAUCAACACAUAUGAUGAUUCAUUUAAAUUAGAUUGUUUAUUCUCACAACACAACUCACUGAUAUGUUAUUUGUCACAAACAUUAAAUUCUUCAUACGAUGAAUUCUUUAAUUGACAAUAGAUUAAGUUGAUAAUUAAAUAGUGGCCAAUUACCUAAUUAACAAACAUAAUCAUGAAAAUAAUUCAGAGAAUAAACAAAUACCCAAAAAGUAAUAAAACAAUCAAAGCACAAGAAAGAUCUCACAGUAGUGAUGAAUCAAAGCUGCAUUAACCUUCAACCAGAAAAAUAGGUUUAGUUCUUCAUAGAGAGAAGAGAAAAGUUUAGAUGUAGGGUUUCUUUUUCCUCUUCCAAAAGUCCCCCUUUUUCAUAAUAGAUUCCUCUCUUAAAUACUCUCUCUCUCUUCUCCUCUAGAAUUCUAUUUAAAAUAAAAUACUAAUAUCUGAAAUAUUAAAUUCGUAAUUACAAAAAUAACCAAAAAUACAAAACACGUUAAACUAAAAACUGUAGGUCCAUAGUUGACAGCACGCGCCCACGCCUUAUCAACAAAGUUCUUCUGACGCUCAUAAUUUCUCCAAGAGAACAAUCAUCUUUAAAUAUCAUCUUAUAGCUCAAUUUUAUCACAAAUCAAUAAAAUUGCACCUACAAAAGUAAAACACAAGUAAAUCAUCAUUAUUAAGUGCAAAACAUCGAUAUUAAGGGAAGUAAACAAUGCAAAACUAGUGCAUAAAUUGCACUCUAACAACUGGUCACAUUAGAAAGGCUUUAUCACUGACAUUGUUGCUAAAGCAAUCAAAUAUGAUGCUUCGACUACAUCAGUUUCCUAAACAUUAUAACAAAAAAUAAGUGGGGAAAAAAAUUAAAGAAAGAAAUUAUUGAUAAAACUAUGCAAAGAGUUAACUAGUUAAAUUAGUGAUCAUGAUCCCAAAAUUGCAAGUUUUCAACAUAACUGAACAUUUACUUGUGUUUUGUAAUAAUACAUGGCAUACAUCUGCUUCCUCCCACAAUCUAAUGCAGCUUCCAGGCUCCUGAGGGAAUUGCCUCAUAACAAUUUGUCUACCCCAUUUCUUGUAACUACUCACGCAUCCACAGUCCGCUGAAAUCAUCUACGGUUAAUAGAGGUUUUUCAAUAGGACUAACAAUUUUGAUAAUUGGGUCAAAAUCACAAUAUUUGAGAUUUUUUUUCACAUAAUCUCUUAGGGGUGUUCGCGGAUCGGAUUUUACAGAUUGGACAUCGAUCCAUAUCCGAUCCAUCAUUUUGUGGAUUAUAAUUUUUCAAUCCAAUCCAAUCCAUGGAUUGAUAAAAUUCAAUCCAAAUCCAAUCCAUAUAUCUGCAGAUCAGAUGCGGAUUUGACUCAAUUCAUAUCCAAUCCACACGUCUGCGGAUUGAAUGCAGAUUUGACUCAAUCCAUAUUCAAUCCAUCAUUUUGUACAUUAGUUUUCGAAUUAAAAAAUUUUAAUUCUCUCCAACUAAUGAAAUAAAAAAAAACUAAUAUAAAAAUAAUUUUGCUACCAAUUAAAUUUAAAAUUGAAUAAAAUUUAAAUAAAUUAAUUGUUUAAAUAAACCUAAAAUAAUACAUUUAAAAUUUCAAAAUAUAACGCAUCGAGACUAAUUAUUCAAAUAAAGCUACAACAAUACGUUCAAAGUUUCAAAAUAUAACAUACCAAGCUUAAUUGUUCAAAUAAAAUUACAAUAAUACGUUAAUAUAACACUGAAAUUAAUUAUUCAAAUAAAGCCAGAAUUAAUUGAAAUGGCGAAGUUUUGGAAACCAAACACAGUCUGAUCCUUUACCAGGGCUGUUGCUCCUGUCGAAAAGUGGUGAUUACGGAGCCGUCCAUGAUGGGAACUAGGAGAAGCCGUACAGGUGGUGAUCUUGAAGGUUGUGAUAGUGCAAUUGUUCAGCUGGAACCAGUGAAUGUGAAGUGGCUCGAUGGACUUGGGAAAGAAGAUGGCUUGCUCUUACCAGAAUCGCGCGGCUGAUGUCCUUCAAAUCUGUGUCGAGAGUGUAUCCAACCAGUAUUGAGUGUUGCUAGUGUGUGUAACAACAGGGAAGCUUAGGGUUUUUUGUUUGCAAAUUGUUGAUGAUUUGGCGUCAUGUUACUUUGUUUUUGGGUGACUUUGCAAAUUGUUAGUGACUUGGCGUCAUAUUAUUUUGUUUUUGGGUGACUUUGCAAAUUGUUGGUGACUUGGCGUUAUGUUACUUUACUUUUGCUAGUACAUGUGACUUUGUUUUUAUUUUGUUUUACAAUUUUUACAAGUUAUAUUUGUGUAUUUGAUUAUUUAAUUAUUUUUCAUUUUAUAUUAUUAUUAGGUAAUGGCUAAGAUAUGUUAUAGUGCUUAUGUAACUAUGUAAUCUCACAUUUAUAAUUUUUUAAAUUAAAUUAUAUAUAUAUAUAUAUAUUGACGGAUUCACGUAUUUUUGCGGAUUUACAGAAGUAAAUCCAUAUCCAAUCCAUCGACUGCGGAUUUUUAAAUUUUCAAUCCAUAUCCAAUCCACCAAUCCAUAGAUUGGAUUUAUACGGUUCAGAUUAAGCGGAUCAGAUUAGAUUCUGAACACCCCUCUAAUCUUUAUACUUCCCUCAUAGAAACAUGCAAUAUUGAGAAAUAUUCUUUUUUCUUUUUCUUUUGACCCAUCAAAACUUAUUUGAAGUACAUGAAGAAUCUCACUUUCAGGACCUCUUUGUAGUCAUUGUAGUGCACUUUCCUGUUCAGCUAUAGUUCUACCAAACAAAAAUGAGCCCAGAACCUUCAGAGCUAAUGGAAGACCACCAGCAUUAAGGGGAAAAAAAUAAAACUUUACAAAACUAAGUUUUUGGUUUUUAGUGAAUGAGGUUUCUCAUCUCAUCUCCACCUUAGGGGAAAAAAAAUAAAACUAAAACUAAACUAAAACUAAAAUUGAUCAAGAAUUGUAGACGCAAAUAUUUCUCAAAGACCAAAGUUUACCUGUACAAAAAUAUGAAACUUGAUAAUGGUUCUGUUUUGGAAAUAAAUGAUGUUUUUCUUCAUAUUACUUCUGAAAAUUCAAAAACAAAAAUGAAAAUAAAGAGAACUGCAUAGCAUAGGACUUACAGCUUCGAUAUGUUGCAAGCAGUAGAGGAAUUUUCUUAAUAAGAAUUCCGACCGCAAACAUUCUAAGCCCUAACAUCCAAUAUGUUUUAAAUAUCAACUACAUGUCAACGACGGGGAAUUCCAAGGAAUCUUCUAUUUAAAGAAUCAACCAUUGUCAAUUCUUAUAAACGAAGUCUUCAAAUUGACAUUGCGGCCUCUGUUGUUUAAAGGAAAAAAAAAUUCAGUAGUUGUCAAUUCCUAUCAACCAAGUCCUCCAACCAAAAUUACAUACGGGGGUGGAGAAAAGAAAAAUAAAAAUCAAAUGUUGAAUCCUCUUGAUUGUAUCAUGGAUAAAUCUGAUUUAGAUCUGAGUCCAUAUUUUAAUAGAUUCAUCGACCCAUUUUCAGACGUGCCAUGAAUUGUAAAUUAAGCCAAAUAUUCACAAAAAACAACAAAGAAACAAAAACCAGAUUCUGUGUUUAGCCGCAAAUGGGCUGUUUCACAGCCAAGCAAGAAAACAAAUGAAGAAAAUUAAUUGCUUUCCAGUGGUUCAAGAAUUAAUACCAUUAUUGAUUGCUUCGAGAGUGUGGGAUUUAUCCCACCAUUUCCGCCAAGCCCAUAGACGUUAUGUGGAUCAAAGCUCACAAUUCAGGAAAGUUUUUUUUGCCUUUAAUCUUUUAUCCUUACGCUUUAAUUUUUAUGUGAGCUUUGAUUAUCUUACAUUGGGGACAAUGUAAGUUCUUGGUGUGGGGGAGGGAUUUUUGCAUUAUUGAUGUCUGGAAGUAGUAUUUUCACUCUACUCAUCCUUAAAUGAUUUUGGAGUUAGUAUGCUUCAUAUAUUAUUAUUUUUUCUUUUCUUUUCUUUCUCACUACUCUUUUCCCAUCUAUCUCAAAUUAUUUACAUCUAUUUUUAUUUUAUCAUACUCUUUCAUCACUCACAUUUUAUCUUUCACUUUUCAUAUUAUUACAUACAUCUUUCUCACUUCUUAUCAUUUUUACCUUUCCUUUUAUAUAUCACUCAUACCUUCUUCUCAUUCUAUACCACUAUUGAUGAUUGAUUCAUUUGAAGAGUGUACAUGAUUUGAUGGCAAUUUUACCAACUUUGUGAGGAUUUAACCCUAUGAGCAACCACUUUGCUCUAAUAUUUUUGUUAUGUGAAUAUCAAUCUUAGUUUGUUUAUUCUAGAACUUGCUUUGUUAUGCAUGUUGAAGCCGCAUUACGGGAUUUUAUGCAUUAAAAUGAUAAGGGUAAACCCUUUUCCAUUUUUCUAUUCUCGCAUUUUUUUUUCUCUACCUGAAGACCUUUAUUUACUAUCUUUGUUUGAGCCUUAACCAUUACCCAUCUAAUUCUCUCCGUCUACUUAACCAUUUUUCUUCUUUUUGAGCCUCAAUUUAAGGAGAUUUUUGGACUCAUUGUGUGGAUAUAAUUUGUUGCUUUUCUACCUUGUAUUAAAGUUUCUCAAUUAGAUCAACAAGCAUUAUGCUUGAAUUAAAUUGUGCAAGGUUCGUUUCUUUUGUUUGAUUCGAAAAAAAAAUAAAAAAUAAAAAAAAAAGAAAAAAAAAAGAAAAAGAAAAAUUGAAAAAAAAGAUCAAAAAAAAUGUUUCCAUUCUUGGUGACUUGAAUAGAAAUAAGCAUUUUGAUAUCAUAAGUUCAUUCAAUGAGUUCAUUAUUCUCAUUUUGAUCUCUUUUUCUUUUGUAGACCUUUCUUUUUCAUUUAACCUAUUUAACCCCAUUACAACCUUUUUAAGACCCUUAGAUUUUUGCAUUUUAUUCAUAUUUUGUGGAUUGAGAUGUGAUAUAUGAGCAAGCUUAUGGUAAUAGCAUUCUUUGAUUUGAUUUGAGUGCAUAAAUGAUACCCUAAACACUUUGAGUGCAUGGAGUGAAGUCAUUGAGAGGGCUAUUAAAUCUUGUUGCACUUGAAUUUUGAAUGGAUCUUCUUGGUGGUUGAAUGUUCUUAUUCUAUCUUAUGAGAUUCUAUGCUUUAAAAAUCCUUGUCUCUCGAAUGUUGAUCGACUUAAUUUCUUGAGGUAUGCUUGCUUAAAAUUGUUUUUGGAUGAGUUGAGAUGAGAAUUGAGUGGAGAUUUGGGAUUAAUCUUGAGUUAUAUGCUUGAGGACAAGCAUCAUCUUGGUGUGGGGGAAUUUGUUAGAGUGCAAUUUAUGCACUAGUUUUCAUUAUUCACUUCUCUUAAUAUCGAUGUUUUGCACUUAAUAAUAGUUAUUUACUUGUGUUUUACUUUUAUAGGUGCAAUUUUAUUGAUUGGUAAUAAAAUUGAGCUAUAAGAUGAUGUUUAAGGAUGAUUGUUCUCUUGGAGAAAUUAUGAGUGUCAAAAGAACUUUGUUGAUAAGGCGUGGGCGCGUGCUGUCAACUGCGGACCUGCAGUUUUUAGUUUAACGUGUUUUAUAUUUUUGGUUAUUUUUGUAAUUACGAAUUUAAUAUUUCAGAUAUUAGUAUUUUAUUUUAAAUAGAAAUCUAAAAGAGAAGAGAGAGAGAGUAUUUAAGGGAGGAAUCUAUUGUGAAAAAAGGGGAGAUUGGAGAAAAAGAAAGAAACCCUAGAUCUAAACCUUUCUCUUCUCUCUAUGAAGAACUAAACCUAUUUUUCUGGUUGAAAGAUAAUGAAGCUUUGAUUCAUCACUAUUGUGAUGACUUUCUUAUGCUUUAAUUGUUUUAUUGCUUUUUGGGUAUUUGUUUAUUGUCUGAAUUAUUUUCAUGAUUAUGUUUGUUAAUUAGGUAAUUGGCCACUAUUUAAUUAUCAACUUAAUCUAUUGUCAAUUAAAGGAUUCAUCGUAUGAAGAUUUUAAUGUUUGUGACAAAUAACAUAGCAGUGAGUUGUGUUAUGAGAAUAAACAAUCUAAUUUAAAUGAAUCAUCGCAUGUGUUGAUUAGGAUUUGGGUCUCUCUGGUCUUUCAGGCUGUCAAUUGAUUAAAUCCUAUGAUCAUAUCUAGGGUUGUCUAUUGAUUAGGGAAAUAACUAACGGUCGUACCUUGGUUAUCGACUAGUUCAGGAGAGAUUGGCUAUUAGAGGGUCUUAGUAGCUAUAAUCGGUCUAUUCAUAAGUAAUAAUAAUCUAUAUUUGAAUUAAUGAUCAGUAGUCGAAUCAAGCUGAGUUAAUUCCUUCAACCAGAGCUUUCUCUAAUUUGAAUUACAACUUUAAUUUACAUUCUUGUUAUUUUAAUUUGAUUUUUAUUAUUGUCAACAAUUCCCCCAUUUUACGUUUUACGUUUCAAAAGGAUUUAAAUAAUUACCGAUCUCUGUGGACACGACCCUGCUCAAUCACUAUACACAAUUUAUUUAGAGUAAGUAUUUAUUUUUGUUGGCUUCGACAACCAUCAAAUUUUGGCGCCGUUGCCAGGGAUUGGUGUCAUUUAUUUAAUCCUUUUUACGUUUUCUUGGUGUAUGGUUCGUUCUUCUCAUACAGGUACACUUUCGUUUGAUCCUGAAAUUGAGAAGACAGCUCACCAGCUGAGACAGCAGACGAAGCGAGCUAAGCAACGAUCCUCGUCACCUUUGCUUUCUGAAAUAGAUACGGUGCCUGAUUUGGUUUAAUCAUCUAGCGAUUCAGAAGAACAAGUGAUGGAUAGAGCUGCACCUGUAGAAAAAACUCUUAGAGAGUUAGCUGAACUAGACUUGAAUCAGCAACCACUCUACAUUCAAUAUGUAGAUUUGGAGGUAAAUUUUGAAUUAAAGUCUGGUCUUAUUCAUUUAUUACCCAAGUUUCAUGGUUUUGCAGGUGAAGAUCCUCAUAAACAUCUCGAGGAGUUUCAUGUUGUAUGUUCAAGUAUGAGACCACAAGGCGUGACUGAAGAGCAGAUUAAGCUGCGUGCUUUUCCUUUCUCUUUAGAUGGACUAGCUAAAGACUGGUUGUACUACUUGCCUCCUGGAUCAAUUACAACAUGGAAUGGUUUGAAGAAGCAGUUUCUCGAGAAGUACUUUCCUGCUUCAAGAGCUGCCAACAUCAGAAAAGAUAUUUGUGGGAUCAGACAACUUCCUGGGGAAACUUUGUAUGAGUAUUGAGAGCGAUUCAAACAAUUGUGUGCCAGCUGUCCUCAGCAUCAGAUUUCUGAUCAACUUCUUAUUCAAUAUUUUUACGAAGGACUGUCAUUAAUGGAUAGGAGUAUGAUAGAUGCUGCUAGUGGAGGUGUGUUCGUGAACAAGACUCCAACUCAAGUAAGGGAGUUGAUCUCAAAUAUGGCUGCCAAUGCACAACAAUUUGGCAGCAGGCAAGAUGCCACUUCAAGAAUGGUGAAUGAGGUAAAUAUUUCUUCUGUUGAACAACGUUUAGAUAAACUUACUUCUCUUGUGGAAAAGUUUGUUUUAGGUAAUGUGCAACAGAUAAAGACUUGUGGCAUUUGUUCCAAUAUGGGUCAUUCAACUGAUAUGUGUCCUACACCUCAAGAAGAACCCGUUGAACAAGCCAAUGCAAUUGGAGGAUUUCCAGGCAUGCCUCAGAGGAGGUAUGAUCCUCAUGCACAAACAUACAAUCCGGGAUGGAAGGAUCACCCCAACUUCAGCUAUGGAGUUAGGCCGUAAGGAUUCCCACAACAGUAUCCACCAAGACAACCAGCACCUCCACAGUCAAACUCCAAGUUAGGUAUAUCUCUUAAAGAAAUUGUUAAAUCACUUGCGACUAACGCUCAACAAUUUUAGCAGCCAACCACAACAAGCAUUCAGAAUUUGGAGAGCAAAGUGAGUCAAUUGGCAACUACGAUGAGCCGUCUAGAGUCUCAAGUAUCAGGGAGAUUGCCUUUACAAUCUGAGGUGAAUCCAAAGCAAAACGCUAGUGCCAUCAUCCUUAGAAGUGGGAAGGAGUUGCAAGAGCCUAGUAAGAAAGUGACAAAGCAUGUAGAAGAUGAGCUUGAGAAGAAUGAAUUGAUGCCUAAAUCCAAAGAUGCACAACCCACCAGAGCGAAACCCCUACCUAUUGUGAUACCUCCUCCUUUUCCAAAUCAGUUUGCAAAAUCCAAGAAGGAGGAACAAGGGAAAGACAUCCUUGAGACAUUUCGCAAGGUUGAGGUAAACAUUCCCUUAUUAGAUGCUAUAAAACAAAUACCUCGAUAUGCUAAAUUCCUUAAGGAACUAUGCACCUCCAAGAGAAAAUUAAGAGGAGAUGAAAGAGUUCACAUGGGAGAGAAUGUUUCCGCAGUUCUCCAAAAGAAACUACCUCCUAAGUGCAAGGAUCUAGGUAUGUUUACUAUCUCUUGCAAAAUUGGUAGUGUUAGAGUUGAAAAGGCUAUGUUAGAUCUAAGAGCUUCAAUUAAUGUCAUGCCUCGUUCUAUUUAUUCAUCUUUGAAUGUUGGGGCAUUAAAAGAAACUGGCGUGAUAAUUCAACUAGCUGAUAGGUCUAAUACAUAUCGUGAUGGGGUAUUAGAGGAUAUCUUAGUACAAGUUAAUGAGUUGGUUUUUCCUGCUGAUUUUUAUGUACUUGAUAUGGAAGAGGAUAACUCCUCUAAUUCUAUCCCAAUUUUGCUAGGAAGACCUUUUCUUAACACUGCUAGAACUAAAAUGGAUGUACAUAAAGGGACUCUUACUAUGGAGUUUAAUGGAGAGGUUAUAGAGUUCAAUAUGUAUGAUGCUAUGAAAUAUCUCAGUGAGGAACAUUCGGUAUUUUCUAUGGAUGUUAUUAACCCUAUAGUGCAGGAAGUUUUUUAUUUGGAUGUUGAAGAUUCAUUGGUAGCUGCUUUAAAUAACAGUUUGGGCCUCGAAAGAUUGCAAAAGGAUGAAAAUGAGUUUGUUUUAAAUUCUGUAUUGCAAGAGACAAUUUAUGAAUUAAAUUCUUUGAGAACUUUAACUCAUCAUAUGUCUAAUAUUGAAUUACCUUCAUCUCAUGCAAAACUUCUUCCAUCUAAUUUGUAGGCACCGAAAAUAGAGCUUAAACCAUUGCCGAGUUAUCUAAAGUACAUGUUUCUAGGAGAGGAUGAGACACUUCCGGUGAUCAUCUCUUCAAAGCUUAGUACUUUAGAGGAAGAGAAACUUAUUAGAGUGCUGAAGGAUUACAAAAAGGCUAUUAGGUGGACAAUUACAGAUAUUAAAAGGAUAAGUCCGUCUAUGUGCAUGCAUAGAAUACUACUGGAGGAAGAUGCCAAACCUUUAAUUCAAGCUCAACGCCGUUUGAAUCCACUCAUAAUGGAAGUAGUGAAGAAAGAAAUUCUAAAACUUCUUGAUGCAGGUAUAAUCUAUCCAAUUUCGGAUAGCAAAUGGGUAAGUCCGGUACAAGUAGUACCAAAGAAAACUGGGAUAACAAUUAUUGAGAAUUCUUAUGGUGAGUUAGUACCUACCCGAGUUUAGAAUGGGUGGAAGGUUUGUAUUGAUUUUAGAAAGCUUGAUUCACUCACUAGGAAGGAUCAUUUUCCUAUUCCUUUUAUUGAUCAGAUGCUUGAAAGGUUAGCAGAAAAAUCUCACUUUUGUUGUCUUGAUGGCUAUUCAGGUUUUCAUCAGAUACCAGUUGCGCCCGAGGAUCAGGAGAGGACUGCCUUCACAUGUCCUUUUGGAACCUUUGCGUACCGACGUAUGCCAUUUGGUCUUUGUAACGCUCCCGCCACUUUUCAGAGGUGCAUGGUCAGUAUUUUUUCAGACUAUGUAGAAAACACUAUAGAGGUAUUUAUGGACGAUUUUAUGGUCUAUGCUGAUUCUUUCGAUGAUUGUCUCUGUAAUCUGAAGAAAGUGCUUGAAAGAUGCAUUGAAACAAACCUUGUCUUGAAUUAUGAAAAAUGUCAUUUUAUGGUAAAUUAAGGCAUUAUUUUGGGUCAUGUAGUCUAUGUUAGAGGAAUUGAGGUAAAUAAAGCUAAAAUAGAUGUUAUUAAAUCUUUACCUUAUCCCACAUGUGUGCGGGAAGUUCGUUCUUUCCUUGGUCAUGCAGGUUUCUAUAGACAAUUUAUCAAGGAUUUUUCGAAGAUAGCUCAGCCUUUAUGCAAGCUUCUUCAGAAAGAUGUGACGUUUGAUUUUAAUGAAGCAUGCAAGGUAGCAUUUGAUAAACUUAAGGAGUUAUUGACUUCAGCUCCAAUUAUACAGCCACCAGACUGGAGCCUCCCUUUUGAGAUAAUGUGCGACGCCAGUAAUUAUAUUAUUGGUGCUGUUCUCGAACAAAGGGUUGGAAGAGCUGCUCAUGUGAUAUAUUACGCAUCGAGAACACUUGAUAGUGCUCAAUGCAAUUACUCAACAAUGGAAAAAGAACUUUUAGCUAUUGUUUUUGCUUUAGAAAAAUUCCGUUCAUAUUUAUUGGGUACUAAAGUGAUUGUUUUUUCUGACCAUGUAGCUUUCAGAUAUUUGCUCACCAAGAAGGAAGCGAAACCGAGACUUAUUCGCUGGAUCCUACUGCUUCAAGAAUUCAACUUGGAGAUCCGUGACAAGAAAGGAACAGAAAACUUAGUUGCAGACCACCUUAGUAGAUUGAUCACGAGUGAAGAAGCAGCACCUUUGAAGGAUGAUUUUCCAGAUGAGCAUCUCUUUGUAACUCAAGGUAUGGUUCCUUGGUACGCUAACAUUGUCAAUUACUUAGUUACAAGAAUACUACCUAGUGAUCUGACGAGGGCUCAAAAAGAUAAAAUUAAGAGCGAUGCUAAAUACUAUGUUUGGGAUGACCCUUACUUGUGGAAACAUUACUCUGACCAAGUCAUCAGAAGGUGCGUAUCUGAGUUUGAAAUUCCUUUUAUUCUUCAGUUUUGUCACUCAUAUGCAUGUGGUGGUCAUUUUGGUCCCAAAAGGACAGCAUCCAAGGUGUUAGAAUGUGGUUUAUUUUGGCCUACUUUAUUUCGUGAUUCAUACAUGUUUUGUAAGUCGUGUGAGAAUUGUCAAAAGACUGGUAAUUUAAGUCAUAGAAAUCAAAUGCCACUUACCCCUAUUCUUGUAUGUGAAAUAUUUGAUAUGUGGGGCAUUGAUUUUAUGGGACAUUUUCCCUCAUCUUUUGGCAAUGCUUACAUUCUUUUAGCAGUGGAUUACGUUUCUAAGGGGGUAGAGGCUAAGGCCACCUGGACUGACAAUGCUAAAGUUGUUGUAGAUUUUGUCAAGUUUAAUAUUUUUGCCAGGUUUGGUGUACCGAGAGCGAUGAUAAGUGAUAGAGGCACUCAUUUCUGUAAUCGAGUGGUGGAAGCUUUGUUCAAAAGAUAUCAUGUUACCCACCGAGUGUCUACCGCCUAUCAUCCGCAGUCAAGUGAACAAGCUGAGAUAUCAAACAGAGAAAUCAAGUCUAUUCUUGAAAAGAUAGUUAGUCCAAAUCGAAAGGAUUGGAGUUUGCGAUUAGAUGAUGCAUUAUGGGCGUAUUGCAUGGCUUACAAAACUCCCAUAGGUAUGUCUCCUUAUCGUUUAGUAUUUGGUAAGCCUUGUCAUUUACCUGUAGAACUUGAGCACAGAGCAUACUGGGCAGUUAAGCAAUGCAAUAUGCGGAUGGAUGAAGCGGGAAAGCAAAGGAAGUUGCAGCUGCAAGAGUUGGAGGAGAUUAGAAAUGAAUCCUACGAGAGUUCGCGAUUUUACAAGAAAAAGACGAAGACAUUUCAUGACAGAAUAAUUUUGAGAAAGGAGUUCUCUGUUGGUCAAAAAGUUCUUCUUUUUCAUUUUAAACUUAAACUUUUUCCUAGUAAAUUACGUUCUCAUUGGGUAGGACCUUUUAUUGUUACUAAUGUUAUUCCUCAUGGUGCAGUUGAGAUUCGGACUCCAACCUCUGAUAAAGUCUUUAAGGUUAAUGGUCAUCGUUUAAAACCUUUUUAUGAAGGUUUUUCGGUGAAUAUUGUGGAGGAAAUGGCUCUCGAGAGUCCUAUUUAUGGAGAUUGAUGCAUAAAUGUGUCUAGCCAAAGACAUAAAACAAAGGCGCUUUUUGGGAGGCAACCCAAGUGAUUUGUUUAUUUUGGUUUUUGUUUUAUCUUCUUUUAGUUUUGAUUCAAAUAAAAAAAAAUUAAAUAAUGUGUUUGCUUAUUUUGGUCAGAAGAAAAUUUUUGAUAAGGCGUGCCCACGUGCUUAUUAGAAAAGUACUUUUGAAAUUUUUAGUGUCUCAAAGUGAUUCAUCACUAAAAAAAAAAAUAUUUUUUUUCCUUCUUUUCUUUCUUUUAUAUAUAUAUAUAUAUUUAUUUAUUUAUUUAAAAAAAUGAAAAAAAAAACAAAAAUCACAAAUCACAAAUCAUUGUUCACAAAUCCAUAAGUCAAAAAAAAAAAUUCAUUGUUGAUUAUCGUUUUCACCAGCAGCAGCCGCAUCAGUCCCACCUGCAACCACUAGCCCGCGCGCAGCAAGCCCCAGCCAUCACCAUCGCGCAGUGCAUCAGUCCCGCGUGCGCAACGCAGCCGAGCAGCAGCAGACGAGCACACCCCGCAACGCAGAUCCUCAGCUCCAGCCCCCGCGCGCAGUUCAAAUCAAUCCAGUCGUCACCAUCACGCAGCAGCACAGCCGCGGGCAACGCAAUGCAACCAGCAGCCCACGUGCGCCGCACAAUCAGUCCCACGCGCAACACAAGCCCCAGCAAAGCAACUAGCAUCACGCAACCCCCGCAACGCAGCACGAACCAACCAACUCCUAAGUGAUCUUUCUUUCCUAAAAAAUUAUAUGCUAAGAAUCGAUGCACACAUUUCAAAACAGGAUCACGUAAGAAAGAACUCUUUGAUUUACUCGGGUCAUAGGCAUUGUGAUCAACAGAUAAAUUACACCAAAGACCAUAAGGCUCAAAAUUUUCGCUAAAGUCACAAGUUGUUCCUAAAUAUGCAUCACUAGAAGAAUAAUAAUCAUCAAUGAAUCCUAAAGCUAGGUUAAAAUUCGUGAUAGAGUGUGAAAAAUUUCGUUCCAUUAACCUAAACUUUAUAACAUUCGGGAUAUGCAAAGUAAAAUCAUUCGGUAUAUUAAAUUGAAAAGUAGCAUAGAACUCCCUAAUCAACUCAACAUAACCCAAACAAUCAACAUCAACAAACUUACGCAAACCAAUCUUAUCUAUCAAAGAAUCAAAAUUAUCCUUAACAUUCAAUUUUUCAAGAGUCGGGUAAUGAAUAUACUUAGCUGGAAGUAUUUUUCGCUUGGAAAUAUCUUUAUACCUUUCUUUCUCUUGUUGAGUCGUGAAUGUGAGGCACCCUCCGAGAUUGGAUUCCGCAAGUGGCAAAACACUCAUGUCUUUUCCAUAUUUCGAUCUUUGUCUCACGGCUUGGCGUGAAUUUGAAACUGUAUUCCAUGGAACCGUAGUGGGAGUGGCAAUCUUGGAUUUCUUUGCGACGGGUGUCUUUUUAGAUGACUUGGAAGUUGAUGCUUUCCUCUUCGGCAUUGUUACAAUAAUUUCACUCACGGAUUUCGAUUCACCCGGUUGGAAUACAGGGCGUAGGCUGGUUGCGGACGAUUGUUGCUCGGUUGGAGCUUGGCGCGAUGGUGGAUUGCUGGUUGUGCGCUGGUGAUACUGGUUGAGUGCGGGAUGCUACGCGUUGGGGCUGAUUCUGAUGCGCGCUGCAGGGGCUGGUUCUGCUGCGGUAGUGACGCUGGUUGUGUUGCGUGCGCGGGCUGGAGCUGAUUCUGCUGCGCGCACGGGCUGCUGGAUUUGUGCGCUAGGGUUGAUUGCACGUGAGAGCUGGGCUGAUGCUGGUUCUGCGCGCUGCUAAGCAAAGGCUGGAUCUGCGCGCGCGGGUUGCUGCGUGGCUGCUCGGUGAAGGUUGGAGAAGAAAACCAAUUCUGUGAAUUAGGGAUUUUGUGAACAGUAAUUUUUUUUGUUUUUUUUUCAAAUAAUAUAUAUAUAUAUAUAUAAAAGAAAGAAAAGAAAGGAAAAAAACCUUUUUUUUCAUUUUUUUAAUUUUCAAAUAAAUAAAUAAUUUUUUUUUUUUAAUGAUGAAUCACUUUGAGACACAAAAAAAAUUUCAGAAGUACUUUUCUAAUAAGCAUGUGGGCACGCCUUAAAACCAUUUUACUUUAAAAAUCACAGAAGUACUUAUUAGUUAAGACGUGGGCACGCCUUAUCAAAAAUUUUCUUCUAGCCAAAAUAAGCAAACACAUUAUUUUUAAAAAAAAAUCUGAAUCAAAAUUAAAAGAAGAUAUAACAAAAACCAAAAUAAAUAAAUCAUUUAGGUUGCCUCCCAAAAAGCGCCUCUAUUUUAUGUUUUUGGCUAGACACAUUUAUGCAUCAAUCUCCAUAAUUAGGACUCUCGAGAGCCACAUCCUCCACAAUAUUCAUCGAAAAACCUUCAUAAAAAGGUUUUAAGCGAUGAUCAUUAACCUUAAAAACUUUGUCAGAGGUCGGACUCCGAAUCUCAACUGCACCAUGAGGAAAAAUAUUAGUAACAAUAAAAGGUCCAACCCAGGAAGAACGUAAUUUACCCAGAAAAAGUUUAAGCUUAGAAUGAAAAAGAAGAACUUUUUGACCAACAGAGAACUCCUUUCUCAAAAUCAUUCUAUCAUGAAAUGUCUUCGUUUUUUUCCUUGUAAAAAACUUCCUGCACUAUAGGGUUAAUAACAUCCACAAAAAAUACCGAAUGUUCCUCACUAGGAUAUUUCAUGGCAUCAUUCAUAUUGAAUUCUAUAACCUCUCCAUCAAACUCCAUAAUGAGAGUCCCUUUAUGUACAUCCAUUUUAGUCCUGCCAGUCUUAAGAAAUGGUCUUCCUAGCAAAAUUGGGACAGAAUUAGAGGAGUUAUCCUCUUCCAUAUCAAGUACAUAAAAAUCGGCAGGAAAAACCAACUCAAUAACUUGUACUAAGACAUCUUCUAAUACUCCAUCAGGAUAUGCAUUAGACCUAUCAGCUAGUUGAAUUAUCACGCCAGUUUCUUUUAAUGGACCAACAUUCAAAGAUGAAUAAAUGGAAUGAGGCAUGACAUUAAUAGAAGCUCUUAGAUCUAACAUAGCCUUUUCAACUCUAACACUACCAAUUUUACAAGGGAUAGUAAACAUACCUGGAUCCUUACACUUAGGAGGUAGUUUCUUUUGGAGAACUGCUGAAACAUUCUCCCCCAUGUGAACUUUUUCAUCUCCUCUUAAUUUUCUCUUGGAGGUGCACAGUUCCUUAAGGACUUUAGUAUAUCGAGGUAUUUGUUUUAUAGCAUCUAAUAAAGGAAUGUUUACCUCAACCUUGCGAAAUGUCUCAAGGAUGUCUUUCUCUUGUUCCUCCUUCUUGGAUUUUGCAAACCGGCUUGGAAAAGGAGGAGGUAUCACAAUAGGUAGGGGUUUUGCUCUGGUGGGUUGCGCAUCUUGAGAUUUAGGCAUCAAUUCAUUCUUUUCAAGCUCAUCUUCUACAUGCUUUGUCACUUUCUUACUAGGCUCUUGCAACUCUUUCGCACUUCUAAGGAUGACAACACUAACGUUUUGCUUUGGAUUCACCUCAGAUUGUGAAGGAAACCUCCCUAAUACUUGAGACUCCAGACGACUCACUGUAGUCGCCAAUUGACUCAUUUGGUUCUCUAAAUUCUGAAGGCUUGUUGUAGUUGCCUGCUGAAAUUGUUGAGUGUUAGUCGCAAGUGAUUUAACAAUUUCUUUAAGACAUAUACCUGACUUGGAGUUUGACUGUGGAGGUGCUGGUUGUCUUGGUGGAUACUGUUGUGGGAAUCCUAAUGGCCUAACUCCAUAGCUGAAGUUGGGGUGAUCCUUCCAUCCCGGAUUGUAUGUUUGUGCAUGAGGAUCAUACCUCCUCUGAGGCAUGCCUGGAAAUCCUCCAACUGCAUUGCUUGUUCAACGGGUUCUUCUUGAAGUGUAGGACACAUAUCAGUUGAAUGACCCAUAUUGUAACAAAUGCCACAAGUCUUCACUUGUUGCACAUUACCUACAACAAACUUUUCCACAAGAAAAGUAAGUUUAUCUAAACGUUGUUCAACAGAAGAAAUAUUUACCUCAUUCACCAUUUUUGAAGUGGAAUCUUGCCUGCUGCCAAAUUGUUGUGCAUUGGCAGCCAUAUUUGAGAUAAACUCCCUUGCUUGAGUAGGGGUCUUGUUCACCAACACGCCUCCACUAACAGCAUCUAUCAUACUCUUAUCCAUUAAUGAUAGUCCUUCAUAAAAUAUUGAAUAAGAAGUUGAUCAGAAAUCUGAUGCUGAGGACAGCUGGCACACAAUUGUUUGAAUCGCUCCCAAUACUCAUAUAAAGUCUCCCCAGGAAGUUGUCUGAUCCCACAAAUGUCUUUUCUGAUGUUGGCAGCUCUUAAAGCAGGAAAGUAUUUCUUAAGGAACUGCUUCUUCAAACCAUUCCAUGUUGUAAUCGAUCCAGGAGGCAAGUAGUACAACCAGUCUUUAGCUAGUCCAUCUAAAGAGAAAGGAAAAGCACGCAGCUUAAUCUGCUCUUCAGUCACGCCUUGUGGCCUCAUACUUGAACACACAACAUGAAACUCCUUGAGAUGUUUAUGAGGAUCUUCACCUACAAAACCAUGAAACUUGGGUAAUAAAUGAAUAAGACAGACUUUAAUUCAAAAUUUACCUCCAAGUCUACAUGUUGAAUGCAGAGUGGUUGCUGAUUCAAGUCUGGUUCAGCUAACUCUCUAAGAGUUCUUUCUACGUGUGCAGCUCUAUCCAUCACUUGUUCUUUUGAAUCGCUAGAUGAUUCAACUAAAUCAGACACCGUAUUUGUUUCAGAAAGCAAAGGCAACGAGGAUCGUUGCUUAGCUCGCUUCGUCUGUUGUCUCAGCUGGCGAGCUGUCUUCUCAAUUUCAGGAUCAAACGAAAGUGUACCUGUACAAGAAGAACGAACCAUACACCAAGUAAAACGUAAAAAGGAUUAAAUAAACGACACCAAUCCCCGGCAACGGCGCCAAACUUUGAUGGUUGUCGAAGUCAGCAAAAAUAAAUACCUACUCUAAAUAAAUUAUGUAUAGUGAUUGAGCAGGGUCGUGUCCAUAGAGAUCGGUAAUUAUUUAAAUCCUUUUAAAAUGUGAAACGUAAAAUGGGGGAAUUGUUGACAAUAAUAAAAAUCAAAUUAAAAUAACAAGAAUGCAAAUUAAAGUUGUAAUUCAAAUUGGAGAAAGCUCUGGUUGAAGGAAUUAACUCAGCUUGAUUCGACUACUAAUCAUUGAUUCAAAUAUAAAUUAUUACUACUUAUGAAUAGACCGAUUAUAGCUACUGAGACCCUCUAAUAGCCAAUCUCUCCUUAACUAGUCGAUAACCAAGGUACGACCAUUGGUUAUUUCCCUAAUCAAUAGACAACCAUAGAUACGAUCAUAGGAUUUAAUUAAUUGACAACCUCAAAAACCAAAGAGACCCAAAUCCUAAUCAACAAACACAUACGAUGGUUCAUUUAAAUUAGAUUGUUUAUUCUCACAACACAACUCUCUGCUAUGUUAUUUGUCACAAACAUUAAAAUCUUCAUACGAUGAAUCCUUUAAUUGACAAUAGAUUAAGUUGAUAAUUAAAUAGUGGCCAAUUAUCUAAUUAACAAACAUAAUCAUGAUAAUAAUUCAGAGAAUAAACAAAUACCCAAAAAGUAAUAAAACAGUUAAAGCAUAAGAAAGAUCUCAUAGUAGUGAUGAAUCAAAGCUUCAUUAACCUUCAACCAGAAUAAUAGGUUUAGUUCUUCAUAGAGAGAAGAGAAAAAUUUAGAUCUAGGGUUUCUCCCUUUUCUCCCCAAAAGUCCCUCUUUUUCACAAUAGAUUCCUCCCUUAAAUACUCUCUCUCUCUUCUCCUCUAGAAUUCUAUUUAAAAUAAAAUACUAAUAUCUGAAAUAUUAAAUUUGUAAUUACAAAAAUAACCAAAAAUAGAAAACACAUUAAACUAAAAACUGCAGGUCCGUAGUUGACAGCACGCACUCACGCCUUAUCAACAAAGUUCUUCUGACGCUCAUAAUUUCUCCAAGAGAACAAUCAUCCUUAAACAUCAUCUUGUAGCUCAAUUUUAUCACCAAUCAAUAAAAUUGUACCUACAAAAGUAAAACACAAGUAAAUCACUAUUAUUAAGUGCAAAACAUCGAUAUUAAGGGAAGUAAACAAUGCAAAACUAGUGCAUAAAUUGCACUCUAACACCUCUUGAUUGUAUCAUGGAUAAAUCUGAUUUAGAUCUGAGUCCAUAUUUUAACAGAUUCAUCAACCCAUUUUCAGACAUGCCAUGAAUUGUAAAUUAAGCCAAAUAUUCACAAAAAACAACAAAGAAACAAAAAACAGAUUCUGUGUUCAGCCGCAAAUGGGCUGUUUCACAGCCAAGCAAGAAAACAAAUGAAGAAAAUUAAUUGCUUUCCACUGGUUCAAGAAUUAAUACCAUUAUUGAUUGCUUCUCUAUUGGAAGAAAUAAUUUUGAAUAAAGCACAGCAUCAUUACUAUAAAUGUGAUGAUAAUUUUCAAUCAUCGGAAGAUGAUAAUUUCUUCAUACAUGCGUUCUAUGGCCUGACUCUGUUUUAUGUCUAAAACUCAAGAAAUUCGACAAUUCCUUUGUUCUACCACAUCGUUCAUUCAACAAUAAAUAAUCAGAUUCUGUCACGUAUAUUUUUAUUUAGAAAAUUGCAAAAAAGUUAGUCGCUAGAAAAACUAAUUGUAAUUGAUUAAAUAAACACUGGGCUUGUGCUCGCUAUAUUGAAUCAAAACAAUACAUAUUUAGUGAAGGAAUCUCAAAAUGUGCUCACUAGCUAUGACUCGUGUAGGACAAACAUUCACAAACUGACCUUGUUGAUUGAUUGCUUUUGCUUGGCAAAUCAUAGAGUUGAUGCAACACAUCAGGUGGGAUGCACGUUCCUUCGUGGGCAUAUUAUCCAACACGUCCUAGGCAUGAGAAUAAUACCAUAAUUCCUCAACAACUCCCCUCUUCAUCUGAUCAUAUUCAUAUAGAUAUUUGUCUUUCUUCCUAAAAUCCUCAAUCCAAGCUUGCCAAUUCAUUUAAUAAUAUAUUUAUAUUGAUUUUUAAAAUAUAAUACCAAAUUUGGGGUUACUAUGGUCAAGAAUAUAAUUUGGAGGGGGGGGGUGGGGAGCGCAAAAUGAAACACUUAAAGUCAAUUAUUAUGUGAUCACUUACAGUUGAUUAUUGAGGGAUUACAAACACUUAAUCCAUCCCAUCAACAACCAAAAAAAAAAAAAAAAAGAAAGAAAGAAAGAAAAGACUCAAGAGUAUUUGCAAAAGAUAAUUAUAAAGAGUGACUAUGGUCAACGGUGGAGAAUGGAAUCAAAGACAUUAUCAAAGGUAACAAAAGCUUCGAUCAUCUAAACACAGAGACUUUUCUUCAAGUAUAGUUAAAUAAUAAUUUAUAUUACUUAAUGAAACAAUAAGUAUUUAUGACAAAUAAGAUACAUGGAAUAAACCAACCUCUCCGCUUAUCAUUUUCUCUAUUGUGUUUUUUUUUUCCUCUGUCUCUCCUUCUUGUUGUUUAGUAGAUGACACAACAUUUCAUUUUGUUUAUUCAAUUUGCUGUUGGAGCAUCUUCCAGGAAAGUACAGAAAUGUAAAUAUACAGGUAAUAUUAUAUUUAUGAAUUAUUUAUAUGUACAGUACAUACUAAGUAACUAAAAUAAGACAAAUGAAAUAAUAAAAAUAUAAAUAUAAAUGAGAUAAGAUCAAAUAUAUGAUAUGAUGAUACUAAGUAAACAAUAUUGUUUAUGGUAGGCUAGUCAUUUGACCAGAUGAGAAAACCAUCUAAAACAUUAUUGCUGUAAUGUUAUACAUUAUGUACGAAACAGGAAUGUAAGCACAGUAGUAAUAUAAUGUUAUACAUAUCAAAAUUAUGUCUACAAAUAAAAAAUAAAUCGCUAGUCGGCGUCUCUGGUUCUGACGCAAUCAAUUUCAAUUUAAGCAUACCUCUGUUGACAACCUGAGUAUGCUUCAUGACAUUCGAACCAGAGCAGAGAAAAUCAACUGCAUAAAUAAUACAGGCCUAGUCACGACAUCGGGAGAGUAAACAAAUGGACUGCAUGGAGAUGCCCCAACUUGGCCAUGAUGCAAGUUGAACACUGACGGAGCUUGUAAGCGAACAGGAGCACCAAGUGCUGGAGUAAUUCGUGAUCACAAAGGGGCUUGGAUCUUUGGCUUCGGAAUGAAUACAGGGCAUUGCUCUGUUACGGUGGCUGAGUUAUGGGGUUUAUAUCAUGGUCUAAAACUGGCAUGGGAGCAUGGGAUAAAGUGGCUGGUGGUGGAAAUUGAUAGCCUAUGUGUCACUGAACUGGUUAGGAAGCCUGUGGAUACUGACAAUGAGUACACUUCCCUUCUUCAGCCUAUCGAGGAGGUUAUGCAGCGUAAUUGGAACAACAUUAUCAUUAACGAUGUCUACCGUGAGGCAGAUUUCACAGCAGACUAUCUCGCUAAUUAUGCUCUAUCUCUUCCUCUAGGUGUUCAUCAUCCUGCUAAUCCCCCACCUGGUGUGACUCCUCUUUUGUACCAUGACUUGUAUGGGGUGGCUUACCCGCGUUCUGUUUUAUUCUAGCUCUUUUUAGAGCCUCAUCAUAUCAAAAAAAUAAAUAAGUAAAAUUAUGAUAAAGAUAUGCGCGUAUGAGAUUAUUUUAGAGACUUUCGGGGUGUCAAAAACUUGACUCUUCUUGAUUAUGGAUUACAAGCUGUUCCGAACUUAGAAUCAAUAAAUUGAAUAGCUGUCGAGCACACUUGUAGAAAGAGUGACCCUAUGAGCACCCCUUUGUCAUUCUUAAAAAAACCCAACUUCAAAUACAACUAUAUAUAAGGAUAAAUAACAAUUAGUCAACCAAUUAGAUCUUUUUUCCUGCAAAUUAACUGUAUUCAUUAACGUCCCUUUUUUUUUUUUUUUAAUUUGUCAUGACUUCCUGCGUAUUGAAAUUAAAUUUUCUUAAAUUUAAAAUAUUCUAUUAUUCUUUUUGUAGUUCUUAUUGAUUGAAUAAUUUUUUUUAAUUACAGAUUACGUACAAUUAUAUUAUAAUUUAAAAUAUGUGUAAUUUAAUUCAAUAAAUUAUAAUUUAAAGUAUUUUAAAUUUAAGUCAAUGAUUAACAUUAAAAAAUUCAUCACCGAUAAAAUUUUUUAAUUCGUAUGUAGGAUUGAUUUGAAAUUAACAACACUGCUAAAAAAAGAAAGAAAGAAAGAAAUUAGAAGAGUGUAUAAAAAAAGGACAUUUUUUAAAUUAAAAGUAAGAAUAACCUUUUUUUUUUAAAAAAAAAAAGAGGUCUUACAAGGAUAUAAGAGGGGUGUCAAUAAUGCGACUCCGUGAAAAGAAUUAACAAGAAAAUAAUAAAAAAUAUUUUUACAAUUAACUCACACAUCUAUUGAAACAAGAACCUAAAACUUAAAGUCUUAGAAAAGCUUCGCGGUGAAGCUAGACCUCAACUUUGAUAAGAAAAUAAUAUUAAAAAUUAGAUGAGUGAUUAAAAAAGGGAUAUUUUGGGAGUUACCAAUAAGAAUAACUAGAAAAAAAAAGUAAUAAAAAAAGGUUUUAUGAAAAGAUCGGGGGGUCAAUAAUCCAGCGUAAAAAGAACAAAAGUAAAAAAAACUCAAAUUAAAUAAGCACAGCUAAAUUCAACGAACUCAUGAAGGCCCAAAAAAGUUCCAACAUCAAAAUAAAAGGGAUAAGAAUCACAAAUGUUCACAAUGAAGACAACCAUGAAUAUAUUUUUUUUUGGGUCAAAAAUCUUUUUGGUCAAAUAUGUGAUAUGAUCCUUGUACAGAAAAAUAUGUGAUAUGAUCUUCAUACAUAAAUGAUAAUUUUACUUCAUCAAAGUUCAUUUGUCAUUCAAUUUCAUUUUUCUCUAUAAAUUGUUAUAAUUUGUACAGUUUCUUUAAUUCGCAGCUUUUUGUGAGACUUAAAAUUGCUUUAAUUUGAAAUGUCAAAUCAGAAGGUGCUAGUGUUAUUCUAGGGUAAAAUCUAUGCAAAUUCAAUAAGAAUCUCAACAAGCGAAAAUCCAUAUCAGCUUCAUGUGCUGUAUAAUUUAGAAUAAGCUUAGUUGGCCUACUCAAAUAGAAAGAACAGUAGAAGCUGUACGCCAAAAGAGUGAAAAUAAUAAUAAUAAUAAUAAAAGAAUAUAUUUAACCAGAUUGCAAUGAGAUACUUAUUUUAUUGUUCACUCAUAGCAAUUUGUAUGCAAUUCAUCAAUUAUGACCCCAGUCCUCAGCCCUUUCAAGUGUACCCAAAAACUCGGACGUUUAAUAAUGGAUACAAAAUGACAGAAUGCUGCAAUGAAACGGAGAAACAAGUAAGAAUGCAAGACAGAGGACUAACUUUCCUUCUUUUUUUAAUUUUCAACUCGUGAGAAAUCCCAAAAUACAAAGCUUCAAUUUGGUCGAGCAACACAUUCUGAUUCUGACCAACUUCUGAAUCCAAGUAGAGCAUUUCUAGUAAUUUAACGUGAAAAUAAAUUGCAAGAUUAGAAUAAAUAAAAACUAAAUGAAAUACCAUGUGCAAAUUUAAAGAGCAUAAAUUGAAAUUGGGAUGUGUACUUACACUGUUACACUAGGCUUUGCCCUUCAUUUGAAUUGUCUAAAUCUUUUAGGUGGUGGUUCCUCAUCUUCAUCGCAGCAGCCACUGCCACUGGCUUCAGCUGUCCCAGCACUUUCUGCAAGGCCUCGCUUUGAUGUUGUGGCUACUUCCAUAUUAGAUCCAACAAAAUCGUGAGGGGAUUCAUACAGAUUAUAAGAAGUAAAAUGAGUCCACUGCUUUGUUGCUUGGUCCAACUCCUCAACUUCGUGCAUAUAAACUGGAUGGAAGCCACACCUCUUCACGUUCAAAUCAGUACCUCGCCGAUAUAGACCUUCUUCAAUAAAUGACAACUUAAAAUGAUUAGAUUCAAAAUUCCACUUAUCAUUGUAGCAUUCUUGUCGAGACAAAUAGAAUAGCCAAAGAUGGUCUGACCCAGCAUGACCGAAGUUCCCUCUAGAACGAAUAAAAUGACUGACAUUAGAACCAUCCAUGGAGCAGUGUAACUCAACUUGGGAAUACGAACGCCAUAAAUAGGUACCAGUUGAAUGCUUAGGGACAUGAAAAACACAGCAAAUAGCAUAUCCCACAACCUUAUUCAUAUUAUACAAAUAUGAAGGCCUUGUGACUGUUAUUGAAGAACCCUCAUUCUGAUACAUGAACCACUCUGGAAUUUCACUUCCUGGAACAACAAUGCUAAAUUUAUGGCUUGGAUCUGACACUGCCUGCAACAGAAAAACAAAAAAUGAACAGGUCCAUACCAUUGCUUAAUUGUCAGGCAUAAUCUUGGCAUAGCUGGAAGAAACGGAGUGAGAGACUGACCUCAAGGUACUCUCGUAGCAUCGAAAUUGCAAAACUGUUGUUCCCUGGCAAUUUCAAGCUAUCUAUACAAUUAAUCAUUGUGUGGUCGGACUUACCUAGUUUUAAAGCACCAGAUAAUGUCACCAAUGAAGAACAACCAUUCACUGUAACUACGUUUAUGCUAGAUGGAAGUUGUGGCAGAGAUUGAAGCCUUUUACAAUCUUCCAACUCUAGGUUUUUAAGAUUUAAAAGACCGUUAAUACUUGCUGGCAGCGUAACAAAUUUGUUUUUACUCAGAUACAACUCGUUUAAUGAGUGUAAGUUGCCAAUAUCACUCGGGAUUGCUCCUUCCCCUAGGCCACAGUCACUGAGAUCUAAUUUUGUUAAAGAGCACAAACCUGACAGAGAAGGCAACAUUAAAUCCACAGGACAUGAACUCUUUCCCAUCAAAUUGAAGGGAAGGAACAAAUGCCAUGAUGCAGCUGAUGGUGGCCCAUUGCACCCUAAAAAAGAGAGUGUUCUAAGAUUGUCCAUAAGAAAAAUGGAGGAUGGAGGUCGUCUUAUAGCUGUUCCGCUUAUAUCAAGUUCUUCCAAACUUUCUACUUGCCCAAGCGUCUCUGGCACAUUUUCAAGUUUGGAGCAGCCAGAGAGAUUCAAAGUUUUUAGUGAUUUCAAACCGUUUAUAUUGCUGGGAAGUCUCACGAGACUUUUGCAGUCAUUCAAAGUCAACUGAACAAGUCCAGAUAGAAGUUCAAUUGAUAGUGGCAGUUCUUUGAUAUCAGUUCCAUCCAAAAGAAGCUCCCGCAGACACUCCAUACUUCCCGCAACGUGUGGAAAUUUCCUCAAUUUCAAGCAACCAGAAAGAACAAGUGUUUUAAGCGAUUUCAUAAAAAUCUUUCCCGGAAGAGUUGUAAGACUUGUACAACCUUUCAAGUUCAACAAAAUCAGCUUAUUGUGAAGCAGUAAAGAUGGGUGAAUCUCACGUAACCUUGUACAUCCUUCAACAUCCAACUCCUCCAAAUUUGGGACCUCUGUGAAGUCUGGAGUCUUAAUCAGAUUCUCUGAAUGGCUGAGUUCCAUGACUUUCAACAUGUUUAAAGGCUGUUGAAAACAAAAAGGAGCUGAAAUGAUAUUUCUUAAUUUAUAUACAGCUAUAAUAAUAAAAUUGUCAUCAACAAUUAUUCACUAAAAAAAUAAAUUAGUGACAAAACAUUGAUCUUACUUUGAUUCCUUUCCAUAAUUCUUCAAUGCAGCUGUAACACAUUUUAAACUCCACAGUUUUAUCCAAUUGCAAAUUUGAUGGCAAAGAUUUCCAAGGAUAUCCAUGCCAAUCAAGUAACCGCAACUUGUUAGAGAGGUGUUCAAGGCCUUGAGGAAGUUGCAGACCACAGAUUUUGAGCAAUCGUAGGUUGGUCAUCUUUGAAAAUGCUUUCGGACUAGCACUUAAAUAAACCUUAUCUUGGAGAAAGUAAUAAUCAUCAAGUAUUAUUCCUUCAACUACUUCAGUUCCCUAAAUAUUAUCAACAAAAUAGUUCAUUAGAGAUUUUACUGGGUAAAAGAAAAAAAAUUUUCCGAUCCCCUUUAUUAGUCACUUACUGUGUUUUGUGACAAUACAUGGCAUAGGUCUGCUUCCUCCCACAAUCUGCUGCGUUUUCCAGGCUCCCGUGGGGACUGCCUCCUAACAAUUUGUCGACCCAUUUCUAGUAACAAAUCAUGCAUCCAUAGUCUGUCGCUCUCACAUAUUGUUAAUAGAGAUUUUUCAAUAAGAACACCAAUGCCAAUUACCGGUUCAAAACCACAGCUAUCGAGAAUUUUUGACACGUAAUCUCUCUUCUCCCCUUUAAAGAAACACGCAACAUCGAGAAAUAUUUCCUUCUCUGCUUCCUUCAAGCCAUCAAAACUUAUCUGGAGUAUAUCUAGAAUCUCAUUUUCAGGUUCUCUUUUUAGUCUUUCCAAGGUACUUGUCCACUCGUCCACAGGUCUACCAAACAAAAAAGAACCCAAAACCUUGAGAGCUAAUGGAAGACCACCAGCAUAAUUUACAACAAGUUGAGAUAGAUGAACAUAUUCUUCCCUGGGCUUCUGUGUUUCAAAGGCUUUCAAACAAAAGAGUUGGAGUGCCUCAUCAUAAGUUAGUGCCUCAAGCUUAAAAACUUCCUCGACUCGAUGCAACUUCAACAAAUGUUCAUCCCUCGUUGUUAUUAUGAUUCUGCUGCCCGGGCCAAACCAAUCGCGCUUUCCAGCUAAUCUUCGUAGUUGCUCAACAUGAGCGACAUCAUCGAUCACGAGAAGGACCUUUUUUUGUCGCAACCUACGUCCUAUCAUGUUAAUACCGUCAUAGACAUUUCGUAUGUUAUUAUCCGCAAGCUUCAGUAAAUCAGAAAUGAGCUGCUUUUGCAAAGAGAUUACACUGCCUUCUUUAUCAUAUUUUUCUUUAACAUCAGCAAGAAAACUACUACCAUCAAACUCGUGGGAGAUCAAGUCAUAAACAACUCUUGCAAGAGUUGUCUUUCCUAGACCUCCCAUACCCCAUAUCCCUAUCAUACGAACAUCAUUGCACCCUGCACCCAUAAGAAACUUCAGUUUCUCCAAGCGUGAUUCUAUUCCUACUAGCUCCUUAAGAAUCUCUGACUCUGUACGAAUUUUACUUGAUAUCACAUUGACAAUUUCCUCAAUAAAUUCUGACUCAUUGCUGCAAAUUGAAAACAACAAGAGAAGAUUACUGUUGUUAAAUUAAAGUUUGGGUAAACAUAGUAACAAAUCAAUUCCAUAUUAUGUAUACAAUCCAAACUAUAUAAUAUUCACUUCAUCAAAUUGAAGUCGUAUAAGCAAGUAACAUAUAUUAUCGCGUGGGUCAGAAACAACAAGAAUGAGAAAAUUCAAUUUCUUUUGCUGUUUUCUUCUCAUGUACAUAUUAUUUCUUUCUGUAGGAGGAUAAAUUAGAUUAAAAGAGAAUUUAUAUCAAUUUUUUAUAAGAACAAUUAUUGCUCACAUGAAAUCAAUUAGAUGAUGAUGAUAAAUGUCCCAAAUGAUGUGUCAUUUAAUAAGUGGUUGAUAAUUCUUUAGAAGAUUCGAGUGAGUUAAUUAUAUUAUUUCAAGAACUAAUUGAUGGACGUCACAUCAUUUUGGGAUGGUUUUUUGAAAUAAAAAAUUUGAGAUGUGUAGCACUACAAUUAGCUAAAUAUGUAAUGAUAUUGAUGGUAGCAUUGGGCUUGCGAUUAUUGUCAUUGUUAUUAUUAACAGUUACUAAAGAGUCAAUCUAAGAGUAAUGUUUUAUUUUUAUUUUUUAGAUGUGAUUAAUAGAGCACAAAGCAACACAAGAUACAUAUGUAUAGUCUUCAAUAGUUCAGAACACAAUAAUUUAUAGUAUCAACAUCCAUAUCUAUUCAUUUGCAAAUAUUAAUUCAUUUAUAGCACUACUACUUUAAUAACGACACAUCAUAUGAUAUAUAUACAUAUUAAACAGAAGCUGUUAAAUUGAAAACAAUGUUGAAUCAUGAAUACUAAUCAUGCAGAACAAAAUAAUAAUAAUAAUAAUAAUAAUAUUUGAGAAUAAGAAUGAUUACCUGUCCUUCAAUUCCCAACCUGAUAUAUUGGCCACCACUUUUAAAGCGUGUCUCCACUUUUGUACUUUUUCUAUAUUAUCCCUGAAAAAUUCUUCGUGUUUGGUAAAAGCUUCUCCAAAACUUGUUGUCUGUUUCCUUACAACAGUUGGUUCCACAUCAUAGAAAAUUGGAAAAAUCUGAUCCUCUCUAUUUUUGUAUUCAACAAUCUUGACAAGUUCAUCCAAGCACCAAGUGGAAGAAGCAUAGUUUCUUGAGAGAACAAUAAUUGAAAUUCUUGAUUCUUCAAUUGCUUUAAGGAGAUUUGGUGCAAUGGAUCCUCCUUUCUCAAGUUGUUUGUCAUCCCUGAAUACAUAAAUUCCUUUAUCGUUCAAAGCAGUAUAGAGAUGACUUAUGAACGUUUGACGGGUGUCUUCUCCUCUAAAGCUUAAGAAGGCAUCGUAUUUCCUAUGAGAGACAUCUUGGCAGCUCGUGGAAGCCAUUAUAUUAAUUUGUUCCUGAAAAUUUAGAAUAAAUCAAGUGAAAUCCAGUGAACGCACAAUACCAUGCAAACAAUAAGAUUCAUUCAAAAUUAUGGGCAUCACAAAAAUGAAAAUUUUAUAAAUUAUAUAUAAAUUCUACUUUUUUUGACAACCUACACAGUAACUCGUAUGAAUAGUGACUCUAAAUAGUAUUGCAUGAACAAUAUUGUAUAAACAGUAAUCCGUGAACAGUAAUUUCAGGAUUAAUUAAUUAGAAAAAUUAAUAUAUCUACCGUUUUAAUUUGUUUAUGCUGAUUAAAAUAGAUCUAAAUUCUUUACACAUGAUAAACCCCAAAAUGUAAUAUAAAUUUUUUCUAGAUGCUAAUCGGGGAGUGUGCACACCAAUCUCUGCUUAAGCAAAUCUUGAUUAUAGCCUCUAAAAGAAAGCAGAGUGUUUGUACGAAAUUAACAUUCAAAGAUUUCUUUCAAUUUUUACAUUUUUUUCUUUUACAUCAAGAUGUGCAAAAUUAAUUCUGAAAAUAAAAGAGAGAGAUUUAUGAGAUAGAACUUACAGCUUUUGAGUGUAUUGCAGGAAGCCCUUAAAUGAAUUCCAAUGCAGUAUUAUUAUUAUUAUUACCACAACUCCGAUGCAGUGUUUGAUUCAAAGAAUUUAUUCAUGUAAAUAUCCUUUGGGAAAAAAUAAAUUAAGCAAUAGGAGUUGUGUUGUUGUCAAAAAGUGGCCUCUUUAAUAAUCAAUAAAUGUUGUCACUGCUUACUCAGACGAUGAACUUAGCAUCGAACUUCCUGGAAGCUUCAAGGAAUCUAAACGAAAAUUAUCAGGCUUUUCAAUUGUAUACGCAUCUUUGCCAUUCUGCCCAUUAGCCGUGUUGAAACCAUUGGAUUCCAUAUUUCCAUUAAAAUGGAGUGGAAUCCAACGGUUGAUAUUAAUAACUAAUUAAAAAUAUUAAAAUUAUCAGCAAUCUAUAGGAAUUAAUGGUAAACAUAAUGAUCUUUAUUACUGAAACUUUAAUGGAGUCCAGCCAGGUGGGAAUCAAUAUGCUUUUUACUGUUUGAAUUUGAUUUUAAGUAGCAAAUAGCUUCUUUUUUUUCAACUUUUAUGUUUGAACUUGUUUCAUUUUUAGUUUUAAUCAAUUCGAUUGACCCAGCACAAUGAUUUAAGGAUAAGAUUGGGUUGGGUUGAACAUAUUUAUUUGAUUGGUUGGUUUGAUUUUUUUUAAACUAAUCAAUAGUGGGUGGGUUGGAUGACCACCCUUACAGAAAGAAAAAUUAAAGUUCUUUAUCAUAGAAAUAUGCAAAAUCCAUACACUUAAAAAAAAUUAUGCUAAACUGUAAUUACUGUUUAAAAGCUUCCAGUGAAAAUUGAUUUAACUUAUAAAAUCUGCGUUGUGUAUAACACAGCCUGAUCAACAAAUAUUGUCAAAUGUUAUUUAUCGAGAUCCAAAGAAAAAAUUUACAAACCUGAAGAUUCAUCGAGACUUACGAAAUUCAAGGAGAUAAAAAUUAUUAAUUAUUAGUGUUAAAAAAGAGAAAAUAGAGAGAAAGAGAAAAAUAAUGUAACAUAAUUACUUUAAUAAUUUCUUUUAACAUAAAAUUAUUGAACAACAAAUUAAUGAUCUUCUUCUUAACUAAACAAACUAAUUGACAGCCUCUCAUUUACUUCCAAAAUACAAUAAAAAAGUUUUUCAGAUGAUGAUUGGAGAGCGUGUUUGCCGACUUUUACUUAAGCAAAUCUUAAUUAGAGCCUCAAAAUGAAGCAAAUCAAGGAGUUGAUACAUAACAAAUUAAAUUACCAUUCAAAGCUUUCUUCCAAUUUUAUUUAUUUCCUUUUUUAAACAUCCAGGAUGUGCAAAUUAAUUCUGAGGAUAAAAGAGAAAUGUAUAAAAUAAAACUUACAGCUUUGAGUGUGUUGAACGAAGCCACCUAAUUGAUCUGAUCAACUCCAAUGAAGUGUCUUGAUUCAAAGGAAAGAAGUUAAUCUCAGGCAAAUAUGUUUCUUUUGGAAACAAAAAUGCAACUUCCAGCUGCCCCAGAUUAAUUUAUAUGUAUUCCAAAAGCAAGUCUUGGUCAUCUCAGAAAGUGGGGGUGAAAAAAGCAAAAAAGCGAAAGGAAUCUAAAUUCUAAAGGUUAUACUUUUUAACUACUUCAUUACCUCAUAGGGGCGAAAAAAAGAAAAAAAUUAGAGAGGUGUGAUUAGAUUUAAACGGGGUGUAUUUUGCAUGCCGCGCUAAAAGCUUAUAGUUGAGAGAAUAAAACUCUUUUUAUGUUUUUUUAAAGUUAUUUAUAAGAUAAGGUAAUUUUGCAUCCUUCUAAACUUAUUCGGCAAUAACCCCAAAUGAUCUUUAAGUAUAAGAAGUAAAGUUUAAAACUAGAUAAAGUAUGUAUAAAACUGAAAAUUAAUUCUAAUUUUAUUCAUAUACCAUAUAUGUCUAGUAAUAUAAAAAUAACUUUUAUUUUAUUUUGGCUUGAUCUACAUUUUUAAAAAAAAUUAAUUUUUCUGUGUAGUAAACAAAUAUUAUGAUAGAAAAUGAAAAAAAUUAUAAAUUUCCAAGGAUAAAUAUAGAAUUCAUGUUUAAAUCAAUUCAAUAAAAUUUAUUCUGAUUAUUUAAAUACAGUUUUUUUUCAGUUAAUGAGUGAUUUUUUUGGCUUGAUUAGUGAUUUUUUUUGCAUAAUUAAUAAAUAAAUCAACUAUUUUCUAGUCUAGUUAACGUUUAAUGUUGUUUUAUAAGUUUUAUAUUAUUUUUACAAGUAUUUUUAAUUUUUAAUUUUAAAACAUCAAUUUACCACUUUUAUAUUGAUUUAUUUAUUUUACUUUUUAUUUACUAGCCAUAUGUAUAAAUUAUAAAAAUUGCUGACUCUAAUUUGUAUGCUUAUUGCUAGUAAUCCACCUCUGCUGUUGGCGGUAACUAGUUAGGAAUUCCAUGAACAAAUUUCACAAAAGGUUUGAACAAAUUUCACAAAUUUUCCAAAAAUGUAGAAGUCCCUCUAGUUCAUUUCCAUUCCCUCUUUUCUAUUUUAAGAAGUAUACACUACGGAUCAUUCUAAUUGCGAAUUUCGAUUCUUAAGUCCCAUGAGUAAAAGCACCAUUAAUGUAGGUCACGAGAGUAACCAGAGUGGUAAAAGGCCGGUAAAGACAACUGUUAGGAAAAGAAUUACAGCAAAUUGGCCGAAACUUAUUACUGACAACUAAUUGUAUUUGUAUACGAAACAAAGUGUUCCAUGCAAGUACGGGGUUGGAUUAGACUUACCCAAGAGUUUAAAAAAUAAUUAAUUAAGUGUUCUCACAGUAUGUAAUACUUUUCUAAAAUAGAUUUGGGUUAAAACACUGUCUUUGGUCUUAAUUUCAAUGCGGAAAAAAAUUUCACACUUUCAAAAGAAAAAAAGAAAUAAUUUGAAAGACAGUGAAGCAAUUAGCUAGUUACAAAUAUCAUAAACAUGUAAGUUGAGCAAUUAGUUUGGAUUCGCAACAAGCACUCGUCGCCUUUCUCAUGCCAAGAAUCUAUUUUGUCAGUCCCAAGUACUUCAUUGCAAACGACUUGCUAAGCUCCCUCAUCAGAUUGCCAAUCUUACUAGCAUCCUGGCCAACAAUUAACAUGUCAUCCACGUAAAGCAAAAGGAUAAUAAAACCAUUAUCACUAAACCUCUUCACAAAAACACAAUGAUCGCACGUAGUCUUGUUGAAAUCACGAUUCUCCAUGAAAGAAUCCAACUUCUUAUACAACUGUCUUGGUGCUUGUUUCAGUCAAUACAAACUUUUCUUCAACUUGCACACAAGUUCUUCUUUACCUUUGACACUGAAUCCUUCAGGUUGCUCUAUGUAUAUUUCCUCCUCCAAGUCACCGUGUAAGAAAGUUAUCUUUACAUCGAGCUGUUAAAUUUCGAAGUUCAAGCUAAUUGCUAGUCCCAGAACAACUCCGAUAGAAGACAUCUUUACCAUAGGAGAAAGUAUUUCUUCAAAAUCAAUACCUACCUUUCUUCUGACCAAAACCCUUCACAACCAAUUUAGCCUUAUAUCGCUGCUGUGAGUUGUUUUCAGUCUUCAACCUAUAAACCCACUUGUUCUUCAGUGCUCUCUUUCCCUUAGGAAGCUUCACUAAGUCAUAAGUGUGGUUCUCAUUUAAGGAUUUCAUCUCUUCUUGUAUGGUUUUAACCCACUCACUAUUAUGCUGGUGAGACAUGGCUUUUUCAAAACAUUUUGGCUCCCUUACAUCUGUAAGCAUCACAUACUUAUGUGGAGGAUAUCUAGUAGAAGGUCACCGUUCUCUAAUAGAUUUUCUCAAUUAUGGCUCAACUGGUGGUGUUGGUGGUUCUAGAGGUGCCUGGUCAACUGUUUUUGCUGGCAAACCAAGCAAAUUUAUUUGGACUUUGGGCUUUGGGGCCCCCAAAUGAGAUGAACCUAACAAGUGGAAUCCGUGCUAGCAGCUUGAGCUUCUGAUUUUCCUGCCAAAACCAAAACUCCGGACUUUAUGAAUUUGAAUCAUUCUUCGUCAAUUAAGGCUUGUAAGUUUUGCUUGAAUUUGAAGUAGUCAUGCAAAACGGAGAAACUUUGCGAAAGUGAAUGUGCAUGGAAAUGGAUCUGCGCCAAAAGUAAAGCCAAGCAUUCAAGCAUGAUAAAAUUAAGAUCAUGUUAUUAGAGAACCUACUAUCAAAACUGAACCUGUGAUCGAGCCAAAAGAAGUGGCCACAUAAGAUUUGAAUUUGCUAUUAUUUGAUUUAACUUUUUCAGUUGUUAAUUGUAGGACUGGUAAGAAUCUGAGCCUAAGUUUCCUCGACCAGUUAUGCUUUUCAUUACUUGCUAACCUUAUCAACAUUCUUGUUCCAUGAGUCUAAUAACAUUAUGUUGAACAACACCGAAAGCAAUUCACAUAGAAGUAAUUGUUGAAAAACUGAGGAUGAUUAAAUUGUUCAAAACUAAAAUUAUGUGGGCAACAGAAGAAUUUUACUAAAAUGAAGGACUUCAUUGAUAUUAUUUACCCUACCACAAUUUGAAAAUGAGGAAUGGAAGACUCAUUCUAAGGAGGAGGUAGUAGUGAGUCUCUUAUUUGCUGGAUUGAUCAUUUUACCCCUCUCCAAAAAUCAAAAUGUUCAUUUUAUCCUCAUUUAUGAUUAAUUAAUAUAUUAUUAUAAUUAAUUAUUAACAAUAAUUAUUAAUAGUACUUAUAUUUAAUUAAUAAUAAUUAUAAAAUAUUACUAUAAUUGAAGAAUUAAUAUAGUUAUUAUUAUUAAUUAAUAUAUUAAUUAUUAUUAACAAUAAUUGUUAAUAGUUAUAAUUUUUAAUAAAUAAUCACAAUAAUUAAUAUUUAUUAUUAAUUAAUAUAUUUUAUAAUUAGUAUAUAAAUAUAAUUAAAUUAUGUAUUAUUAACAAUAAUUAAUAAUAAUAAUAAUCAUCAUCAUCAUUUUUAAUAAAUAAUCGCUAUAAUUAAAAUAUAAAAUAAUAAUGAUGAGAAUAGUUCAUUAUGUACUUUAUAGUAAUAUGUUACAAUGUAACUCAUUCUAAUUCUAAUUCAAAGACAAAGUAAAUACAUUAAUGGCAAUUCAGCUCAUUCCGAUUCUAAUUCCUGCAGUUCAAGUAAAAAACGUAUUUUAAUUCCCAUUAUCCAUACUCAUUUCAGCUCAUCCCAUUCUUACUCAUUCUAAUUUCAGCCCAUUCCGAUUCCAAUUUAGUAAACGCAAUAUAAAAUGGAUUGGAAUCCAAUGGUUGAUAUUAAUAAUUAAUUAAAAGUAGUUAAAACUAUUGACAAUCUACAGGAAUGGUAACUUUUAUUCGUUAGAUUUCAGUUGGGUCCUUACAAGAUAUUGGAUCAUUUUGGUAAUAUUAUAGUUUUUAAAAUAAUUACUAUUAAUUGUAUUAUAGAAAUAAUCAACUAUAAAGAUAACCAAUUAAACGUUUGAUGCAAUUUUCAAAAGUUCUAUGAAUUUUAAAAACAAUUGUAUGCGUUUUGUAAAUCUUACUAUUAAAUUAUAAUAAUAUUAUAAAUAACAUGAAUGUAAAUGAUUGUAAGUGAACAUAAUUUUGAAUAAAAUUUAUUUACAUAUUUAUAAUAUGCAUAUAAAUUAUUUUUUAUUGUGUAUAUAUAAUAAUUGAUAUUUAAAGUAAAUAUUUUUAUUAUUAAUUUUAUUUUUUAUUUCGCUAUCUCAAUAUAAUUAGUAAUAAUAAUAAUCUCUUUAAAGUUAAUGAUUUACUUUCCUAGUUAGUAAGGAUAAUUCAAUAGAAUAAAUUUAAAAAUCAAUUUAUGGUAAUGAAAAUAAAUAUGCAAAAUAAAUGAAUAUCCGCAACACGAAGAUUUUUUUACGAGGAAACCUUUGAUCCUCACGAUUUAGGAUAAAAAUCUCAACAUGUUAUUAUGUCCACUUGUAGAUAGAACAAUUCACUAUGAAAAUAAUGUAAGUUAAAGUGGAUCAACAACACUCACAAAGCUUUGCACCUGUAAAUAUCUCAAAUCUACAUUCUAUUGUGUUAAGCCUCACAAACUGAAAUACGUUAUCUAAAAUACAUUUGAACAUUUUCCAAGUGGAUUUAGGUGGGCAGCCUUGCCAAGAUUUAGGUCUUGGGUUUGAGUCUCAUGUAGCUACGUCUCAUAGACGUUAUUUUGGUGCUAUGAGGAAUCUCCUUUUGUUCCUGUUUGGGUUUCUUUGUCGUAUUUUCUAAUGCAUUUUAAUCAUUACAAAGAUGCCUUAUUUUUUACUGCUAAUGCUAUUGGUAAGCCUCUACGGGUGGACCAUGCUACUACUAUUGUUAAUCGGCCCUUAAUCGCUCGAAUUAUGAUUGAAUAUGAUGUUUUGCGGUCGUUGUUGCCCAAACUUUGGACUGGUGAGGGUGAUGGCAGUUGCUGGCAAGAUUGUCAAUUUUUAGUGUGUUCCUUUAUAUUGUGUCUCGUGUAAGCAUCUUGGCAAGCUGCUGAUGCUUGUUUUGUUGCUAAUCCUGGGCUCUAGGAGCCCCAGCAGCCUGUUGGUCAGGUGCAGGAUGUUGUUGUUCGUGAUAAAGGCAAGGUGCCUAUAUCUGAUGCUAUUGUGCAUUUAAAGGGGGAUCGUGAAGAUGUUAAGCCAUUGAGGCCUGGUGCUGGCAAGGAUGUUUCGGUAGAUGCUUAGCCGCCUAUUUAUCAGGAUACUACAGAAGAUGGGUAUGAUCCAGUUUUUAUGAAAAGAGUUCAGACAUCUAAGGUCUCUAACCCUCCUUAUUUUUUAGAUUAUCCGGGUGUUUAAAGGGCUUCCAUUGGCGCUACUUUUUUUUUCAAGCUGUUGUAGAGGAUAUUUGCUCCAUGGUCGUGGGCUUCAAUUGCCAUUCUACGGACAUCCCUUUUCAGUCUGAUGAGGAGUUUAGCUUUGAUGAGAAUCUUGCAACUAAUGAAUAUUUUGCAUUUGGGCCUAAGGGUACUAGAGGGCGUGAUGUUGAUGACUUUAGUAUUGCCUGGUUGUAUGCCUCUGGUUCUAAGAAAGGUUUCACAUUAGUUACUGGCCCAAGAAUUGUAUGCUAUUCUGUAGCCGGUUGCGUUAAUUACUCCUAUCUUCUAAGCUUUUGUUAUUUUUCUAAUUGUUGAGUGUAUUUGUUCCCGUGCUUAGAGGUUUUGGAAUAUGUCUCCCCCUCCAUAUGAUUUUUCUUUAAUUUUAUUAAUCUAUUGGUAAGGGGGUCCUGCCUAAUCCCCACCUUAGAGUAUUUUUUAAUUAAAAAAAAAUCCGCACAAUCCUCACAAUUUUUUUUCCUACAUGAGUUAAACAUCAAAAUCUGCUGAGGAGAAAAGUUUAAGGGUAAAAUGAUAAUUGGUGUGAGAGAAUCCGUCUUAAAUUUAACACCUUUAAGCUCAAAGACCUUGUAUCAACGAACUUGGUGGAGCUAAAGACAAGAGAAGAAAAUAAAUGCUAAUUAAUUCUUGAUGUUUGAAAAAAAUCCAAUCUAAAACAUUAGCUUCUAACCCUUCAGAAAAGUAUUUCUCAAAAAUCAAGGGUUUAAAAGUAAAUUUUAAGGACAUAAAAGUAAGAAGUCACUAAUAGGAGUGUGUAGUGGGAGUGGGAGUAGGGUAUUUACUUAGACUAAAUGAAAGUAUGGAUUGUCAAUCAGAAUCCCAAUUAUUUGUUUACUUUGUCUUGGAUUGGGAGUAAAUUAUUUUAAAUUACAAUUUUAUCCUUAUGUAAAGAAUUAUAAUUUGUAAUUAAAAAAUUAAUAAAAAAAUAUAUUUGGAAAAUAAAAUAUAUAUUUUAUUAUAUUUAUAAAUUAAUAACAAUUACUAAUAUUCUUAAUAAUGUAAAUCAUACUUUGUUAUUAUUUUUAAUUUAAAUUAUGUGAAUAAAAAUUAUUANNNNNNNNNNNNNNNNNNNNNNNNNNNNNNNNNNNNNNNNNNNNNNNNNNNNNNNNNNNNNNNNNNNNNNNNNNNNNNNNNNNNNNNNNNNNNNNNNNNNAAAUGAAAUAUUAUUAUUGAUAAUAUAGUACAAAAUUAAUUUUUUUAGAAUAAAAUAUUUAUUAUUAUUAAUUAAUUAAUUAAUAUUUAUUAAAAUUAAUGUUUAAUAUUAUUAAUUUAAAUAUAAUAUUUAUUUAUUUUUAUUUUAUUAAAUUUAAUAAAAUAAAUAUGUUAUAAUUAUUAUUUUUAAUAAAUAUGAUAUUAUUUAUUUUAUUAAAUAUGAUAUUAUUUAUUUUAAUUACGAGGGUAAAAUGGAAAGAGGGGGGAGUGGAUUCCCACUCCCACCUCCCCCCAUGGGAGUGGGAAUCUCACUCCCCACUCCAAAAUUAGGUGGGACCCACAGAGUGGGAAUCCCACUCACCCUUUUUUUAAGGUAAGUAAACACUGAAAUAAGAGGAAUCCACACUCCACACUCCCACUCCAGAAAGUAAACACUGCCUAAAUUCUUCCUUGUUGGGUCUAUCUCAUUUGGGGCCCAAAAUCCAAAUAAAUUUGCUUGGUUUGUAAUUAUUACGAAGCCUUGGACUUAGAUGAAAUUCGCCAAGUAAUUUGGCUAUAAAAGCAAGCAGUAGCCCCUGGGACUCAAAAUGACUAAAAUAAUCAUUUUUCUCCUAAUGAUUUUUAGCAUAAAGUUUUGACAAAAUUUAAUAGAUUGGACAUUUUAGUUUUAUUUGAAAUGAAAUGUUAUGAAUAAAUGGCUCUUAAAUAAUCAUAAUCAGCACACAACCAGCAAAUUCAAGGAGCAGAAAACCAAGAGAACAAAAUUUCCUCUUAAAUUAAUUCAAAUUGAAUUUUAUAUAUGAAAAAAUAAGACAUAAAUAUGUAAGACAUUUAUUCUUGCAAAGCAAACGCUUAGAUACAAGUAAAAAAAAAAAAUGUAAGAAAAUUAACUUGCAUGUUUGAGCUUAUUGUAAGCAAUAAAAGAUGGUAAAUUUUUACUUGAAUUUCUAAUUAAGGCCAUGUUCAGAGUUGAAGUUGGACAGCUAUAACUUUUGAAUUACAACACCAAAGUGUUUGAUAAAUACUAACAACUGUAUCUUAAAAAUUAAGUUGUAUGCUGAAAAAUAUAUUAUAACUUUAUUAAUUUUGUGAAAAUUAUUAUUUAAAAUUAUAUUUAUUACAUACUAUUAAUUUUUAUUUUAUAAUUAUAAUUUUUUUUAAUAAUUUAAACUUAAAAAUUAUAGUAUCUCAAUAAGAAAGAGGACUUAGCUUUCUUUCAAAGAAAUCAAUGAGAGGAAUUUUUUAUUUUCUAAUUAAUUUCUCAAAAAACAAAAAGUGUGAUCAAAAGUAUAUGCCGAAAGCAAUUAUGAAGAAUGAUCAUGGUCUUUAGUGGUGUAUGGAAUCAAAGAUAUGGUUGACGUGAUGUUGAGGAAAGUAGAGAUUUCUUUUAGUAUUUUAUCAAGGGCGGCCUCAAUAUAAUUGCAUUUUAUAGCUCAAAGUGAAUAAAAUAUUCUUUUAGAAAAAUUCCACGAUAAUCAUUUUAAGAAUUUAUUCUUUUGGAAAAAUUCCACUAAAAUCUUUUAAGAAUUUAUUCUUUCGGAAGAAUUCCGUCAUAUUCUUUAUUAAUUUUUUUUUUGUUUUUUUAAGUUAUAGAAUCUUGUUAUUGAAAUAAGUAAAGGUUGAAAUAAGUAAAAUGUUGCUUCAUCAUAUAUUUUUACGAUUUUACGUGUUGCAUUACCGAACAUAUUUAACAUAAAUUGUUACCAACAACGGGAACGCAGCUUCCAAUAUCCAAACCGUCUCAUCAUCAGGACAAUUGGACGGAAUCUUCAUCACACGUGUCUCACUAUUAUUGGUUACCGUUUUGGAUCUUCUCACGUGCAUCCGACGGUCAAGAAGGCAGCAACUCUACGUUGCCAUCAAAAAAUUGUUAAGGUUAUGAAUCUAUCCGCAAGGCAGCUGUAAAUAAUUAUACAGGUUGAUGUCUCAAUUUUGGAUAAAUAUUUGUUUAAUCUAUAUAUUUUUGUUUAAGUAUCUGUUUAGUUUUUAUAUUUUAAAAAAGUGUCUCAAGAGAUCACUGCUGUUAAGUAUAUUACACUCAUACACUUGUUUUUUCUUUACUUUUAUAGGAAUACACUUGCAACAAUAUUCUUGAGGAUGUAAAUUAAUUUAUCUAUAAAGAAAGUUAAAGUAAAAAUAAAUAUAUUUUUUUUAUUUUACUUUUGGAAUUAAUUUAGUAGAUUAAUUUUUUAAAUAAUUAUUACAGAGACUAUAAUUGCAAGGGUAUUAAAUAUUGCUUUAAGUUAGCUAGUAUUAAUUUUAUUUUAAAUCAUUGGAAGAUUGCUAUAAGAGUAUGAAAAAUACCAGUUCAUUCAAACUAAUAGUUAUUGGUUAAUUGCUAAUAAAUAACUACGGUUAAAUUUGUUAAUUAACAUUUUUCAUAGAUUAAUUAAUUAAUGUCUCCAAAAUUGUUGUAAGGGCAUUAUUAUAAAACAUAAGAAAAACAAAGGGCAAUAGUACAUAUAUUCAAUAAGUAGGGUGUCUUGAGAUAUUUUUCGAAAUAUAAAAAAUAAACAUAUAUUUAACAUAAAAUAUAUGGACUAUUCGAACAUUUACUCUCACAACUUUUGAUGUGAUUAAUAAAGGAUAAGAGCAUAUUAAAAAAGUAAUUUCUACUUAAAUUUAUAAUAGUUAUGCGAAAUAGAAAAGCUUUGUUAUAGAACGAACCCGCUAUCAAACCCGAAGCUUGAUCCUAAGCUGAGGUUUGUAUUGUACAACUCCUAUCAUUGUCUAAAUCCAGAUUCUAUAAAAUCCAAACGUCGAGAAAAAGUUCUCCGAACAUCAGAAAUGCCUUGCAACAGUUGCUAGAUAGCUGGACCCGGCACCCGGCACCCGGCUAAUGGACUGUUUAACAACAUUAAAUUUUUUUAUUUUAUUUUACACUCAUUAUUCAAUCCGCCAAUCAUUGUUUUUGAUCCAUCUGUGUAAAUCACGACACAAGUAAACUUUUUACUGUACGUUUAUUAUUCAAUUCCAUUUUUCUCCAAAAAAAUUUAGUAUGCACAUUUUUUUCAAAUUUGUGGCAUGCAAGUAAAGUAGAGCUCGAAUCUAAAACUCGAGUCUUAGAAAAAAUUAUAAUUGGAGCCAGUCUAGCCUCUAAGAUAGUAUGUGCCCUUUUUCUUCAAUUUGCAGCUUUUUUGUCAGACCUAAAAUUGAUUUAAUUUGUAAUGUUACCUAACUGGUGGUGAAGAAACAGCAGCCAUUACAUCAGAAAUCGCUAGUGCAGUUCAAGUAAAUUCAUGUAAAGCAAACCCUGAGAUACAAGUAAAAUUGAAAAUGUAAGAAAAUUAACUUACAUAUCUGAGCUUAUUGGAAGAUAAAGCAAUCAAAGAUGAUAAAUUUUUACUUGAAUUUCCAAUUAAGUUUGUUUCAAAGAAAUAAAUCAGUGAGAAGAUUUUUAUCUGUUCUAAUUAAUUUCUCAAAGACAAAAAGUUUAAUCCAAAGUGUAUGCCGAAAGUAAUUAUGAAGAAUGAUUAUGGUCUUUAGUGGCGCAUGAAAUCAAAGAUAUGGUCGACAUGAUAUUGACAAAUGCAAGGAUUUCUUUAAGCAUUUUAUUUAGCGAGUCUUCAAUGUAAUUACAUUUUAUACGGCAAAGUGAAUAAAAUAUUCUUUUAAAAAAAUUUCACUUUAAUCUUUUUAGAAUUUAUUCUUGUGGAAAUAAGGGAGGAUGGGUUUGUGUUUUUUCAAUUGAGUUUGAUAUAUUGAUUUCACAAAUAUUCAUGUCUUGUUUUUUGGUUGGUGCAUACUUUAAUGACUUUGUUUUGCGGUUCUUGUGUUGUAUGUACAUAUGUGCGUCUCAUUCUGAUUCUCACAACUCACAAAUGGCAUCGUUGUUUGUUUCUGAAUCACAACUCAAUUGAUUAAAUUAUUCUUUUAGAAUAAUUUAUUCUUAUAAAUUUCACUUAAAUUUAUAGUAGUCAUGCAAAAGAGAGACUGUAAAAACAAUAAGGGACAAAUAGUAAAUAUUGAUUACACCAUAAGAAAAUUGGGAAUCUCCCAUAAAAUAAAUAUUAAGAUAUGUGCAUAUGAGAUUAUUAUAGAACGAACCUGCUAUCAAACCCGAAGCUUGAUCCUAAGCUGAGGUAUGUAUCGUAAACUUAUAAUCCUUUUUUUUUCUAAUUCGUCCGUGAAAAUUACAACAAAAGUAUUUUUUUUUUUUAUUGUACAUUCAUUAUUCAAUCGGCCAAUCGUUUUUUUUUAAUCCAUCUGUAAAUUUUUUAUUGUACAUUUAUUAUUCAAUUCCAUUUUUCUCCAAAAAAAUUCAUUUGGUAAGCACAUUUUUUCAAAUUUGUGGCAUGCACAUAAAGUAGAGCUCGAAUCUAAAACUUGAGUCGUAGAAAGGCUUCCUUUAUAAUUGGAGCUAAAUCUUGCCUCUAACAUAGUACGUGCCCUUUCUUCAAGUAAAUUCAUGUAAAGCAAACCCUGAGAUGCAAGUAAAAUUGAAAAUGUAAGAAAAUUAACUUACAUGUUUGAGCUUAUUGGAAGCAAUCAAAGAUGAUAAAUUUUUGCUUGAAUUUCCAAUUAAGUUCGUUUCAAAGAAAUCAAUCAGUGAGAGGAUUUUUAUGUGUUCUAAUUAGUUUCUCAAAGAUAAAAAGUUUAAUCAAAAGUGUAUGCCGAAAGUAAUUAUGAAGAAUGAUUCUGGUCUUUAGUGGCGCAUGUGAUCAAAGAUAUGGUCGACAUGAUGUUGACAAAAGCAUGUUAUUAAUGGCGUCUUCAAUGUAAUUGCAUUUUAUAGGGCACAAUGAAUUCCACUUUAAUCUUUUAAGAAUUUAUUCUUGUGGAAUAAUUCCAUUAAAAUAUUUUAAGAAUUUACUCUUUUAGAAAAAUUCCAUUAUAAUCUUUUAAGAAUUUUUUUAUUUAAAUUGUAGAAUUUUCUUGUAAACAGAAGUAAAGAUGGGGAAGUAAAGGUUAAAGGCUCGACAUUUUUUACUUGAAUUUCCAAUUAAGUUUGUUCAAAGAAAUCAAUGAAAGGAUUUUCAUGUGUUCUAAUUAAUUUCUCAAACAACAAUUUUAGUCUAAAGCGUGUGCCGAAAGGAAUAAUGAAGAAUGAUUUUGGUCUUUAGUGUAGAAAAGACAUGGUCUAUUGAUGUUUGACAAAGCUAGCUUCAGUAAUCUACCCAUCAAAGAAAGGAUUUCAAUGUAAUUGCUUUUUUAAGGGAAAAUGAAUAAAUAUUCUUUUGGAUNNNNNNNNNNNNNNNNNNNNNNNNNNNNNNNNNNNNNNNNNNNNNNNNNNNNNNNNNNNNNNNNNNNNNNNNNNNNNNNNNNNNNNNNNNNNNNNNNNNNNNNNNNNNNNNNNNNNNNNNNNNNNNNNNNNNNNNNNNNNNNNNNNNNNNNNNNNNNNNNNNNNNNNNNNNNNNNNNNNNNNNNNNNNNNNNNNNNNNNNNNNNNNNNNNNNNNNNNNNNNNNNNNNNNNNNNNNNNNNNNNNNNNNNNNNNNNNNNNNNNNNNNNNNNNNNNNNNNNNNNNNNNNNNNNNNNNNNNNNNNNNNNNNNNNNNNNNNNNNNNNNAAAUAAUGGUUGAAAGCUUGACAUUUUUCUUUGAAGUGGCUUAAGGCUCGGGAAGAAAGGUUUACGGCUGUCCACUUCUCUUAGAAAUAAUUGGUUUUAGGCAUCUUUUGGUUACAAGCCUCACAAGUUGUAAGUUAUUAUUCAGAUUUUUUUGAUACGAGCAGUGGUCAAUAGAGUCAACUCAGAUAAAACUUAAAUUUCCCGCCCAAACAAAAACUAACAAACAUAAAGAAUUUGAAUCAUCCUUCAAUAAUAACAUAAAUAGCAACUCCAGAGGCUAGUAAUUUGAUCAUUUCUGUAUUUGUCAAUGCAUUAUGGACUCUAAGACCAGGCUCUAAAAUCAAAUAAAUGCUACAGUUGUAUGCAAUUGAUGAAUAGAUAUCAUCAAUUCCAAAAAUUGUUGAUAAUAUUACUUAAGUAAGGUUACGAAUCCAUCCGCAAGACAGCUGUAAAUAGUCAUAUACCCUGACGUAUGAGCUUUUUAUAUGAUUAAUAAAGGAUAAGAGCAUAUUCAAAAAUCAAUUUCUACUUAAAUUGAUAGUGAAUGUGUAUAUCACUGUGCAGAAGUAAAUAAAGUAUGCAAGCAUGAUAAAACAAAGUUCAUGAUAUGUGCCUAUGAGAUUAUUAUAGAAUGAACCUGCUAUAAAAAAUGAUGCAGUGACUAAGCUGGAAGAAAAGGCCACUUAAGAUGUGAAUUUGCUGUUAUUUGAUUCAACUCUUGGCAUGGCUCUUGAGGUUUGAAUCAGCUUAUGGCAGGCAAGUGAGCAAGCUGAUAUUGCUGUUGUAGAUAGCUUGAUGCCCUUAUCAACAUUCUUCUUCCAUGAAUCUGAAUCUUUUGGUCGAAGAUAUUGAUAGCAAUGCACAUAGAAGUAAUACGGCACUGCAUGUUAUAAAGGAAAUUAUUAAUUUUGUAAAGUACCUUAGCGAUUCUGCUUUUGCUAACUUUGUUACUGUCUCCACUGCACUCUGUUCCACAUAGUCGAAAUCAUUCUGCAUUUUGACCUGAUUCUAACAAGACAAUCUAACUUCCAAGCUUUCAAAUUUCCCCAAGGUCUCUGGCACAUUUUUAAGUUUGGAGCAGCCAGAGAGAUACAAUGUUCUAAGCAAUCUCAAACCAUUUAUGGUACUUGGAAGACUCUUGAGAUUUUUACAAUCUUUCAAAUUCAACAAGACAUUGCCAGAAAGAAGUUCAAUAGAUGCUGGCAAUCCUCUUAUAGCAGUUCCUUCCAAAUGAAGCUCCAAGAGCUGAUCCCUGCUUGAAGUUUUCUCUGGGAACUCUCUGAAUUUCAAAGGGCUGGAGAGAUUCAAAGUUGAUAGAUAUUUUAGAGCACUUAUGGUCCGUGGAAGACACUCGAGAUUUUUGCAGCCAUUCAGAGUCAACUGAGCAAGUCCAAAUAGAAGUUCAAUUGAUAAUGUUAAUAUCAGUUCCAUCCGAAAGAACUUCCCACAACGUCUAGAAAUUUCUUCAAUUUCCAGCAACCAGAAAGAACAAGUGUCUUAAGAGAUUUCAUAAAGAUCUUGCCUGGAAGAGUUGAAAGACUUGUACAACCUUUCAAAUUCAACAAAAUCAGCUUCUUUGACGCAGAAAAAAUGAGUGAAUCUCCUGCAACCUUGUAAAUCUUUCAGAAAUCAUCUCCCCUAAAUUUGGUACUCUUGUGAAGUCUGAUUGGUCCUAUUAGAAAAGGCUUUAGCACUGACAUGCAUCUCUUUGUUGUUAAAGCGAUCAAAUAUGAUGCUUCAACUACAUCAGUUUCCUAAACAUUAUAACAAAAAAUAAGUGGGAACAAAAAAAAAAUGAAAGAAAGAAAAUAUUGAUAAAACUACGCAAAGGUUUCACUAGUUAAAUAAGUGAUCAUGAUCCCAAAAUUGCAAGUUUUCAACCUAACUGAACAUUUACUUGUGCUUUGUGAUAAUGCAUGGCAUAUAUCUGCUUCCUUCCACAAUCUAUUGCAGUUUCCAGGCUCCUGAGGGGAUUGCCUCCUAACAAUUUGUCUACCCCAUUUCUUGUAGCUACUCAUGCAUCCACAGUCUGCUGAAAUCAUCUACAGUUAAUAGAGAUUUUUCAAUAGGACCAACAAUUUCGAUAAUUGGGUCAAAAUCACAAUAUUUGAGAAUUUUUUUCACAUAAUCUCUAUACUUCCCUUCACAGAAACAUGCAAUAUCGAGAAAUAUUUUCUUCUCUGUUUCUUUUGACCCAUCAAAACUUAUUUGAAGAACAUCAAGAACCUCAUUUUCAGGAUCUCCCUAUAGUCAUUGUAGUAUAACUCUGAAAAUAUUUUCUUCUCAGCUUUGGAAAUUAAUGAUCUUCUUCUUCAUAUUUAUUCUGAAAAUUCAAAAACAUAAAUGAAAAUAAAGAGAACUGCAUGGCAUAAAAUUUACAACUUUGAUUAUGUUGCAACCAGCAUAGUAAUUUUCUUAAUAAGAAUUCCGACAGUUGUAGUUUUAAAUAUCAACUACAUGUCAACGAUGCAGAAUUCCAAGGCAUCUUCUAUUAAACAAAAACAAAUAAUAAGAACCAACAGUUGUCAAUUCUUAUCAACAAAGUCUUCAAAUUGACAUUGUGGUCUGUUGUUUAACGAAAAAAAGGAAAAUCAAUAGUUGUCAAUUCCUAUCAACCAAAUCCUCAGACCAAAAUUAAACAUGGGGGUGGAGAAAAGAAAAAUAAAAAUCAAAUGUUGAAUCCUCUUGAUUGUUUCAUGGAUAAAUCUGAUCUAGAUCUGAGUCCAUAUUUAACAUAUUCAUCUACCCAUUUUCAGACAUGCCAUGAAUUGUAAAUUAAGCCAAAGAUUCGCAAAAAGCAACAAAGAAACAAAAAACAGAUUCUAUGUUCAGCCACAAAUGGGGUAUUUCACAGCCAAGCACAAUGGUUAUGGAAGAUUGCUAGUAAACAAAUGAAGAAAAUUAAUUGCUUUUCACAGGUUCAAGAAUUAACACUAUUAUUGAUUGCUUCUCAAGUGGAAGAAAUAAUUUUGAAUAAAGCACAACAUCAUUCCUUCCAACAAGGGAGCGCCUAAGUUACGAUCAAUGUAUCUUACGUUUUUUCUUUUAUUCUUCUUGGUAAAUUUCAUUUGAGUCCCUUGAUGUUUCUUUAUUUUCUAUAAUUGAGGGAGUAUUUGUCUCCUUCCAUCUCUUCUACACCUAUUUUUUACCCUUUCCAGAGUUGUAUUUAUUUCUUUUAAUAACAACAAAUGAUUAUCAAACUCAUAUAGAUCUAUGAAUUCAGAAUAUAUUUCUGGUCCUAAAUUUAUUAAACCUAUUCUUUCUUGCUCUAAUAAAUCUAUUUUUUGAUUUAUUAAAUUUAUAUAUGUACUUACUAUAUUUUCCCAUCCUAAAUGCAUAUGUUCUGUACUGUUUAUUAAUUCCUGUAUUGUAUUAACUGCUUGGUUCAUAAUGUUUCAGUUUUAUACCAAUAUAUUAAAAAUUGUAUAAAUUUAUCAAUAAAUUUCAUUUUCUUUUCUAUCAAUAUUUCUCCUCCUGUGGUAUCUAUGUUUCUUUCUAUAAGUUCCUCAGUUAAUUCAAUUUCUAUAUUUCUUAUAUUAUUUUUAUCAGUUUUUAAAGCUUUUACCAAAUUCUUUAUUUCUUCUUUAUUAUAUACCUUUAAUGUAUACAAACUAUUAACUAUUGACUGUAUUGGGUCCAUAAUUUUGUUCUUAUGGCUCUGAUACCAUCUUGCACCGUGUGCCAAAAAAGUAACGAAAAGUAACGAAAAAUAGAAAAAACGAAUAAAAAUAAUAGAAUAAAGAAUUACAGAAAACUAAAAUGUAAAUAAAAAAAAUAUACAAUAAUGUUAAAAAUUUUUAUUUUAUAAGGUAUACAUAUCGUAACUUGUAUUACUAUUAUUUCUUACAUAUAAGGCAAUAACUGAUUCUCCUUCUAUUACCCUAGGUAUAUUAUUAAGAAGACUAGGAAAAUAAAAAUCAUAAUAAUUAUUAUUAGUUUCUAAAAUAUAUGCAGGAUUAUUAGUCAUAUCAUAAAAUAAUUCAAUCUGUAUAAAGUAUAUAUUAUUAUUUAUUAUACUAAAAUAGUAUCUAAUUUCCCUCUAAGUAUCUAUUUUUACAAAAUAUUCUGAUUACAGGUACGUGGCUUGUUAUCCCAAAGUGCAGAGGAUACUAACGCCCAAUAGGGAUCGUCUAUCCAAUUUACGUCAUGGGUUGCUUGCCGAUAUACCUUACAAUCAGUUUAUUUAUUUUAUUUUACUAAAUUCCUAUAUUUCAAGUUCUUCGUUAUCCGAAUUUUCUACGUAAUUUAUGUAUGAUGGUCCGAUUUCUCGAAUUUCAUGUUCCAUAUAUGCUAAAGCUAUGUCAAUUCCUUGCUCUAUUGUUAACAUAAUUAUAUUAUGUUUUAAAUUAUCUAUUUCGAUAUGGUUUAUAAUUUUUCUUUUUAUUUCUUUUGGUAAAUUAAGAGUAUAUACUGCUUGUAGAUCUUCUGUUCUAACUAGCUCUUCUUUACUUCAAAGAUAUGAACUUUGUUUAAAAGAUCCUAAGUUAAAGUCUAUUAUCAUCAUAUAGUCAUUAUAUGUAAUCCUAGUAGUAGAGUUUAUCAUAUAUUCUUUAGAAUUCCCAAGUAAAAUAUCGUUAUUCAUGUUUAAAUUAGCUCUUCCUCCAUCAAUCUCCUCAUCAUCAAUCAUCAACAAACUUCCACCAAAAGAUAAGGUUUGAGAAUUAUUACCUGAGUUGUUCUUAUUUCUUUGCCUUCCGAUCCUCUUCCAGUGACCUGCAGCCUGGUUGUCCUUAUUCCCUCAACGGCCUCCUUGCCUCAACGGGAUCAGCGGACUCGAGCGGCCUUACUGUAUGGAUUUUGAUCGUUGUGCUUGGAAACUUUGAACAAAUUUAGGUUUCUCUUUCCUUUCUUAGGUGUUUUUUUGUUUAUGAUUUCUGAUGGUUUGAUUCUGGAUUCUGAGCUGAAGAGUUGUUUAGUUAUUCAUUUUUGAGAGAGUUUUUUGGAAGAGAUUUCGUGAUUCAAGCUCUGAGAGCCUUUCUUCUUUUUUCUUCUAUUUAUCCAGAAAAAGAUUACAUUCUUGCCCUCUUAUGUUUGGGCUUUUUACAUUAUUGCCUACGUUUUAUUACAUUAUUGCCCUUCUAUCAUUGGGCUUCUUAAGUCACUGCUGACGUUACAUAUUACUUUAGCAUCUUUCUUUUUGCUGCCUGCCAUUUUCCUUAUCUUUGUCGGGCAUCUUCUUUAUGUUGUCUGCUUUAUCUUGUCGGACAUCUUCUUUAUGUUGUCUGCCACUUCCAUGAGUUGAUAAGCUUGAUCCAUAGUUUUACUGCUACUGGGGAAACGCAUAGUGCUUAUUUCAUUGAUGAAAUCUAAUAACAGGUUUGAUGGCGUAUGACUGUCUUCAGAGGUUAUGAGAAUGUAAUUCUGGAAUUUGAUGAUGGUUCUGAAAUUUCUUUUGUAUAGAUCCUUGGCUAUGCUCCAUAUGGCUUUUAUUCCUCUGGCUCUUCGUGUUCUGAUCCAAGGUUCAUUUAUGUGUGGAACAUUUGUGUAGUCUGUCCCAACUUCGACCUUGAAAUUCUUAGUGAGAUGACCUAUAGAGAUCAUAUAAAAGGCUUGAUAUUCUACGUUCUGAUAGUAUUCUGGACUUAUGGUGUAGAAUUUUAGAUAUAUGGGUCUUUUUGGGCGAACCUUGAUACUUCUUUUAUUAAUAAGUCAUCAAGGCUGGCUAUUUCCUGAAGAUUUAUAUCUGGAUAUACUAGAUCUAAAUACCCGUAUUUUGCUAUCUUUCCAACAAGGAGUGGGUCUGCUCCUUUUGUAGCAAUCAUUCUUGGAUACAUAUUUUUUCCUGGUGCUUUGAAAAUUGUAUUCUUGUGGGAACAAGUGGAGUACACCCAUGUCUGCCAUUUUCCUUAUCUUUGUUGGGCAUCUUUGUUUAUGCUGUCUGCUUUAUCUUGUCAGGCAUCUUCUUUAUGUUGUCUGCCACUUCCAUGAGUUGAUAAGCUUGAUCCAUAGUUUUACUGCUACUGGGGAAACGCAUAGUGCUUAUUUCAUUGAUGAAAUCUAAUAACAGGUUUGAUGGCGUAUGACUGUCUUCAGAGGUUAUGAGAAUGUAAUUCUGGAAUUUGAUGAUGGUUCUGAAAUUUCUUUUGUAUAGAUCCUUGGCUAUGCUCCAUAUGGCUUUUAUUCCUCUGGCUCUUCGUGUUCUGAUCCAAGGUUCAUUUAUGUGUGGAACAUUUGUGUAGUCUGUCCCAACUUCGACCUUGAAAUUCUUAGUGAGAUGACCUAUAGAGAUCAUAUAAAAGGCUUGAUAUUCUACGUUCUGAUAGUAUUCUGGACUUAUGGUGUAGAAUUUUAGAUAUAUGGGUCUUUUUGGGCGAACCUUGAUACUUCUUUUAUUAAUAAGUCAUCAAGGCUGGCUAUUUCCUGAAGAUUUAUAUCUGGAUAUACUAGAUCUAAAUACCCGUAUUUUGCUAUCUUUCCAACAAGGAGUGGGUCUGCUCCUUUUGUAGCAAUCAUUCUUGGAUACAUAUUUUUUCCUGGUGCCUUGAAAAUUGUAUUCUUAUGGGAACAAGUGGAGUAUACCCAUGUGGAGAAUUGUUUAUAUUCUUCUUCUUUUGGAUUCAGGGGUUUCUCCUCUUCUUCUGUAUAAGGGUUGUUUAUUUCUAUGAACUUUUUUGGANNNNNNNNNNNNNNNNNNNNNNNNNNNNNNNNNNNNNNNNNNNNNNNNNNNNNNNNNNNNNNNNNNNNNNNNNNNNNNNNNNNNNNNNNNNNNNNNNNNNCUUCCGAUAUUUAUUGGGUUAUGUUUAUUGGGCUCGUGUUUAUAGAGAGAGCUUUUGUUAGGUCGUCUAUGUAUGACUCUAACAAAUUUACUCCUUUUUCAUGAGCCUCAGAAGCUUCUUUUAAAUAGUUUAUUGCAUCAAUUAUGUCAGAUGCUUCUGUUUUGAGCCUUUGUACCUCAGCUUCUAUUUUCCCGAUGAUUCUAUUAACUUUGGGAUUCAUUCUCCAAAUUCUAUGUUCCUGCUUAGGAAAUCUGCAAGGAAAUUGUUAAUUCCUUUUAUAUGGACAAUUUUGAAAUUAUAAUAUGACAGAUAAACUUGCCAUCUAUGCAAUCUUCUAUACUGCGGUUCAUUUGGUAAAAUCCUAUUAAUAAGAGCGUUUACCUGAGAAUUAUCAGUUUCUACAAUAAAUUAUUUUUGGAGUAAAAAUAAUGAGAAUUUUUUAAUCCCUUUGUAUAUUUAUUUAGUUCUUUGUAGUUUAUUACCAUUCUUGCUUUUCCUCUAAUCUGUUCUGCUCUUUUCCUAACCAUAAAAACUGGACUAUUAUGCGGGCUAUUACUGCUUCUAAUAAGUUUUAAAUUUAAUAAUUCUUUUAUUUGAAUUUUAAAUUCUUCUCUAUCUUCUUCUGUAUACAUCAUAGGUUUAAGUCUUAUAAUCCUAUUUUCAAUUAAUUCUAUCUUUGCUCUAGGAUGAUCUGGUUUCCAUAAUGCUAAAGGAUUUUCUUUAUAAACUUGCUCAAGCUGUGAUUUUAUUGUUUCUAAUUGUAUAUUAUAACUUUGUCCUUUUUGUAUUAAAUAAUAUUUUUCAUAAAUAUACUUAUCACCACGCUGGGCUGGCUGAACUCUGUAGGGUUUGAAUUCGCGAGGGAUGCGGAGAAUAUGAUUACAAGGGGUUUUUAAAGUGAUCAUAUAAGGUGUUUGUUGGUAAUAUUGGAACUGUUGUAUGAAAUCAUUUCCUAAAAGGAUAUCACAAUCCAUAUUAUUGUAUUGGAAGAUUUGGUUAACACGUACUAUUUUACUUCCUAGUAAGAUUUCAAAAUUUAGAAUAGAUUGAUUUACAUGUUGUUUAUCUCCUGUAAUACCAAUAAUUUUCAAUUUUCCAUUUGAUUCCCAUUUAUUAGAUAAAAAGGAUUUCAUAAUAGUUAUUUCAUUACCAGUAUCUAUUAAAGCACAAGUAUCUAUAUAUUUUUCUGUUAUAUUUAUUUGUAUAUAUACAGACAUAGGGUACUUUAUAUAAGCUUGUUUUAACAUGUGUAACAAAUUAUUGUUUGGCCUUGGAUUAAGAAAGUUAUCUUAUUAGGUUCAAUUUUGUAAUAUUCUAAAUCAUUUAAAAAACUAUUUCCUAGUACUAUAUGUUUUUCUGGGUCUGUAGUCAUGAAUGAGUCUAUAUAAUAGGCUACUAUUAUUCUAAGUCCUUCUAUUAUUAUGGGGACUUUAACUUCUUGUUUACAAAUAUGUUUAUUCCCAUUGAAGUCAGUAUACUCAUAUGGAACUUCCUUUUCUUUUACUAAGAGUCCUUUAUUUUUUGUGUGAUUCAUAUAAUUAUGGUUUGUGCCAGUGUCUAAUAGUAUAGGUACUUUUGUUGUAUAAUCUAUUCCAUUAAAGUAUUGUCCAAGUAUUUUUACCACAUUAUUUGUUGGUACUGAUUUAAUUAUUUGCUUAUCAGUGUUUAAUCUUCUAGAAGAACUUCCUCUUAUUAAGGUUCUUCCAGCAAAGCUUAUAGGAAUAAUGGAUUUUUCAUUACUAUUAUUUAAAAAUUGUUUUUUAUCAUCGAUAUUUAAUUCAUAAUUUAUUGGGAUUUUGUAAUCUUGGAUUACUGGUUCUAUAAAUGUUGCGAUAUCUUCACAAUCUUUAUUUAUCUCGAUGUAAGGUUUAUUACCAUAUAUUUCUCCGUAAUUUGAAUUAUAGAAACUAUAUAAGGCUGAGUAAUGUAUUGUCAUUAUUCUGUUACCUUCUUUCAUUAAAUUUUUCUUUAAUAACUUAAAAUGUAAGCUUAAUGUUUCGUCUAUGUUUUUAUCUUUAAUGUGUACACAAUAUCUAGGGUGACAAGUAAAUAAUAAUUUAGUAUAACAUAAAUUUCCUUCUAUUGUUCCAAGAUGUCCUAUAUUAGGAUCUGUAAAUCUUUGAUCAUGUAAUGAAAAAACUAUUGGGUUAUCUAUUCCUUCUUUAAAAAGAGAUUUUAUUAAGAUUUGUAUCUCAGCGAGAUAUACAUAUUGAAUUUUUUCUUUAGUUGACUCAUUUUUUAUUUUUCUCAGUGCUAGUUCUAUGGAUUUUUUAUUUAUUAAACUAAAUCUAAUAUUUCCUUCAGCUUGUGUAAUUGUCACAGCAUUUUCUUGUUCAUAAUAUUCAUGUAAUAUUAUUCGUUUUCUUUUAAACAUAUCUCUAAAUCUAUGGAUUAUUCCAUAUUCUGGUUUUUCCAUAUUUAAUUUUAAAAGUUUAUUAUAUUUUUCUUUGUUAAAAGUAGCAACAAGGCUGUAUCCACUUUUGUUUUCUUCUUUUUCUAUUUCUUCUAUCUCUUCUAUGUUUUCAUUAUCUAAUAACUCUUCUUUAUUCUGAUUCAUUUUCAGAUUCUUCAGCCAUAUAAACUUCCUCUCCUAUAUAGUCAGAUAAAUUAUUUAUUUCUUCUAAGUCACUUUCUAUAUUUUCAAAAUCUUCUUUUAAGAGUUUAACUUUUUUCUUUCUUGUACAAUCUGUACUUAUAUGUCCUAUUUCUCCACAAUUCCAACAUUUACAUUUGGACUUAUCUAAUAUUUUUCUCUGGUUUUUAUAUUUUCUUUUAUAAUAUUUUCUUCCUAAUUUUUUAUAUUUUUUCUUAAAAUUAUUAUAUUUUUUAUAUCUCUUUUCUUUAUUAUAAGAUUUUCUGCGUCUUUUAUGAGGUACAUAACAUCCCCAUUGGGUAGGCAUUUCUGUCUUUUCACAACAUAUUUUUGUUAUAUUUUUACUCUUUUUUAUUAAACUUCUUUGGAUACAAAUUUCACUUAAUCUUGUAUUUAAAAAUCUGAUCCUAGAUCCUAAUGUAUCUGGGAUUCUACUAUCACUUUUAUUAGUAUGUUUUUCAUAUUCAUUUAUGAAAUAUCCAUUCCAUGGAUAAGGUAAUUUAGAAUAAUACAAAUUUUUAUAAAUGUUCUGGUCUUCAUGACUCAUGAAUUGUGUAUAAUAAUAUUUACUAAAUUCACAUGUAUAUUCUUUUACAAAACACAUAUUACAGAUUGUCAGGUUUAUUAAUUUCAUUCUAGCAUUUAAUUUAUCAUAUUUUGCUUCAUUUUCUGUAUUUUGUAACCAAUCUUCUCCUAAGAAUUCACUAGCAAUGUAUUCGAUUAUUCUUUCUAUACCUAAUCCUUUAUCUUUUCUUAAUGCUAUUUUGGUUGAGUCUUUUAUUAAUUUUUGUGUAUCGUCACUUAAUCCUUUCCACCAAUUAAAUACAUUUCCUGUAAAACUUGCUAUUAGAAUAUCUGUUAAUAUAUUUAUUUUUUCUUCUUCAGUAUCUACAUUCCAAUCAUCUUUGGAUCCAUUGAAUAUAAAAAAUAAUUUCAUUUGCAUUCCCCAUUCUACUAAAGCAUUUCGGGGGUCUAUUUUACAAUCUAAGUCUAAAAAUGUACCUGCAUUGCUUAUUGGCAUCAAAUGGUCAUUAUUAGGUUGGUAAUCUUUUUUCCAAGGGGUAUUUUUGACGGGCGGAUAGUAUUCAUAAAAAGGUCUAUUUUUCUUUUUAUUUGUUUCAUAUCUAUGGCUAGGUUCUCCAAUAUCAGGUUUUAAUUCUGGACCUCCAGCGACAUUCAUCUUUAAUUGGUAUUCUUUUUCAAAUUCUUCUAAAUUACUAAGGUUAAUAUCACUAAAUUUUUCUGUUAAUUCUUCUAAUGUAUUUUCCAUUAUUCUGUGUCACUAGGUGUGUUUUCGUUUAUCUCUAAUUUUUCUUUUCCCUUUUCUUCUCUUUUUAAUUAUGCUUUUAACUUUUCUGAUUCCUCUAAUAUUUUUGGAUACUGGGUUUUUAUAAACCAAUCAUCAUAACUUCCUGGUUGAGGUUUUGUCAUAUGUUUUUCAAUGCUUGUCUCUAUUAUUCCUGAUUUUAUUAUUUCAAGUUUCUCAACUUUUUUAUUUUUCUUUCGGCUUAUCUGAAUUGUUGAUAAUUCUAUUUUUAUCUUUCAUAUUUCUUGUUUAAUUUCUCUCAUUUCUUCUUUAAGAUUUAAAAGUAUUUCUUUUAAUUCGAUUAAUGUAGUUUCCAUAAAAUGUAGGGGUGCUAACAGAUAUUUUUACUUUUGAGUGUAUGUUACAUCCAACGUAACAUAGUGUUAGCCUUCCAACAAUUGUGAUGAUAUUUUUUUCAUUCAUUCUAUGGCCCGACUCUGUUUUAUGUCUAAAACUCAAGAAAUUCUACAAUUCCUUCGUUCUACCACAUCAUUCACCCAACAACAAAUAAUCAAAUUCUGUCAUGCAUAUUUUUAUAUAGAAAUUUGCAAAAAUGUUAGUCGAUAGAAAAAAAAAUAAUUGAUUAAAUAAACACUGGGUUUGCACUGUGUUUGUGGUAAAAUUCUGUUAAAGACACGUGUACAUAAACUACCAAGGCACUGAAGAUAUGGAAUUUGAUAGUGAAGGAAUGAAUUUCACAAGAGGAAAUGACAAGAAGGAGCGUGCUUAUUUUGUAGCUGACAAACGGACACAUUAAAGAUUGCCAAUAAAUCAUUGGUAUUCGAUCGAGUACCUGGGAUGCCCCUUUGUGCAGACCCUUCACUCUCUUCUUGGUUUUGCCUUCGAUCAUUAGAGUUCCUGGCUGACUCAUUAGUUUGGCUGGCUAUUUGUGCUGAUUAUCGAACACAUAAACAAUAUAUGUAAACAAUAUAUUGACAAUACAUAUUGAUAGUGAAGGAAUCUCAGAAUCUGCUCACUGGCCAUGACUCACGCAGGACAAACCGUCACGAAUUGACCUUGUUGAUUGAUUGCUUUUGCUUGGGAAACCAUAGAGUUGAUGCAACACAUCAGGUGGGAUGCACAUUCGUUCGUAGGCAUAUUAUCGAACACGUCCUAGGCACGAGAAUUAUACCAUAAUUCCUCAACAACUCCUCUCUUGAACCUGGCCUGCAAAUUCCAUAUAAUCAUUCCUUUGUCUAUUUAUCGUUUGUUCUGAGCCCAAAUCAAGCUGAGAUCGAUCAUAUUCAUAUAGAUAUUUGUCUUUCAAAAUGGAACACCAUGACCUUCUUUUAGCGAUAAUACCCUUUAACCUCUAUUAUCCCAAAAAAAAUCAACACUAACGUUUUAUAAUAAAUAGAGAUAUAACAUUAAAAUAAAUGUAAUAAUGUAUACAUUGUAAAAUAAUUUCAAUACUUAAAAAAUAUUUUAAUAUUUUGCAAUCUAUUAGAUAUAUUUUAGUAUAUGUAUUUAAAUUUUAUAAUAAAUAGAAUCAUAAUGUUAAAAAAAAGUGUAUUAAAAUUUAAAUUAUUUUGAAUAUUAUGUAAAAUAGUAAUAACAUUAGUAUGUGAGUUUUUUUAUUGUAAAAUAUAUUUAAUGCAAAUAUUUAUUUAAAAUAUCUAAAAUAAAUAAAAAAUAUUAUUAAAUAAAUAUAACAAUUUAUAUAUUUAAAUGUAUUAAAAUAUUAAACUAUUUUAAUAUUCUUAGUCUAUUGCGUAGAUUACAUUAUUUAUAUAAUAUUUCUAUUUAUUAAAAAUUUUAAAUUUAAUUGUUUAAAGGGUUAAUGGUCAAAAAAGGGUUUUGGUGUCUUUUUCAAAAGUUUUGGGAGUAUUGGUGAUCAUUUCCUAAAAUUUAGGGGGUGUAGUCGUCAUUUUUCCUAUUAUAAUUGAUAUAUUAGAAUGAAAGAAAUAAAAAACCAACAAGCACAAACUAGUGAUACAAAAAUCUUUAUAUUAAAUAAUUCAAAUGAAUAUAUAGUUUAUCAAGAAAUUGAAAAUCCAAGUUGGACUGCAAUUUCAAUUAGGUAAUAGCGAAACAUGAACAUAAUACUAAGCAUGAGUAUAAAAAGGCUUUGCUCUUUAUUAGAUUUCUUAAAUUCUUGUAGCAUGAGGUUCUUCAUAUCAGUAAGGCUUUGCUCAAAAAGAAAAAAAAGAAAAAAUCAAAACACAAACACAAUAUCUAGAGAUGUUUAGCUACAGUGGCCUAUGCCUUCUUUGGCAAGCUUUAUUUGUUUUCUCAGAACAACUUACAAACUUAGAGAGAAAAUUGCAAGCUACAGAAUGGACAUCAUACAAUAUACCUCAUCGGUCAUCAGCUUGUUAUGGGUUUGUAAUAAUUUCCCGCCCUUUCUAACCGAUUUAACAGCUACAUACUGAUACUAAUGCUCUUCAAUACGACAAUAUUUUCGGGUCGUUUGAUCAUUGUGUAUAAGUGAGUGCACGUGACCAACGCGUGCACUCACUUACUAAGUUUAGACGACUUGAGCCGGACGUCGUACACGAGUCCUCUAGGAGUAACCGAGAGAUCGUAUGCAAAGAAACAACAGUUCAUACUAUCAUUUAUUAUUCAGCCGACAUUGCAUCUAGUCUAGGAAUUAGAUUUUGGUUCAUUUUGAACAAUAGGCAUAUGUGGCAAAUAUCACUUGGGAUUUCUCCUCCUUCCACUGGUAGAUUACAGUCGUUGAGAUCCCAUUUUGUUAAAGAACAUAAGCCUGAUAGAGAAGGUAACAUCAAAUUAGUCAUAGGAUCUGAUCUCCUUCACAUCAUAUUGGUAGGGAAGCACAAAUCCCAUGAUGUAGAUGAUAGUGGUCCACUGCUUUAAGAUUCUUCAAGAUAGAAACAGACGUCGGAAGCUGCCUAAUUGUUGUUCCACUAUUAUCAAGCUCUUCCAAGCUAUCUACUUUCCCUAAGUUCUCUGACACAUUUUCAAGUUUGGAGCAGCCAGAGAGAUUCAGAAUUUUGAGAGAUUCAGAAUUUUAAGAGAUUUCAAACCACUGAUGGAACUUGGAAGACACUCGAGAUUUUGCCAAUCUUUAAAAUUCAACAAAACAAGGCCAGUUAGAUAUUUCAACUGACAAUGGCAAUUCUCAAAUAGCAAUUCCAUCUAAAAUGAGCAUAGUUAGAGAUUUCAUACUUCCCCAAAACUUUUCCAGCUUCGAGCAACCAGAGAGCGUUAGAGUUCUUAAACAUCUACUUAUAGUAAUUGGAAGACUCAAGAGAUAUUUACAACCUUUUAAAUUUUGCAAAAAAUGCCAGAGAGAUAUUCAAUUGACAUUGGCAAUCCUCUUAUAGCAGUUCCCAACAAUCGAAGCGCCAACAGAUGUUCCAUACGUCCCAUGAUCUCCGGAAACAAUCUGAAUUUCAAAAGGCCAAAGAAAUUCAAAGUGGAAGGAAAUUUUAGAGCACUUAUGGAAUUUGGAAGACACUCAAUAUUUUUACAACCUUUCAAAUUCAACUAAACAAUUCCAGAUAAAAGUACAAUUGAUAAUAGUAGUCCCUUAAUAUCAGUUAUGGAAUUUGGAAGACACUCAAUAUUUUUACAACCUUUCAAAUUCAACUAAACAAUUCCAGAUAAAAGUACAAUUGAUAAUAGUAGUCCCUUAAUAUCAGUUUCAUCCAAAAGAAGCUGCCACAAAAACUUCAUAUUUCCCACAAUCUCUAGAAAUUUCUUCAACUUUGAGCAACCAGAAAGUACCAAUGUUUUGGAGAUUUCAUAAAAAUUAACCUUAAGUUCUGAAAAGGAUGUGAAGAUGUCCAUAGAAUGAACAUUAAGUUAUGAAAAGUCAUAUACCAUGCAUUCGACUACUUCAGUUCCUUAAAAAUCAUAAAAGCAGAUGAUAAGUGCAAACUAGGAUGUGAAGAUGUCCAUAAAAUUAUUUAUGCAUAGAUUUAAAGCAUAGAAUGUCGAGCAAAACACAUGUUUGAUAGAAUGAGCAAUAUGCUCAAUGAAAUGCCUCUAUGAGUCAAGCAUGUCAGAUGACUCAUAAGAGUGAUUCAGCAAGAGAUGAGAAUAAUAUGGAAUAGUCAUGAAGAUAAGAUCAAAGAUUGAAUUAAGCAAAUGUGGGCAGACUUUUCUCAGGGCACAAAGUCAUUUCCUUCGGAUCAAUGUAACGAUGACCAAAAGAUCUCCUUAAAAGCCUACAUUGUGCAAUUGAUAGCUUGGGCAAAGGAAAACAUUUUGUACGUGUAUCAUUAAAAAAUGAAUAAAAUGUAGGCUGCAUUACAGAAUAUGUUUUACUUUGCAUUAUAUAAUGAUAGCAAUUUUAUACUUCAUUUCUUGACUUUUAGAAUCAUGAACUCAAAAUACAUGCAUUGCACUUUGCCACUUACCGUGUUUUUUGUCAACACAUGAUGUACAUCUGUUACGUUCCACAAUCUGCUGCUGUUGUUCAGCUAAUGUUCUUACAACAUUAGCUAAUUGGUUUACAACACUUUUCGACAGCUACGCAUAUCCUUUGCCUGGCUGAUUGGUUUUGAAGGCUUUCAUACAAAGAAGUCCAAGAGCUUUAUCAUAGUAUAGUUGCUUAAGGACCAAUAAUUCGUCCACUCUAUGUGUUGUCAACGUUGCUUAUCUUUGGAUGUUAUGAUGAUUCUGCUGCCUAAACUUUCUAGCUAACCUUUUUGUGUCGCAACCACUUCCAAUUAUGUUGAUAACAUUAUAUACAUUCCAUUUUGUUAGGAAAUCUGACCUCCUUUUUCUGAGGUUUAUCUAACGUUGGCAAGAAAACUACUUACUUCAAAUUCAUGAUAGAUCAAGUUAUAAACAACCUUUGCAAGAGUUGCCUUACCUAUACCUCCCAUAUCACAGAUCCCUAUCAUACGAACAUCAUUAGGCCUUUUAUCCAUUAGAAUCGUUAGCUUCUCCAAGUGUGAAUCCAUUCCUACUACCUUCUUAAGAGUCUCUGAUUUUAAAGGAAUUUUGCUUGAUAUCUCAUUGACAAUCUCCAUAAUAAAGUCCGAUUCAUUCCUGCGGGUUGAAUAGAACAAGAAAAGAUUUGUGUUGGUGAGCUAAAGCUAGUGUGAGCGUAACAUAGUGUCAAAAAAUUACAUAAUAUAUGUCUACAAAACGGAAGUGAUAAAGUCAUAACUUGUGUUUGAUUAAUCUCUAGGUUAUUCUUCAUGUAACUCUUCUCUAAUUUCGCCUAUAACUCUUCAUAUGUAGAUAUUCAUUGAUCAAGUUAUUAUUUCAAUUAAAUCCUAUAAUUUUAACAAAUUCUUAUACAUUUAUUCUACUGUCUCUCCCUGCUCUUAUGCCUAAAAACUUGAUAAGUUCUAGAAUCCCUCUGCUCUACCACAUCAUUCACCCAACAACAGUGUAUAAAAUCUUGUCAUGUAAAGUUUAUUGGAAAAUUGUAGGCAAGUUGGUUGUUGCUAUAACGAGAUGAAUAUGAACGCUAUUUUGGUAAAAUCUUAUUGUUGAUACAAAUAUACACAUGCACAUGCACACACUGAACAUGAAACUAGUAAAUAAAUAUACUGAAUAAAUAUUGGCAGUUUUUUAAUAGUGGAGAAAUCCAAACAUUUUCUCACUUAUUAUGAUUCAUGCAGAACAAACAAAAAUUAGUUGAUCCACAUCUUAGAAAAUUAAUCAUUGAGAAUAAGAAUGAUUACCUAUCUUUCAAUUCCUAGCCAAAGAUAUUAGCCACCUCCUGCGGAGCGCCUCUCCAUUUUUGCACCUUUUCUAUAUUCUCCUUUAAGAACUUCUUCAUGAUUAGCAAUCGCUUCUUGACAACUUCAUAUAUGUUUCCUUACCACUGUUGGUUCAACAUCAUAGAAAAUUGGAAAAACCAAUUGUUGGCGAACAUGACGUGUUCUUCCAUUCAACAAUCUUAAGAAGUACAGUUUCUUGAGAAGACAAUAACUGAAAUUCUUGAUUCUUCAAUUACUUUAGAUUGUGCUGGUGAAAUGGAUAUUCCCCUUUCACGUUCUUUUUCAUCACUGAAUACAUUAAUUCCAGUUUUAUUCAAAGUGGACUAGAGGUGAUCUGAAAAGUUCUUGCAGUGCGGGUGUCUUGUCUUCACCUCUGAAGCUCAAGCAGACAUCGUAGUUCCCGGGAUGCUCAUGAUGCAAGCAAUUGACUCCACAGCCUCUUAUUGCAAUAAGUAACUGGCUGUUAAAUAAUCGUACUUCAGCAAACGAAAAUAAAAUACCAGCAAGUAAAUUAAAACAGUGGAAAACACCCAUAGUAUACCAGUAAAGUGGCAACAGUUUUGGUUCUUGGCAACAAGAGAAAAAAACAAUUCCCAUUCAACUCUUUAAUUGAAUUUCUUAUGUGAAUAAAUUGUAGGAACAGAUGUAUCGUCUCAUUGUUCAACACAUCAGGUGGGAUGCAUUCCUUCUUGGGCAUUUUAUCGAACAUAAUUUCUCAAAAAUUCCUUCCUUGAACUUAGCUUGCAAUUCCAUUUAUGGUGAGAUCGAUCAUCUACAUAUUUGUUUUUCAUCCUUCCAAUGCUUGAAUUUCUUCGAAAAUCCCUGCGAUAUAAUUUACUUGAUCUAGGAUGUUCUAACUUUUUUUCCUUUUUUUUUUAUGAAUCCUCACCAAAGUGAGGAGGUUUUAUUAAAAUAAAAUAAAAAUAUAGCAAGAAAACCAGCCAAACUAAAAUUACAAAAGCUAGCUGAACAGAUAGCUAGGCAGCCUAAAAACAUCCUCAUGCAAAAGAGAAGCAACAUGAGGGGUGCAGAGUCCCACCAAGUAAAGGAAUCCACCAUGGCACCUAAAUUGCUCAAACAAUCAGCUACUCCAUCAGCCUCCCUGAAGACACGAGAAAAGCGCAACGUCAUGGAAUCCAUGAGAGCAAUACAAUUAUUCCAUCGAUGAAUAAGAAACCAUGGGCGGAAGCCGCUUUUUACGAAGAUAAAGCAUAGUUAAAGUAGAUUCACAUUUGAUCCACGGCAUAGUCCAACAUCCAAAAGAAGCAUGCUCAAUCGCCAAGAUAACAGCCAACAGUUCAGCAACAAAAGCCGUUUCAACAUGUAAUGGACAAGAGAAAUCCCCCAGAAAUUCUCCCUCACAGUUUCUGAACACAGCCCCACAAGUGAAAACAUGCAAAGAAUGAUACACCUCUACGCAACCAAGGAUGUAUCGGAUUAAAUUUGCACUCUUCGAGUGAGUGUUGAUUCCAAAAAUAGAAAGAUCAGAGAUGAAUAUUAAGAAUGGAAAGAGAGGUUGAGACAGAGUGAUGAAGAGUAGGAAUCCAUAUUAUACUAGGAUUAGUUUCCUUAUUAACUAAAGUUUAAGACUUUUAAAUUCCUUUCUAAUUUAGAAUUUUGUUUCCCUUUCAAUUUAGGAUUUUGUUUUACUUCAUGAAUUAGGAUAAUUACUACUACUAUAAAUAGCUCCCUCUUGUAGCCUUUGAAAGCAGAGAUUUUUGAGUUUAAUAAUAUUUCAAUUUUCAAAUCUCUUUGUGAGUAUUUGAACAGUUAAUUCUCGGUAUUCUGCGGAAUCAACGAGUCUUAAUUCCUAAAUUCGCGGUAUUCUUUUGAAUCAACGUGAAUUUAGUUGUUCUUUUGUUCCGGUAUUCUCUAAAAUCAACGGAAUAUUUUGAACAUUAAACUUCCGCUGCAUCAGUUUGGUAUCAGAGCCAAAACCUGGUAUCACCAAUCUAACUCCAUCUACCACCAAACCUUUCCUUUUUCCCUUUUUGAUUUUUUCCAUUUAGCUUAAAAAAAAAAAAAAACCCACUUUUUCAGACAAACCACCACCAUCAUCUUACCAACCCAAAAUCUUUCAGAUCCACCCACCCUUACUCGAUUUUCGACCACCAUCAUCGGCAAUCUAAAACUUUUUGCUUAAUUACAGUUUCGGCCUAAAAUUUUAUUUACUUUCAGUUUAACCCCACUACCUUUUUAAACCCGAAUUUGAAAAAAUGCCUCCAAGAAAAGCUCGUGAUGCUCAUACUACAACUUACAAUCAAGAAGAUGUUUCGAAAGAUGAAUCCCUGGCUAGUAUGACAGCCAGAAUUGAUAUGUUAGCUGAACAAAUGGCACGAAUAGCAGAGUUACUUGACGAACGCCAUCGUACUCCAGAACGUGAAGACAAAUCAAGUGUAAGCUUUGCUAACCCAUUCUCUGGGCGUCGACCUAGAACUGAGUCUACUGAUGACAGAAGAUGGGAAUCUGGGUUGAGAAUUGACAUUCCCGAAUUUCAAGGAAGUGGUCGACCUGAAGAAUUAUUAGACUGGAUUAACGCCAUUGAGGAAGUUUUCGAAUACAAAGAAGUUCCUGAAAAUAAACUAGUUUCGCUUGCUGCAACUCGAUUUCGUGGAAGAGCAGCAGCUUGGUGGCAACAAACUAAGCUCACAAGGAUUAGGCAAGGCAAAAAGAAGAUUGAUUCUUGGGAAAAGUUCAAGAAGCACUUGCGUGGAGCAUUCUUGCCUCAUAAUUACGCCAAACUGUUAUACCAACAGCUACAGAAUUUAAGGCAAGGUAAUUGAUCAGUGGAUGAUUACACUACAGAAUUUCAUUGGUUGGUGGCCCGCAAUGACUUGACAGAGACAGAAGAACAACAGGUUUCCCGCUACAUUGAAGGCCUACGAUCUCAAUUUCAAGACCAAUUAAAUUUACUUGACCCAUACUCUGUUUCAGAGGCACACCAACAAGCCUUGCAGUUGGAGAAGCAAUUUAGUCGACGUACUAAUGACUCAAGCUUUCGGGGUGCUCGAAGUGUUGUUCGUGAUAAUUCAAACCCAACUUCCCAAUUUCGUAAUUUCACUCCUCCAAAUCCUCCAAAUAAAACUAGUAAACCUAGUGAAAUCGGUCAAAGCAGCAAAACUCAAUCAUCGGGUUCGGGAUUACGCUGUUUUAAUUGCGGAGAAAAUGGGCACCGAAUGACAGAAUGUAAAAAGGGAGGAAAAUAUGGUAAAGGCUUAUUCGUAGGCACAGAGGAAAGUGAAAGUGAAGACUACCAGGAGGAAGAAACUGAAGAGUUCGCUGUAGAGCCAACUUUUGAUAGUAGUGGUAGCACUCAAUCUGUUGAAGAACAUGGUGAUAGCGGGCCAAUGUUGAUCGUGAACCGCACAUUCUUCACUCCUAAAGGUCAAGACAAAGACAAGUGGCUACGACAGAAUAUCUUUCAGACUACUUGCACAAUCGGGGGUAAAGUAUGUCGUAUGAUCAUAGACUCCGGCAGUUGCGAGAAUGUCAUUUCGGAAGAAGCCAUAACAAAGCUAAAUUUAAAGACAGAACCUCAUCAAACUCCAUACAAGCUCACAUGGCUGAAGAAGGGAAAUCAAGUGACAGUAUCGAAACGUUGCUUAGUUUCCUUAUCCAUUGGUUCAAUUUAUAAAGACAAAAUUUGGUGUGAUGUUGUGGCUAUGGAUGCUUGUCAUCUAUUACUGGGUAGACCUUGGCAAUAUGAUCGAAACGUAGUGCAUGAUGGGAAGAGAAACACCUACAGCUUUAUGUUUAACAACACCAAGAUCGUUCUCCUACCUAACAAAGAGUUUACUCUCCAGCAAGACUUGGGUAAUUAUUUGUUAGGAAAGAAGCAAUUUAUAGAUGUUGUAGCAGAGACAAAGAGAGUCUACAUUUUAUUGGGAAAAGAGAGUAACGGUGAUUCGAAGAUUCCUGAAGCUGUGACACCUAUUCUGGUGGAAUUUCAAGAUUUGUUCCCUAAUGAGCUACCACAGGGUUUACCACCUCUUCGAGAUAUACAACACCAAAUUGAUUUGGUACCAGGUUCUACAUUACCAAAUCAACCUCAUUAUCGUAUGAGUCCUACAGAACAUGAGGAAUUAAGGCGCCAAGUGGAAGAGUUACUAGAAAAGGGAUUUAUCCGUGAAAGUCUUAGUCCCUGUGCAGUCCCUGCUUUAUUGACUCCAAAAAAAGAUGGUUCUUGGAGGAUGUGCGUGGACAGUCGAGCUAUCAAUAAAAUUACAGUUCGAUAUCGUUUUCCAAUCCCUCGAUUAGACGACUUGUUAGAUCAACUCAGUGGAGCAACAAUUUUUACCAAACUUGAUUUGAAAAGUGGCUACCAUCAAAUUUGAAUACGGCCUGGAGAUGAAUGGAAAGCAGCUUUUAAAAUUCGCGAAGGGUUAUGCGAGUGGUUGGUAAUGCCGUUUGGCUUAUCUAAUGCUCCGAGUACUUUUAUGCGAGUCAUGAAUCAAGUUCUUCGCCCUUUCAUUGGAAAGUUUGUGGUUGUUUACUUCGAUGAUAUACUUAUAUAUAGCACCAGUCACGAGUUACAUCUACAACAUUUGAGAGAAGUGCUUUUAGCCUUAAGAGCAACAAGUUUAUACACAGCAGUAAACAAGUGUAUUUUCUUGACCGAGAAAGUAUUAUUUUUGGGAUAUGUGGUGUCGAAGGAUGGUAUAUCUGUUGACCAAUCAAAAGUGGAUGCUAUUCGAGAUUGGCCUCAGCCAACUACUUUAUCCGCCACCAGAAGUUUCCAUGGAUUGGCCUCUUUUUACAGGCGAUUCAUUCCUCAUUUCAGUACUAUUAUGGCACCAAUCACAAAUUGCAUGAAAGGAGGACAAUUCUCUUGGACAGAGGCAGCUACUAAGGCAUUCAAGAUUAUCAAAGAAAAGUUGAUUACUGCCCCAGUACUUGCCCUACCAGAUUUUUCGCUCACUUUUGAGGUACAUUGUGAUGCUUCUAAGGUCGGCAUUGGAGCUGUUCUUAGCCAACAGGGUAAGCCUAUAGCUUAUUUCAGUGAGAAGUUGAAUCAAGCAAAGGCACACUACAGCACUUAUGACGUGGAAUUUUACGCAGUAGUCCAAGCGUUAAAACAUUGGCGACAUUAUCUAAUUCAUAAAGACUUUGUUUUAUACACUGACCAUGCCACGUUAAAGUAUCUCAAUAGUCAAGACAAGCUCUCUCACAGACAUGCCACGUGGACAGCAUUCCUUCAACAAUUUACCUUUGUGGUGAAGCAUACCUCUGGUGAAUCCAACCGGGCAGCAGAUGCACUUAGUCGACGAACUUCGUUAUUGACACAGAUGCAUAAUCAAGUUCUUGGAUUUGACACAUUUCGAGAGUUAUAUGCUUCUGAUCCUUACUUUGCUCCUAUAUUAGAAGACGUUGUUGCAGGGUUUCGCUCAGAUUAUCAUUUACAUGACGAAUUCCUUUUCAAGAGUAAUCAGUUGUGUGUUCCUAACUCAAGUUUGAGAUUGAAAAUCAUUUCAGAGUUACAUAAUGAAGGGCACAUGGGUCGUGACAAAACUCUGGCUCUAAUCGCCAACACUUAUUUUUGGCCUACUAUGAGGCGUGAAGUCUAUCACUAUGUUGAGACUUGUCGCAUUUGUCAAGUUUCCAAGGGUGCAGCAACUAAUGCUGGGUUAUAUAUGCCGCUGCCAAUUCCAACACAACCUUGGGCUGACAUUAGCAUGGAUUUUGUUUUGGGAUUACCCCGCACUCAGAGGGGUAUGGAUUCAAUAUUUGUUGUUGUUGAUCGAUUCUCGAAAAUGGCUCACUUCAUUGCUUGCAAGAAGACUACAGACGCUUUGACUGUUGCUCGCCUAUUCUUCAAGGAAGUCUAUAGAUUGCACGGUUUACCAAGUUCUAUAGUAUCUGACCGGGAUACACGAUUUCUUAGCCAUUUUUGGAAGACAUUAUGGAAGUUGACUAACACUCGCCUGAAUUUUAGUAGUGCUUACCACCCACAAACAGAUGGUCAAACUGAAGUUGUCAACCGCUCUUUAGGAAACCAUUUACGUAGUCUAGUUGGUGAUAACUUGAAGAUGUGGGAUCAGAAGUUAUAUCAAGUCGAGUUUACUUAUAACCGUGCAGUUAAGCGUAGUACUGGUUUAAGCCCUUUUCAGGUGAAUUACGGAUAUAAUCCACGAGCUCCUAUCGACUUGGCUCCAGUUCCAGAUUUAGUUCGCAAAAGCGGUAAAGCAGAAGACUUUAUUGAGCAGCUUCAGCAGAUUCAUGAAACUACGCAAGAGUCUUUGAAGCAGACGACCGAAGGUUAUAAAAUUAUGGCAGACAAAAAACGUCGAGCUUUAGAAUUUCAAGUAGGAGAUCUUGUUUGGGCUAUCUUAACUAAAGAUAGAUUCUCAGUUGGUGAGUACAACAAGCUUUCUGCCAGGAAAAUUGGCCCUUUGGAGAUUAUCGAGAAGAUAAAUCCUAAUGCAUACCGAUUACAGCUUCCUAGUCAUAUCCGCACCGCAGAUGUCUUUAAUGUCAAGCAUCUUAUUCCUUACAGAGGUGAUCAUGAUGAAGAUGUUAUUGCUGACAAUCUGAAUUCGAGGGCGAAUUCUCUUCACCCUGGGGGGAAUGAUGAAGAGUAGGAAUCCAUAUUAUACUAGGAUUAGUUUCCUUAUUAACUAAAGUUUAAGACUUUUAAAUUCCUUUCUAAUUUAGAAUUUUGUUUCCCUUUCAAUUUAGGAUUUUGUUUUACUUCAUGAAUUAGGAUAAUUACUACUACUAUAAAUAGCUCCCUCUUGUAGCCUUUGAAAGCAAAGAUUUUUGAGUUUAAUAAUAUUUCAAUUUUCAAAUCUCUUUGUGAGUAUUUGAACAGUUAAUUCUCGGUAUUCUGCGGAAUCAACGAGUCUUAAUCCCUAAAUUCGCGGUAUUCUUUUGAAUCAACGUGAAUUUAGUUGUUCUUUUGUUCCAGUAUUCUCUAAAAUCAACGGAAUAUUUUGAACAUUAAACUUCCGCUGCAUCACAGAGAGAAGAGCCAAGAGAAAUAGAAAGAGAUAUUUUAUUUCCUGAUACCCCAUACACGAAUUUGUUCUGCUCUACAUAUAUUCCUCUGUCCAAGACGUUAGCAAAAAUAUUACAGCUCAGCAACUUCUAACAGAAAAUAUGAUAGCAAAAACAAACCAACAAUCAUAAGGUACUAGCAAUUUCACCACACGACAUAAUCCUUAAACCACCCAGGGGCUCUUCUAACUCGUGUGCUUGCGUACCGUUCCUCAUGAGCUGAUUCUUCCUCAACCUGUGAUGUGGCUUCCUUCAUGGGCUGUUCAUAAUUGGACUCGUUGUUGGGCUGCCCUUCUUGUAAGCAAUCCGGUUGAUCCGACUGAAUGUGGAAGGUUGUAUCAAAGAACCUUCAGCGAUUUUUUACUAUAAACGUAAGCAUAUUUUAAUUUUAAUAUACGCAUUAAUGAUUUAACUAAUUUUAUGUAUGUAUUUAUAUUUUUAAUUUUUUCUCAUUCCUUUUUAUGUAAGCGUGAGUUGAGGCUCGACCCCGAUCCGGCCUUUAAACUAGACCUUGUUCCUUAUACAUGGGCUCAAAUGGACUUGGGUCAUUUAUUUCAAGAGUAGCCUUUCGACAUCCCUUAAAAUUUCUUAUAAAACUCAUUUUCUAUUAAAACGACUUGAAUAACUAUAAAUAAAUAUUUUUUUAAAAUUUUAAAUGGGAUUUCAAUUAAAUACUUAAAUAAAUUAAGGUUUUAAUAAAUAAUUUACACCCACAUCAUUUCAUAAUUUAUAUCUAUAUUUAUGAGAAGAUAUUUAAUUUUAAUAAAUGAGUUUAUAUUUUAUAAAUUAAAUAAGAAGUAUUUUAGGAAAUAAAAUUCAAUAAGUGGUGUUGUCUAUUACGUUUCAGACAGAUCACCAAAACUAUUGGUGUGUUAAACUUCACUUACUUUCAAAUCUUAUUGAAGACAACAUGAAUUUGAUCCAACUUAAUGCUAGUUUAUAUGAUGUUGGUUUAAUGCCUAUGUUGGGGGUGUCAAUGCCUUUGCAUUCAACCAUUUCAACUAUAGACAACAGAUCUCUGAUGUAUUUUCUUUGUGAUAAAUAUACACAAUGUGCGUCUUGCGACACUUUAAUUCCAAGGAAAUAAGAUAAUAUUCCUAGGUCUUUUAAGGCAAAUGCUUUCCUAAACUGAGUUAUAAAACUUUUUAACUUUAUAGUACUUGGACUUGUAAUGAGUGUUUCUUCUUAUGAAAAGAGAGGCAUCCAAAUUAAUAUUAAUAAAACCCCAAUGCAAUAAACAGCUUUUCAGCUUAUCAAACUAAGCUCUAGGAACUUGUUUGAGUCUAUAUAGACAUUUGUACAAUUUGCACACAAAUUCAGGUUUCUCAGCAUUAAUAAAGCCUUCUGGCUAACACAUGAAUACCUCCUCAGUUAACUCUCCAUUAAAAAAGGCAUUGUUAACAUUAACUUGCCUUAUUUUCCAUUAGUUCAUCACUCCUAGGCUCAGCACCACUCUAAUAAUAGCUAAUUUAACCACUUGACUGAAUGUUUUAAAGUAAUUCACCCCUGCCACUUGCUAAAAUCCUUUUGCAAUAAGCUUGGAUUUAUACUUAGCUACACUUCCAUCUUUGUUAUACUUGAUCCUUCACACCCAUUUAUUGUCAGCAACGUCAUGACCAGCUUGUCUUGGAACUAAUGUCCAUGUAUUAUUCUUAAUCAAAGCAUCAUAUUCUUCUUUCAUAGCUUGCAGCCGUCUGGAGUCAUCUAAUGCCUCUUGCACAUUAUCUGGUUCUUUGUGAAUGAGAGUAUCAGUUGUUGUGUCUUUUUUUUUCAUUUUGUUUAUUCAAUAACCACAAAACUGAUGUUGGAGUAUCUUCCAGCAAAUUAUAUACAAAACAGAAAUGUAAGUACAGUAAUAUUAUAUUCUUAAAUUAUGUCUACAAAUACAAAGUAAAUUAAAAUAAGAUUAAUGAAAUAAUAAAAAUGUAAAUAUUAAUGAUAGAUAAAAAAAAUAUGGGAUAUGAUAGUAAUGCCUUAGUAAACAAUAUUAUAGUAUAUGGCAAGUCCAGCUAUUUGAAGAGAACUUUAAAACCAUAUGAAUCUCAAAAAUUACCAAAAAUAAACUUUAUUAUACACUAAUUAUUCCGUGCCAUUUUCCUGAGCACUUUUGUUUAUUUUAGGAACGCAUACUUAAACAAUCUGAUCAAGCAUGAAAGCAUUUUCGAUUCAUGGAAGGUAACAACUUUGGAGAUGAUAUUUUGGUUUUGUGGUAACUUAACAUAUAUAAAAUAAAAAUUGCCAACUGAAAUUGAAGAUGCAUGCUUACUGAAAUAUUCAGAGAAUACUAAGCUGGCUUCUCCCUUUAUUUGAGUUCACUAAAUGGAUCCUUGAGGUUAUGGUUCCUCAUCACCUCAACAUAUGCAGCAAGGCUUUGCCUUGACAUUGUUGCUACAUCCCUCUUUGAUGCAAAAAAAAUUUGAGGGGAUCUAUUCAGAUUAUGAGUGGUAAAGCGAUUCCAUUGGAUUGUAGUUUUGUCAAACUCCUCCAUAUAAACUGGGUGGAUAUCACACCUCUCACCUCCGAUCCUGGCCAAAACACACCCCUGAGAAGUUACAUAAUUUAUGAUUAUAGUCCUCAAAGCAUUUGUACUUUUCUUGGGAAUGAAUGGAAAAAAUAUUAUCUAUUUAUUACAGCCCACUGUAUGAUUUUAAAGUUUUCCCAGACUUUCCCGCACUUUAAAAUUCUGGACCUGAAAACUACUCUAUUUGGCAAUGACACAGUCCACAAAGCAUUUGUACUUUUCUUUGGCUACUAACGCAUGAUAGAUUGAAAACGAAAACGAAGCUAAUGAGGAGGCAUAUUCCAAUAGGCAUUAUAUAUGAUCAUUAUGUUUUUUCGGUGAAGGAUAUGUUGCAUGAUCUUAGGGAUUGGAUCGUUGAAAAAAGACUUUGGAAUUGAUUCCUCCCUGUGGCACAAUGCCAUCAAUUCUUUUCUCUUAAUCUAAAGGAAUGAACUUGUCAAAAUCUAUUGCGUAAAAGGCUGUUGGGUUCAAAUUUGAAGUGGAGUACUUGAGUACUUUGUUUGGAGCUUUGCAAGUUUGUUAGUGAACAUCAAGCUUGUUUGGCAUUGUUAAAGUCUUGAAAAUAUGACAGGUGACCUUCAAGUAGUUGGAAGAGUUAAAAAGCUCAACAAGGAAAAUUACAAUACAUGGGCAACAUUGAUGGAGUCUUGCUUACAGGGUCAAGAUCUCUAGGAGAUUGUUUGUGGUAAUAAUAUGAGACCACCAACUGAGGAUGCCGCUUUAAAGAAGUGAAGCAUUAUAGCUGGAAGGCCAUGUUCGCCAUCAAGACUACAAUUGAAGAAGAAAUGCUACAACACAUAAAAAAGGUUAAAAUACCUAAGAAAACUUGAGAUACUUCUACAAUGAGUUUUUCAAAGAAGAAUAACAUAUGGCUACAACUUUUGAAAAAUGAGCUACUAUCAAUUUCAUAAUGAAACAUGACGAUUGACGAAUACUUAAACAAGUUAAAGCCUCUAUGCUAUGAAAUUUCUGGGUUAGAUUCUACUGCUGUAAUUUCUAAAUUUAGAAUAAAGAGAAUUAUUGUCAAUGGGUUGAGGCUUGAGGCUUGAGCUUAAGAGCUUUGUUACAGCUAUCUAAGGUUGUCCAACUCAACCAACCAUUGAGAAUUUUGAAAACUUACUUGCUGAUCAAGAAGUAAUUGAUAAGCAAUUGAGUGGGGCCUUAGUAAUGGAUGAUGAGGAAGCGUUUUUUAUUGAUAACACUACUAGAAAAAUGUCUUUCACUGAUACUAAGUUGUUGAUACUAAAUAAAAAAGUAUCAGUAUUUGAUGACUUAAGUAACUUUUAGUGUAUUUUACAUAUUAGUGCCAGUGGUUAUUAAUAAUAUAGUAUCAUAAACUUUUACUGAUACUAACAUAUAUAUUUUUAAUUUUAAUUUUAAUUUUUCUUAUUCCAAACGACGUAGUUUUACUUUUAAAAUUAGGGUAUCUUAAAUUCAACACAUGUGAAAUUUUAUGGCCUUAACGAAUGUACUAUUCGUCUAUUCCCUCUUCAUCUUCCCUCUCUCCCGAAUCCUUCCCACUCAUUUCAAGAAACCCUAAAUUGAAACAAAACAAAUCACCCAGCCUUUUCAGUCUUAACAAAACAAUUACGGGGUUUUUAAUUAAAUACCCUUUAAUAGUUUCAAAAUUAUUUAAAUACCUCCUCCCUUUUUUGUUUUCAUAGAUACCCUAACAAAUGUGAGUAAAGUCUGAAAUGUCCCUAAUGAAUGCAUCAAAUUCACUCAACUUCAUUGUCUUUAUAUUUCUUUCACCCAAAUCUCUUCUUGUUGCCGAAAUUCUCUCAAAAUCUCCUAGAAUCUCUCAAAAUCUCUCAUAACUUCUUACACAAAUACAAUUAUAUAUUUAUUUUUUUUAACACCCACUCUUUCUUUAACUGAAAUGAAGUGCAUUACUCAUUAAACAACCCAAUAAGGUAUGUUAAUGUUGUUGGGUUUUAAGUUUUUUAAUCUUUAGGAAAAUUUAGAAAUUUUCCUCACAUUAUAAUGUUUUAUUUUCACCAUUUUUUCUUAUAUGUAGAAAUAUAUGCAAUGUAGGUCGUUUCAUUAUUUUUUUCAGCAAUAUAAUUUAUUUAUGGUGAAAAUAUUUCACGUCGUGCAUUCCUUUUGAUACUGUGUACGUCAUGUAAUUAGUCAUGUAGGUCAUGUAAGUAAUAUAACCGUGUAAGUCGUGUAGUUUAUGUAAGUAAUAUAGUCAUGUAGGUUGUGUAAGUCAUGUAAGUAAUGUAGUCGUGUAAGUCGUGUAAGUCAUGUAAGUAAUGUAGUCGUGUAGGUCGUGUAAUUACUUGUAUAUGAAAUUUGAUAUUAUUAUUUUUGUUGUAUCAUCAGAUAUGGUUUUGGUACGUGUGCCUAUUCUCUUCAAUGGUGAAUGGAUUGAGCAAAAUGAUAAGUAUGAGUUCAAAGGUUCCAAGGCUAAAGGGAUAAUGAUACCACAAUCGACAACAUAUGUCGAAUUGGUGGAGAAGAUAGCUCAAGUUAUUGAUAUAGACACGUCAGAAUUCGAAAUCACAAUGAAAUUCACGCUUAAGACAUUUGAUCGUAUGCCACCAGUUACAAUUCAAACCAAUGAUGAUGUUGAAUUUUUUUAGAUUCCAAUUUAAUUUCACUUCUUUUUUCUAAUAAUUUUCGUUGACAUUUUAUGACACCAAAUCGUGUGUUCAUAAAUUGCAGAAAAAAACUAAAUUUGCACAUCCGACAGUUUGAGAAAUGAUUAAAUUAAUUAGUAUAAAUAAACAAAGUUAUCAGUGCACAAAUUUUUCAAUAUUUGAAUAAGAUACACUAAUGAACAUCGCAAUUAAACAUAUUAUAACCAUUUAAAAAAGCUUUUUUUGUUUUAUCUUCAAAGUGCUUUCUUCCUCUGCCCAAGCAUACAUGAGGAAUGCAUGCAUAUAAUUAAUCCAUGAAAUCAAUUAAGAAAUAAACAUCAACUAUAGGAAAUUAAUGUAAUGUUAUACACAUACGAACACCAUUUGCAGUCGUGUAAUCGUGCAAUACAUGAAGGUCGUGUAAUCGUGCAAUACAUGAAGGUCGUGUAAUCUUGCAAUACAUGAAUGUCGUGUAGUCGUGCAAUACAUGAAGGUCGUGUAAUACACAAUUUUGAAUCUUACAUAACCUUACACGACCAAAUCGUGUGUUACAUGAUAAAAUUAUAAUUAGCACAAUCCAUUAAUUUUUCACAAUUUGCAUGCAGCAAAACAACUAAAAAUUUGUUUUUGAACAUGCUAUGAGAGACCCGUAACUAAUUAAUCUAUUUUUUCAAUAUAAAACCCUAACUUUUUGUUUUUGAACUAGGCUUCUCUUUCUCAGUUGUGGCAGCUUCCCAUUCUCAAGCUCAAUUUGCUCGUGUUGAAGUUCGAUUUAGCAUGUAUGGAGAAUGAAUGUUUGUUUUGGUAGAGGUGAUGCCGGUGAGCGAAUUGCAGAGGUGAUGCUGGUUGAUAUUCGAUUUAGCAUGUAUGAGAAUGGGGGAUGAAUGUUUGUUUGUUUGUUUGAGUAAAGAUAAUGGAGGGAAUUGCAGCCGAUAUGAGUGUUUGUUUGCUUGAGUAGAGGGGGGAGAGGUACUGUCCGUUGAGUUGAAAUGUUUUAAAAUGAGGAUAGUUUAGUAAUUUUGUAUCAGCUUUUAAAGGGUAUUGAUAAAAAUUUUGGCAAAAUUAAAUUUUAGGGUAUUGAGAUAAUUUUUUAAGUAUGGAGGUGUACCUGCUGCAAUUAACUCAACAAUUACUCUCAGUCUCCCAACAAAAUAAAAUCAUCCUAGUUUUACUUUAUGAAGCGUAUGGGUCUUGAUUCUUCGGUCACCACCGAAGACAACCAAAGGAUGAAAAAAGUCAAACAAGAUGAGGAGGAAUAAGAAAGAGGAAGAGCAAGUCAAAGAAACUAGCUUCACAAAUCUAUAUGAGAAUUCCCUGCUCGAGGUGUUGAAACACGCGGACACCAGGACUUCGUUGCAGGUGGCCUUGCGUCAACAAGCUAUGGCACAAGACACUCAAAAUGAGCACCUUUGGAAAUUAAUUUGCACCCACCACUUCGCUAACGUUGGGUGCACUGCCCAACAACUCAGAUCUGUUGUCCUGGCUCUUGGUGGCUCCCGUCGCCUUCACUCCCUCUAUCUCGGUGGCUCCCGUCGCUUUCUCUCUCUGCCAUUCUUUCUCUCACAGUCGAAACCAAAACUCAAAUCCCUAACUCCCCAGCCACAAAACCUCUCAUUUGCCUCAACAAAACAAAAUCAAUCCGUACUCCUUCUCUUUGAUUAUUCGAAAGUUAGAAGCACCUUAAAUAGUUCUCUCUGAAAAGCCAUUCACCCAAACCCUAACCUCACUAAUAAAAUUUUUAUUAAUAGUGAUUUUUUCAAUUAAUUAAGAUAUGGGUUCAUUGGCAGAGAAACAAAGGUUAGUGUUUGCUCUAUUUCUUUCAUCGAUUUUCUUUCUCUUUUUGAAAUUUUUCUAAUUUUCUCUUAAUUUCGACUGUGAUUUUAUUGUUUCUAUAGCUGUAGUUUGAUAAAUGUUUCUUGAUUUGAUGGAAAGCAUGAUUUAUUACAUGUCUGCUUGAGAUAAGCCGGUUAGUAAUUUGUUUUUUAAAUAAUUAUAUGUAAUAUUUGUUUUGAUUCGCAUAUCGUAAACACGAUGUUAUUGCCUACUAACUAAUUAUAGACUUCGAUUUACAUUCACUUAAAUAGGAUAUGAUUAUGUAUCCUUUUUUUUUUUUUUGGCUGUUUGCUGAUUGUGUUAUUUAUAGUGUUGUUAUUGGCGGUUUAUAUGGUGAGUAGGGCAGUAUUUUAAUUGAAACAAUUAAAGAUAUGGGGAAUUAUUAGGUAGAAAGUGGCUGCAGGAGGAGGUUCUCCUAUUGCAGUAUGCCUAAAUAGUAUUCAUUUUGCCCCUUUUUUUUUUACUGCUGACUAUUGUUCCUUGUGAAUGCGUUUCUAAUCCAGAGACUUCGCCCUGUGGUAUCCACUUUGAGAAACUACUCAUCUGCAACUAAACAGGUAAUUGUGCCUUUUAUAACUUAUUACUUGUAAUGCAAUGAUUUUGGCUGUAUGAUGAUUGUAUUCUUCUAUAUGUAUAGGCUUUUAUUAUUAUUAUUAGUGAAUCAGCUGAAUGCUUAAGAUAUUCUAAUACUAAUAGUUAUGUUCUUCAUUAUACUUACAAUGUAUGGAUUUUGAUGCAUUUUAAGAAGAAUAUGAAAUUAAAUAUUUGACUGUAGGGACAACAAAUAUGUUCGAGCUUUUAUUAGUAUAAUAGUAUGUGAAUUAAAAAUAUUAUAAUUUGAACAAACUCCGAAGCUUUGAAACUAUGCACUUUCAUGUUGCUAUUUGUGACAGUGGAUUUUGAUUGCUCUUUGUUAGCGACUCGCUUUUACUUGUUUGCUAAUGUUUAUAAUUCGUCCAUCUCAUUAUACUUGAAAGUUGGUGAUUCUAUGUAAUUUAUAAAUCCAACCGGUAUCUUCUUAUUUAAAUCCGUAGGCCAGAAGCAAAGCAAUCUUUUUAUGCAUUGGCUGUAUUAGUAAAUCACAUAGAUAAAAUCACAGGGUUUAUAUUGUUACUUAUUUCUUUUCUGUUUGCAGGAAAAUUCCUAGGGAUUUGACAGAGGCAUCACUAUCUGGUGCAGGAUUAUCCAUAAUAGCAGCCCUUUCUAUGUUGUUUUUAUUUGGAAUGGUAGGUUGCCACUUGCAUAGUUGUGCCUCUUUUGUCGGAUAUCAUGGGUGCAUUUUGCAUAUUCAGUGUAUAUUAUCGUCCACCUGGAUUGUUUGUGUAACAUGAUGCUUUCAUGGAGUUCUAUUUGGCUUUUCAUUGUUUCUAGAACAGAUUAAAUUUAACAAAAACUAUUCGCAAUUUUUCUGUAGGACCUGAUUUAAGACCCACUGGUUCUGAAUUCCACUCAAUGCUUGUUAUACAUUCGCUUAAGCAUGGAGAGGAAGCUGAUGAUGAUUCUGUUGAAGGUUCUCAUACGCUAACUGCCAAUAAUUUUGAUAGCUAUUCACAUGAGUAAGUGAGCCUUCUCUGAACCACAACUUAUAAUUUUUAUUUUCAAUUCUGUGAUCACAAUAUUUCUCUGCUAUGUGGCAAUUGCAAUGAUGCCUUCUUUGAUUUGUAUUAUAUUUCCUUUCCAGGUAUCCUAUUUUAGCUGUCAAUUUUUAUGAUCCAUGGUGCUACUGGAGUAAAUGCCUGGUAUUUUUAUUUUCACCUUUUGUUUCUCAAAUUUUGUCUUGUUGCUUUUUGAUUAUUGUUGUCUAGAUUUACCUUAUUGGAUCUAUUCUUUCUCAUGUUUGUGUUGAUGUAAUUGCCAGAUAUAAUAUUUUAAAUUUAUUCACUUGGAUGUCAUGUUUGUGCCUGCUCAUAUGCACACAUAUUAAGUUGAUUAACUCCAUUGCUCUGUGCGUCCACUGACAGUUGCACACAAAUUCCUUCAUUACUUUGGUUAACUCCAUUGGUCUCUGUGUUUGUGUUGAACUUUCCAUGCCUGUUAUACAACCAAGCAUGGGUUUUCUUUUGUUUGUUUGACUGUAUUGUUAGACUUCCCCUCAUGAUGUUGUUAAUAAUUUCUCCUCUUUCUCUUGGACAACGGUUAAAAUAAUUUUUAUUGUUAGUAUAAUAUGCUUGUCUUGCAUGCAUUUAUAUGCCAUUAGGAAACUAUGCAGAUUGCAGCAUGUAAAUUUUAUCAGUUUUUUUAUUGUGCAUGUCUUGAAUGGUGCAGGAUGACUUACAAUAAACCAAAGCAUGUAUAUGGGUCAAAACUAAAUAAUUAGAGCAAAUGUCAAAUUGGUACAUGGAAACAAUAAUAGAAGACUUCAUUUCGAUUACCGAAAGAAAGAAUCCGCGAAGCAAUAAACAUGUGUUGGAAGAUUGUGCUGUUACUAUAUAUCAGAUUAUAAAUUAUUUGUAGUUGGUAAACAAUGUAAUAAGUUUCAAACAAUGUAAUAAUUUUUAAAUUGUUCAUUGCAAUGUAAUAGUUUUCAUAUGGAUGAAUGUAAAUUUCAAUUCAAAUGCCAAUUGCAAAUUUUCAAUUUCUAUUAUAUGGAUUUCUAUUUUUUUUUUUAAUUUUUCUCAAAUAAACAUUGAUACCAAAUUAUCGUUAUAUUUAUUAUGCUUUUGUAUCAUUAUUUGUUUGAUACCAUAGUCUCAUUAUAUAUGUGAUGUUCAAGCAUCAAUAUUUUUUUGGUACUAUAGUGACAUAGAUUCGCUGAUACAAAAAACUUGUGUCAGUAAAUUUCUUGCACCGUAUUCAGUGACACUAAACUCGGUGUCAGUAAAACAAGCUCUUGAUAUCAAAAUAGUAUCAAAGAAGGCCAUUUUUUUACUAGUGUAAGAGACAUCGAUUCAGACAACAUAGCAAUGAAGUAAUGUAGGAAGUAUAUUAGAUAAAAUAAAUUAGAAUUUAUUAGGAAUUAUAAUAUUUGGGUAUUUAGUAUUUUAUUAGAAUUUAUCUUAUUUUUUAAACUUAUUCGAUCAUGUUUAGAAUUCUAAUCUAAUUAAGAUUUUAGAUUAUUUAUCUUAUUUAAGAAGGAUUAAGAUUAAGUUGGCUACUUAGUAUAUAUAGGCUUGUUACUGAUAGUUCUUUAUAACAUACAUAAGCUUCUCAUCAAUAAUAUUUAAUAUUUCUUAAUUGAGAUACUUUCUCCUUCGUGAGAGCAUUUUUUCUUGAAUUUUCAAGAACGUAUGUUAUAAUGAAAUUUAGUAUCGCUUAUGCGAUGCGUCAAGUGGUAUCAGAGCCUUUCUUUGUAUUAGGCAGAGCUUUCCUGACCAUCAACCAUUCCCCAUACACAAAUCCUCCCUCCAUCAUCCAUUACUUUCAUUAAAAAAAAAAAAAAAGAAGAAGAAGAAGAAAAAGUCAGAAAAAUAGCAAAACCCGAAGCCACCUCACGUCCACCAUCUCCAGCUGCUGCCUCUGUCAUUCUUCACCUUUUUCAUGCUUUAAUAAAAUUUAACAUAAUGCUCACUAUUUUGUAUAUUAUUAAGGACCAUUGUAUGAUUAAUCAUGAAGUGUAUAUUAUUUUUCACAUUAAUUUAGCACAACCUAUACCAUGAAAUUACGGAUUAUAUUACAGUGAAUACUUUUAUAUGGUAGGAAUAUAAAUUUAAGUUUUACAAGCCUAUUUUCAUUUAAUUUUCCAAUAUCACUUUGUUGAUUUCGUAAAGUUGAAAUUAACAUACAUUCUUAAUUAGUUAUAUAGUUUAUGAAUCAUGAAAGAUUUUUGUUGUUGAUAUUCAUUGAUUGUGGUUACAAAAUUUUAUGUCACUAAGAGGCUGAUUGCAUUUAUGAUGGUAAUUAAUAUAAUAAGUAAAUAUUACCUCCAAUAAUAUUCAUGAAAUAUUACCUAUUUAUUUUAUAUUCUCGUUAUAAAAGCAUGGUUUUGGAUAUUUUAACUUAAAUUUUGACACAAAAAAUGAGCCAUUAAUCUCUCACAAUCUAAUGGUUGAUAUUAAAAGUCAAUGUAAAAUUUUAAAUCAUCCACCAUAGUAACUGAAUUGUGUGAAAUCAAUAAUUUCAAUUUUGUAUUAAAAAUUUAAGAUAAAAUAACUUAAAAGCAAAAGGAUACCUAAACGCCCUUUUGGCUAUAAUACCCUACAUAGGUAGUAACUUUUAAAAAAAUUAACGUUAAAAUAUUUUUAAUAAACACAAAUAUACUUUAAAUAGUUUAUUUUGUCUAAUAGACUAAAAAUAAUGGAAUAUUUGUAAUAUGUAUAAAAUAAUUUUUAAAAUGUAAAUUAUAAUAUUAUUUUAAUAAUAUCUUUUUAUCUAUUAUAUAAUUUUUAAAUAAAUAUUUGGGUUAAAUAGAUUUUACAACUAAUAAAAAAAUCUCAUGUAUUGAUAAUAUUAAAAUUAUUUUAUAUAAAUUUAAAAUAAUUCGAAUCUUUAUAUAUUUAUUUUAAUAUUAUGUUUAUAUCCAUUAUAAAAUUUAGUUUAAUCUAAUAUAAUACUGUAAAGUAUUAAAAUAUUUUUUGAAGAUUAAAAUUAUUUUAAUAUACAUAUGUUUAUUUUAUUUUUUUCCUUUCGGAAGCGAAAGCAAGUCCAUGCCCGACAACUUGGGAGGAGAGGCUAAAGGCAAAAACUGGAACAUUUUUUUUUUAUGUGAUAAUUUCUUCUUUCUAUUAUAUAAUUUCUUUUCAAAGAAUUUGUUAUUUUGUUGCUUGUUUAAUGGUAAUUCGGCAAUUUUUUUUGAAAAAACAGAGUAUCAAUGACUCUUAGGUCUCAAAAGUGAUAAGCUAUCCGCAUAUUUUAAUAUUUAACACACAACAUUAAAUAAUUAGUAAUUCUGGUCUCGAGCCCCUUCAAGUAUACCAAACAACUCGCGCUCAUCGCAUCUAUGUACGGCAUCUUUUCCAGAAAAAACAGAGUAAUAAAACAAAGCAGAGUAUUUACUUCGGUCCUUUACUUUCCUUAAUUUUCACCUCAUGAGAAAUCAAAUCUCAAAAUUCAAAGCUUCGAUUUGAUGGGCCAAGAAUGCAAUUUUGAUUCAUGGAAGGCACAUUCUGAUUCUGUCCAACUUUUUUAACCCAAGCCAGGCAUUUUCUGGUAAUUUAACAGGGAAAUAAGCAGCAAGAACUGAUACAAUAAACAAAUACAAAGAAAGUAAAUGAAAUGCGAUCUGCAGAGAAAAUAAAAUUGAAACUGAGAUGCGCACUUACACUGUUACACGUAGACUCAGAGAAAAUAAUAUUCACUAGGCUGUGCCCUUCAUUCGAGUUGUUUAAAUCUUUUAGGUUGUGGUUCCUCAUCAUCAUUACAGCAGCCACUUCCACUAGCUUCAGCCGCCCCAACAUAUUCUUCAAGACUUCGCUUUAGAAAGCUUCGCUCAGACGACGUUGUUGAUCCUGCAUCAUCCCGGCGGCAACUUCCACUGCCUUCUGCCCUGUCUAAGUCAUCAUUACGGCUAUGCGUAAAGGAUGUUGAUCCUGAACAAUCGUGACCAAAUUCGUUCAAAUUCCAAACCGGAUCAGUUGUUUGGUUGAACUUAUCCCCUUGAUGCACAUAUAUUGGAUGGACACCACACCUCUUCAACUCCAAUCCUGACGGCGAAGAAAAUUCCACUUCACUAAUAUCUUCCCUAUUCUGGUAGUAUAGGAAAAGAUGGUCUGACAUAGCCUGACCGAAUUGCUUUCUCAAAUAAAUGCUACACAUACCCGAGGAGGUAGGCUUUCUAUCUAUGGACAGCUCAUGUACGGGAAGCCCUUGUAUAUAAUAAGGAAGUGAAUAUUUAGGGACAUGAAAAACACAGCACAUAGCAUAUCCCACAAGCUUACUAUUCUUAUACGUCUUUGGAGGCGUGCUUAUUGUUAUUGAAGAACCCUCAUUAUUCUGAUACUCGAACCACUCUGGGAUUUCACUUCCAGGAACAAUUAUGUAACAAUAUCUCAUAUAGUCCUGAAACCUCACAAAUAUAUAUAUAUAUAUUAGAAAGCCAUACCAAUGCAUAAUUUUUAGGCAUAAUUUUAGCAACAGGUGAGAGACAGUGUAAGAAACUGACAUUAGUCUGUUUAAUGUACUUGUCCGACAGUGACAUAUUCUGCAACCCCACGGAAAAAAAAAGUGAGUAAAUAAAUAAAAUAAAAAGACAUAACAUGUAUUGCAUCAGUUUUAGGCAUAAUGUUAGCACAGGUGAGAGUGAGAGACUGACCUCAGAAUUUUUAAUGUACUCUUUCAGCAGUGAAAGCGCCAAAUCAUAGUUGCCAGCCAAUUUCAAGCAAUCCACACAAGGAAGGUGUAAGUACGGGAGUUGAUGCUCGUUUAAAUUUAAUACAUCUGAUAAUGUCUUCAACGAAACACAACCGUCUAACGAAAUCCAAUGUAUACUGGCUGGAAGUCGAGGCAGAUUUUGAAGCAUUUUGCAUUCCUCUAAAUCAAUACUCGAAAGUUUAGAAAGAUGGUAAAUGCUUGCCGGCAGCGUAAAAAAAUUGUUUCCACUCAGAUGUAACUCUUCUAAUGAGCAUAAGUCGCCAAUACUACUUGGGAUUGCUCCUUCCCCUAGAUCACAGUCACUGAUAUCCAAUUUCGUUAAACUACACAAACCUGACAGAGAAGACGACAAACUCAAAGCCACCGGAUCUGAACUCCAUCGCAUCAAAUUGAUAGGGAAGCGCAGAAACCAUGAUGCAGAUGAUGGUGAUCCUUUGCACCCAUGAAAAGAUAGUUCUUUAAGAUUCUUCAUAAGAAAAAUUGACGAUUGAGGUUGCCUUAUAGCUGUACCACUUAUAUCAAGGAUUUCCAAACUUUCUACUUGCCCAAUCGUCUCAGGCACAUUUUCAAGUUUGAAGCAGCCUGAGAGAUUCAAAGUUUUGAGGGAUUUCAAACCAUUUAUACUGCUAGGAAGUCUCACGAGACUUCUGCAGUCAUUCAAAUUUAACAAUUCAAGUCUGGUCAAAAGUU
This 96053-nucleotide long non-coding RNA is filed under the name Citrus x clementina. RNAcentral describes it as "Citrus clementina (C. clementina) long non-coding RNA (CCLE_LNC004217)". The stretch from base 33937 to 34043 matches the Rfam family "Plant small nucleolar RNA R71". The record is from RNAcentral. Lineage: Eukaryota; Viridiplantae; Streptophyta; Magnoliopsida; Sapindales; Rutaceae.